Molecule: long non-coding RNA, 134918 nt
Filed under: Citrus maxima (pomelo)
Lineage: Eukaryota; Viridiplantae; Streptophyta; Magnoliopsida; Sapindales; Rutaceae
Description: long non-coding RNA (CMAX_LNC001344)
Source: RNAcentral
UUCUCUCUCCUGCUUAGUUGGUUUCUCUUUCUUCUUUGCUUCCCUCACCGUACCAAUCUUAGAUGGAUUCAGCAUGAUUGUUUCAGGUGGGAGCUUGUCAAGAAGAGAGUGCACUUCCUUCUCUCUCCUCUGUUUAGAUGUUUCAAAUGGGUUUGCCACCCAGGAAUCGAAGUUGGGUUCACCUGAUCCGGGAAUAAGAAUACCAGACACACCCAUGGAGUGUCCGAUGCCUAACACAUCUUCAUAUGGGCGAAAUGAAACUUUUCCUAUUUGGUAGCCUUUCACCAUAGAAUAACCCAUGUAUCUGUUAUAGUUAUGAGAUCCAGAAAAAUCUCCAGAAUCUGUACAAAUGAUCCAGUCCCGACAGCAAGCAAACCUUUCCGACUGAAGUCUAAAGUCUUUGCAUGGCCAGGUAAUGUCUGAAGAACCUCAUAUUUCCUCAAGUCCCAAAUCUUAAUUUUACAGUCUUUGCCAGAUGUGGCCAUGAGAUGACCAUUAGGAUGAAAUGCCAACGCUGAAACAGGCCCCUGAUGACAUAGCAUCUUGAUAAGCAGAGCAGCGGUGGUGGGUUUCCACAUGGUUACCGUACCACCAGAAUGACCCAAAGAAACAACCCCAUUGAAGGGAUUCACCCGUAUUACAUCAGUACGGCCUAGACCAGUCCAAAAAUUACCCACAAUCUCACCCAUUGUAACAUUUUGAUAUCGAAGCUGCCCAAGUUUGUUUAUGGACGCCAAGAGAAACUGAAGUUUCAGAACUUCACCAUGUUCCUGCAAGAUUGAAAGAGCAUAAAUUAUUAGUCUUGUUGGGUUGGACUACAUCACUUUGGGCAUUCUCAAAUUUGAACGACCUACAGCUAAAAAGAUCGAAAUCCUACAAGUAAAGCGAACUCGCCUUUGAACAAUGAAGUUCAGUGCCAUCUCGGUUGUAAAAAUAAGGGUACCUGUCAAAAUUUAGAAUUUUUAGCUGUCAUUCAAACAAAGCUACAGAAUUAUCUGAGUCCAUUACAUCAUUGUUCAUAUUGAUAUCUAACCAUGCAAAAUAUAACUUUGAGACUGUCAUCAAAAGAUGGCAAAACAUAAAAACAAUAAUAAAAAUGAAAGCUCAUUUAAGGAACUACAAAACUGCGAGGAAUUGCACUGUGUGUGUGUGUUGUCAUCAGUAACAAAGAAAUUUACUUAUAUGAAUAAAACCAAAUGUCCAAAACAGAGUAUGUUGGGAAUUUGAGAAAAAAAAAAAAAAGAAAGAACUGGAGCACCUGAAAUAGAGCUUCAUAAUGAGUUUGGGUUGAAAAAUAAACUCCAGAAAAACCAAAAACAAUGAAGGAAUGGUAACCUAGGCCAACUCAAACAAGUUAUGCCUUCACGGGGUUCAAAUUUAAGCCAUAUAAAGGAUUUGGGAUGACCAGUUUCCUAUUACAACCGACCAUAACAAGAAAGGAAUGCCAAUAAUUUUCCAAUGUUGUACAGAAAUAUGCAGCAUGCUGCAGAGGAAUAAGGAUUCCUUUAAACAAGUAGUGAUAAUUGAAAGUCUCCAAUUUUGUUCAAAAGAAGAUUGUCACUGACUGGUUAAAAUAAAGCUAAAUCAGGAAAAUAACUAAUCAGUUCUGCACAUGAUUUGUUUUUCCCUCGAAUGACCUCAUGCAGAACGAUCAAUUAGAUUGAUCAAGUUCCAGCGAUAUCCAAUAUAGCCAGCAGUGAAAAUUCAAGUAAGACUCAGACCAAAAUAGACCUCUGGUCCCAGAGACAAAAAAUUCAAUUAAUUCAAAGUGUCUAAUUCUUAUGAAGGUUCCAAAAGAUAUCAGGCAUCAAAUAUAGUUAAUAAUGCAUUCUCUAUAUGAACGAACACCAAUACGUUUAGAGCAUACGAAUUUACUAUUCAUUGAAACAUUAAAAAAUAAAAUAAAACAGGUAUACUUUUUCUGGGCAGCAGCAAAAAACAGCUUAUUGUGCAAGAAGACCACAUCGCGUACUGUUUCUCUAACCUGAACAAACCAACAAACAAUCAGUAUAUCCAUUUAAUCUUCCCAGAUAGAACCUGGAGGUACAAACAAAGAAAAUUACUCCAUUAGAGUAUGCAAAGUAAUACUGAGAUAUCUAACAAACAGUAAGAUAAAUAAAAUAUCAAAUUUGAGUCAUUUGUCCCAGCAUAACCUAUUUUUUAAAAUUCUAAAUAACUUCUUGUUUGUCAACACAUACUAGGUUUCCUAGAUAAACACAAGUAACAUUGCAAUCAGUUUGUCAAGAGAUAUAAGAGGUCUCAUCAAAAGAACAGCAUACCUGUAUUUCUUUAACUAAGUUCAUAUUGUUCAUGUCCACAACAGCUAGGUGCCCCUUGCAUCCAGCAGCUGCCAUAUAUCGACCACUUGACGUAAAAUCCAGAGUAUAUGGACCAAGUUCUGCACAGGUAGGACGAAAACAAAAGUUAUCAUUAGCAAUAUGACACUAGUCAGGCAAUAGACAAAGAAGUAAGUUUUGUUUAAGAUAGUUGCCCAACAGAGCAGUAUGAACAUCAGUGAAUGAACCAUUGAUCAAGCAACAUCACCAAAAGACCAAAUGUACUUUUAAGUCAUUCAGAGGAACCGCAGCAACAAUUUUAUAAGGUCGUGGGCAAUGAAAAUACAUAGCAUAACUAUCUCAAAUUGGAGAGACCAGAAAACCAAAGAAGAAUCCAAAGAUGAAGACAUGGCCCAAAACAGAAAAUUAAAAGGUUGUACCCAAGUGUUGUUGAUCGUAUUACAACCUAACAAAAAGUCCAAGAUUCUACUUUACCAGGCUACAGCCAUAUUUGAUAUUAAGGUUGGGCAACUUUAGCUUUUAAAUUAUAACAUUACAAUGUUCGGUAAAUAUUAACUACUGUGGAUUGAAAGCUAAGUUGUUUUAAUCCACCACUUGCAUGGUGGAAAACCUAUAAUACCCUUAUUUUUUUUCAAAAUUAUUAUUUAAAAGUCAUAUUUUCUACACACUAUUAAGCUACAACAUCUAAACAACAAACAGCGCCUAUAUUUUAUUAAGAAAAGCAUGCAAUGGGAGCCAACUUUUAACUCUAAAGAUAACUCUAGCAAAUUUAAUUAAACAUUGAAGCACAAUUUCCCUUUUUAUUUUCAUAAAAAUUCCUUCUUUUACCAGUCCCUUCAAAGUUGAAUAACAAAAGCCAAAUUACGGAUUUCACUCCUCAAACAGAAAUUCUAGAGCAAGUGUAUGGUGAAGAACUCUGAUCCCAUUCUACUCAUUUUACAAAAUAAAACUCUUUAUUACUUUUCAAUUCCUUAUCCACCUUCCCUUUUCAGCCAAGAUCUCUCCAUAGAUAACAACAUAUUUUCAGCAAACCUUAAAAGAGUUGCAAUGAUUUCAGUAUUUUUCUUUCAUAGUUUCUACAAUUCUCUUAAUUUUUUGCAUUUUUAACUAAUUCAAACAAAGAUAAUAGGUAUGCAACUGCAUAAGACAUGCCACAAUUUCACUAUAGGAACAAGAAAUUUGAAUUUAAAAUUGUCCUUAAAUAGACAAUGAGUCAAACAAAAACUUAACCAAUGGAAACUGGUAGAAAAAUAGUCAGGGAGCAGGCAUCAACCUGGUAACAUGAUAUCAUAUUAAUUUCUGGAGCUUAGGAUAUCUACUUCACGAGCAAUUGCUUCUUGUUUGAUCCGCCAUGUCUUUUCUACACCUUCCGCCUCCAAAUAGCCUCCCUCACUUGGCAUAAGCCACUAGAAGAAAGGAGCAAAAAUUAAUUAAUUAAAUCAUAUAAUUCUUCUCUGAGAGCAAGUUGACCCUUCAAUUUUUGUCUUUUAAAAUCUGCAGAAAUGAAAAGCUUAGAACUGAAUAAAUAUCAUAAAAAAUCAACUCUGACAAGAAAUCUCAAUCAACAAUACCAUACCUCCAAAUUAGCACCCUCUCCUCUGAGAUAUUUCUUGACCUUUGUAUCUAAUUCAUUGGAGAUCUCCUGAAGAUUAAACAUAUAUCACGUCACUUCCUAACUUCGAAAUAGAAACAAUGCGCAUCCAAUAUAAUAAAAAUAUAUUGUUGAACAUCCGAUAAUAAUGAGUUUAUUGAAAAGCAUUAAAGUGCUUUCUGGAAAAGCAUUUUGUUAACUAUUUCCAAAAACAAAUCCACUUCUCGAAAUACUUAAUUCGAUUUCUAAAUAAAUCAAUCAAUCAAUUAAUCAACUGCUUAUGUCAUUCAGAUUAAAGCUUCAAAGAGCGCAGAGAGAAGCAAACCUCGUGAGCGCAAUGAGUUAUUAAACCUUGUGAGCGGAAUGACUUAUUAGAAACACAUCGUAUUGCCUUUAAUCGGAAAAAAAAAUGCAGGAAGUUUCCAAUUUCCAAAGUUAAUUAACUUAAUUAGUAAUCUGACUAUACGCAAAUCUAAGUAAAAGAAACUGCCACGUAAUUGCACACUGAGAGAUAUCAUUGACAUCUCAUGUUUGGUUCCACUACUCUCCUCCUAUGGGUAGAAAAAAUGCACCCAUUAUCGCUUCUUUAUUCAACAUCUACUAACCAACCAAAAGCACAAUUAACUAAAAGGUUGAACCGGGCUUAGACUUCUGGGUUACACAACUAAUUCCUUUUGGUUUGCAUAAAGUCCCACAAGAUACAAACUCUGCUAAUAAUAAUUUGAGAACUAAAGAGUUGAAUAGAUUCCCAUAAUCCACAGUGCAUCUCACCUAGUACAUUAUCAGAGAUGUUCGUAUCAAAUUGUUGAAGAAAAAUCAGUUUUUUUUUUAUUAAUAAAAAACUUUUAGGAUCGAUCUCAUACAAUAUAUAAGAAUUCGUAAUAUAGAAAUCGUACUUUGAAAAUCUUAGAAGAUGACCAAUUUUUGCUUUUUCCGUUGAAGUGAUUUAGGCUUCCAGAUCACGAUCCGUCACCGCCACUCCUGUUAGAUCACGAUCCGCCACCAAAUAAUCUUUCAGGCUAUGACUCAAGUUUGAUCUGCACUUGACGUGUGAGCGCCUUUAUCACCACUAAAGCAACUAAUAAGUUAGAGAGAAAAUUUAUUUUUCUCUGAUAUGUAUAUUGCGACUCUUUCUUUUUCUUUAGAGAAAAUAAACCUUUUUAUAUAUCCCUUUAGUGAAAACCCUAAGCUCCAAAUAAUAAAAACCAAAAGUCAUGUUACUUGCUUUUUCUAUAAGGGUCCACCUUGUAAAAUAACAUAAGGCCCCUUACACACAAGCAUAUUAAAUGGAGCCUCCCACUAAAUGAUAUAUUUAGACUUUUGACCUAAAUAGCUAGUUAUCUUUCUUAUUAAUCCAGUAGUAGUGUAGUCAAUUAAAUGAGCUAACCCGGGAAUCAUAUGAGUACAUACAAUAGUGGCUACAAUAAUUAGGCCUGUAAUUAAACUAGCCCAAUUAUUUAAUUCCAAAUCUACUCCACUAAAAGAUUGGAACUGACCUCCAUAAUUAUAUGCUAUCCAGGAUAGUGUUCUCGAAUAAUAAUUCGACCCAUGCCACAUUGAUUUCUUUACUGCACAAUCAUUUGUACCACAUCGUUAAUUAAAUUGAUAUCUCAACUAUCCAAUCAAUUUAAUAACAUCUUGUUCCUUGAUACUUACUAGUUUUCUCUAAUGAUCAUUUUCAACAUACUAAAUAUGUUGACACACUCUGGCUAGAGAAUUCUAUGAUCAAGUACCGAAAACCCAUCAAGAGAUGUGUUGUACAAAUUCUAUAUUGUUAAUCUAUAACUCCAAUACUUAUAAUUGCUCACACUAAGAUACCGGGUAAUCUUGCCCAUAAGUGUGUGUCGUGCCUAUUGGUAACUCAAAUGGAAUAACAAUUACAAUCAUGAAAUCAUAACUAACUCAAGAUUAAGAUUACAGUAAAAUCAAUGCCUAUGAGAUUUAAUAAGUUUGACAGUCAUUUCAAGGUUAAUUAAAUCUCAUAUGUGAUCCUAUUCAAUGUAGUCGUACUAUAUCAAUAAAUUCAUACAUGAUUAAGACAAAUCAUUCAAUGAAUUUAUUACAGUCUAUACCUAAAUAAAGUAUCCAACUUUAUUUAUCAACUGCGAACAUAAUUUAUUUAAUCAUAAGAUAACUUGUAUUUAUGUCUUCUGUGAAUCGACAUGGUAAUCACAUAAAUACAUAUAAUAUGAUCAAAUGGACUUUACUCAAAAUAUUAAUAUAAUUCAGAUACUUGAAUAAAAUACCUCAUUUAUUUUAUUAAUCAGAAAAAUUAUUUAUUACAAUUAAAUAAACACAUAUGCUUUUAAAGAGCACAUUUUCCCGACACAAAUAACUAAGAUUAGAUCAAUUCAGUUCAAUAUAUUUGGGAACAAAAUAAUUGACAUUUGACAAUUAUUCCAUCAGUAGAAACCAUAAGAUGAAAAUAAAGUUGGUCAAAUUGCACAUAGGGACAAUAAGAACACAAGCCAAACCUGUAUCAAGACAAAGGCUUCAUCCGAUAGACCUUCCUGCAAUAAACAAUAGCAUUUUAAAGACUAGUAAAGGCCAGGUCGGAGCGAUACAAAGCAGGAGGAGAUGGUGCAGUAAGAUUUAUGUAAAUCUGGAAUAUGAAUAAAAAUAUAACUCAAGAAAGAACCUACCUGGGUUGCUUCCAGCUGAGAGGCAUUAUGAUUUUCUCUGAUAUAUUCAUGCAGCAGUCCAGGAAUUUUCCAACUCUGGUCUUGAGAACCAGAGCUUUAUUCGCUAGCCGAUAAUAUCAAAUCCUUGAAAGGGAGGGAGCCAACUGAUCUCAAAGCAAAGUAUUCACAAGCAGUAGUUGAUAAACUGCAAAUCUGCAUUAAAUAUUACAUCCAUUACAUGCCAGCAUUUGCUUUUAAUAAGAAGAACAAAUAAAAUCAAUAAAGAUAUUGUUUAAAGCCAAAGCGUGAACCAGUGGUUGCGCGGCUGUCUGGCUGACGAGGAGGCGACAAUGAAUGGCGCGAGCUCGACGGCUUGAUGAUCGGCGGUCGCCAUCGGCAGCGGGAUGAAUGCGGAAAGCAUGGGAACGCAAAUUUGGAGCACGGGGUUUCAGUUCUCAUUCGUUUUCGAGCUAUUAAGCCUCUUCGCUGGUAGGCUUUUGUUUUAAAAGAUGGUCCUGACCCAGAGAAGCAACAAAGAAAAUGCUGUGAGUUAAAGAGAAUUUUCCAAUGACGAUUGUACCCUUAAAUAAAUAGUUAAAUGUUGAAGAAAAGCACAAUAAUGGGCGGUUAAAUAAUUCCCAAAAAUAAGGGCCAAAAUCAUUUUUUAAAUUUAUAAUACACUUUAAAAUAGUGGUUGGAAAAAGAGUUGGAGCUGGUACCAAUUACGAGUGGGGAAAUUUGCAUUCCAAUGAAUUUGAUUGUGUUAUGAAUUUUUCGGAUUGGGAUAUAAUUCAUUAAAAAAAAAUUAGAAACGAAUAAAAAAUUAAAAGUAGUAAGCAUUUCAUUAAACAAAAUUGCAAAUUCAUAUGUAUUGAAUACAAAUAAACUUAAAACAAUCACUAGAAGCAUAUUGAAAUUAAGAGAACAAUAUAAGACAGCCCUGACGGCUAGGUGCGAUGUAGAUGGAAUAUCUGUUCGUGCCUGGGUGGGUUGGCACGAUGGAACUAUUGACAACUGUCGGUGGCUUAGCGUGGUUAGUGGUAUUUGUUAUCAUUAUUAUGGUGUGUUUACUUGAGGGUUUAGGGAAUGAGAAUGAAGAAAUGAGAAUGAAACCUAUGUUUACUUGACAAAAUGUAAUUUGAGAAUAAGAAUAAAAUGUGUGGGUCUCACACAAUUUGAGAAUAAGGAAUGAGAAUCUUAUUCCCAUGGGGGGUUGUAGGGAUGUCAAUGGGGCAGAAUAGAUCCGUCAUGAAUCUAUAUUUUUCGCUCCAUAUCCAGAUCCAAAAAAGAAAUAAAUAUCUAUAUCUGCUCCAAAUCCAAAAAAAAAAAUUAAAAUCCAAAUAUACUCUAGAUCCGUCAUGAAUUCUAAAACUCAGCAAUAAAAAAAUAAUAAUUUUUUAGAAUGAAAAUUGAAGGCUAAAAUGUUUUGAUAAAAAAUAAAUUAUAUAAUGUAUCUCAAAAUAUAAUAAAUAUUGUAGUUUAUACUUUUACACCAAAACAACAAAUAAGAAAGAUAAUAAAAUAUUUUUCAAAAGUAAUUGCAGGAGUAAGAUCAAUCUAAUAUUAUAUUAUCUCCUUCAUCAUUCUAAUAACCACACACACACACCCACCCUCAUUCUUACAACAUUAGAUAAUGACAUAUAAAUUAAAUAUGAUUUAUAUUCAGUGUUUUAUUAUUUUUAUUAUGGCCAUAUUUGACUAAAUAUAUGAAUAACUAUAUUCCUUAAAAAUUAUUUGGCCAAUAUAGCAAAAUAAAUUACCAAGUUGUAUUACUUGGCUUGCAAUUUGAAUAUUGCAUGUACAUGCUUUAGGGCUGACUGGCCUUUAAAUUUACAAAACUAACCUUUAAGUUUUAAGAAUUUAAAUGCAUGGUAAAUAUCACUAAUAUGCUAUGAAUAAAAUUAAUUAUCAUUAUAAUUCUACAAUUGUUAAGAGACUUUUAAAAUAAAAUUAAAUUAAAAGAUGGGUGGAUAUGGAUAUGGAUUUAGAUAUUAGGAUAGAUCCAGACCUACUCCAGAUUCGUCUUAGAUCCGCACAUCAAUAUCCAAAUCCGAUCCAAAUUCAUUUUAAACCGAUCCAAAUCCGAUUCGAUUGGAUUUGGAUCACGUGGAUCUUGGAUCAGAUCCAAUCCAUUGCCAUCCCUAGGGGGUUGGGAAUGGGAAUGAAAUUCAUGUUUACUUUUGUAUUUCUCUAAUUUUUUUAUAUUUUCUGAAUUAUCCUCGUUCAAAUCACAAUUAAUUUUAUUAUUUUAAAUGUCAUUAUUAUUAUUAUUAUUAAAUUUUAUUAACUUUAUUAUUAAUUAUUGUUAUUAUUAUUUUUAUUAAUAUUAUCAUUUAUUAUUAUUAUUAUUUUUAUUUUUUUAAUUAAUAUCAUUUUAUAAUAAUAUUUAUACAUGUAUCUAGUUAAUGAAAUUACCUUAUUUAAUACUAUGGGUAUUUUGGUAAAUUGAUUCUCAUUCCUCAUUUUCAUUUAUUUUGCCAAGUAAACACAUCAAUGGCAUCCCAGCACAUUCACAUUCCCAUUUAUUUUUGCCAAGUAAAUAUCGGAAUCUCAUUCUCAUUCCCCAUUCUCAUUCCAGCUCAUUCUCAUUCUAUCUCAUUCUCAUUUCAUGAAGUAAACACACCAUUAUUCUUUUAAUCUCGAAAGGGUUUGUUAGAAUUAGAAAUUAGGCUUUAGUUUUGUCUUAGUUUUAGGAUGCAUUAUUUUUUUGUUUUACUUUUUUUAAUUUUGAGAUCUAAUCCAAUCUAAUUUAACUCGAUCUGAACAUAAAACAAUAAAAAUUAUCUAAACAGUUCUCAAUUCAAAUAAGUUCAAUUAAAAUCUGAAUUUGUAUGAAUUAGAAUAAUGGCAAGAAAUCAAAGUUUGGAUAUGUUUUGAGUAACUUUGAAUAGGUCCAAAUCUGAUAAGAUCAGUAAAAAUUAUCUAAACUCAAUCGAAUAGAUUUGAACCGUUCAGGUUCAAAUCAGAUAUGGUUCUACAUACGUUGUGUGAAACAUCAAAUUUCACAACGAAAACUCUUUUCUUGUUCAAAGAAACAAAGAAAAAGGAUAGUGUUGACACCAUAAGUUUGGCCUAACAAUAAGAUCGGAAUUAAUUUGGGAAUGGACCCAUAAUUCCUCGAGAUGAUUACUCAAGAGGUCGGAGAUUGAGAUGCUUUGAUCUACAAGAGAAAAAAAACAGUGAGGGUUGUGUUGGAGUUACUAUCAAUGAAGACCUUUCAAUGCUUAAGCCCAAAAUUGGGAGCCUCGACAAUAACAAUUGUAAAUGUUUGAGGAAAAUGUGUAUGCUAACAUGGACUAAUGAGUUGAUUAUACAUGGCGAAAGAAAGUCAACCAAAUUAGAGUCAGCUCAUUUGACUGAAUAGUGGUAUAGUUUACAAAGGUUAAAAGAUAAGCUCCAUGGGAAAAAGGACAGUUUCGAUAAAUAUAUUUCCAAGCGGUAUUAUCAGAACUCAAAUUUUGUUGGUUGGAGCUAACAAGUAAAUAGUGCACUCCAUCAUGAGAAAAAAUAAAAUAUCUUCUUUUUAACUAAGAAUAAGGAAACAAUAUGAAUAAAGAUUCUUUGAGCAAAGCAAUAAGAGGGGACCAUGUCAGCUAUCCUUUACUAACCCUUGAUAAACAGAAUACCCUUAGGAACAAGGUUGAGAGACUGCCAUGUGCCCAGCUACGGAGGCAAAAAUGUAACUGAAGGUUUUCUUACAUCCCAAGCUUAUGGAAGUCACCAUCAAAGAACAAAAAAUUGAAUUAAUAAAAUAACCUCACUUAAGAGCAAAAAGGCUAUUGUCAAAGAUUCAAGCUUCCUUGAACCUUCAGGCCACUGUUUCAUUGUCCAAUACCUUACUUGAGAGGAGGAUAUCUCUCUCUUUUUCCUCUAUCCACCUCUUGGGAGCUUCUUUCCAAAUCUGAUUUCUUGAAAAGUUACUUCAUCUUUUUCUUCCUCUACUUCUAGGGUUUUUCCCUCCAUGUGUUUAUAUCUUCAUGGAAGAUCUUGACUACCUCACCUCUUAAAAGAGUUUUUUCCUUUAUUAUUCUACUAGAAAACUCUCUAAUUUUCAUAAGACCGACAUCUUCCUCAUACUAGUAUUCACCAUAAACGACCUUUAAUGAGGUUUUGUUGAUAUUAAGAGUUGGCCUGCCUAAGGCCACGUUUCAAGAACUUAAGAGAUGUUUCAAGCUCCAGACUAAUCCAAAGGAGCAUGAGGGCUGGUUUUAUCCAUCAUCAUGGCCCAAAACGAAAAGGUUGGUUCAAAAUCUACUGAUCAUAAAUAAAAAUUUUAAAGAUCGAUGGCUUUGGGCCUUAGGAGAUUGCAACCAAUUCGUUAUACAGAAAAAGACAAACAAAGUACCAAGUGUAUUUAGACAACUAGGUCUGGUUUUAGUUAGUACUUAAAACAUACAUAGAGGUAUGAGCGUUCAUAACAAACAUAAGUACAUGUCAUGCAGUUUUGUGAGGUGAUCAAUCAAAGGUAUCACUGCAAAUUCGAACAAAUAUUAGAAAAGCACUGCAAUACUGCAAUUCGUACAUAGUAGAGAACUUUCAAGUGAAUGGACUUGUGGAUUUGCAAGAGGCUAAGCCAACACGAUAUGUGAAGAAAAAGAGAAAGGAACUGACCUGAUCAUAUGAGCUAUGCUCACAUAAGAUGUAAGAUAAAAUAUGCAAUUACUAACUGGGAUAGUGGGAUAGCAAUGACCACCACCUGUAGCGGGUUUGUUAUUAUCGAACCCACACCGUCAAAAAAAUUUAAAUUACCAAAUUUAUUUGCAAUCUGCUGUGGGUUUUAACAAUUACCAAGUACAUUUAAAACCUACAAUGAAUUUUGCUUGUAACCCACAGUGGCUAUAAUAGCAAUAAAUUUAUUUUAAAUUAGCAUGUUCUGCCCAUAACCUGCAAUGGCAGCAUAAGCAAUAGAUUUAUUUUAAAUCAUAACACAUCUAGAAUUAUAGUGCAAUAGAUUUAUUUUAAAUCAUAACACAUCUAGAAUUAUAGUGCCAUAUUACUAUUGCAUACAAAAUAUACUAUUACAUUCAAGAAUAUUAUACUUUUCCUAUUACAUUAUUACUAUUGCAUUAAAAAAAUUAGAUUUAUCUAAACAUUUCUAUAAAAAUAUACUUUUACUAUUUGCAUACAAAUAUGCAAUUAACUCUGCAGUAAAAGUUAUGCUUAUACUUGAGCUUUUGAUUAGAUUAGUAGUAGCCAAGUUUAGGUUGAUUUUUAACCCAAACCAACUAAUUUAAGACAAACCAAUUUCAACUAAUAUAGUUGUCUUUUUAUUGAUAGCUACACAAGUGUAUUUAAAAAAAAUAUAUGCAUAUGUUCUAUGAAAAGUGAAAAGAACGACAUGAAUCAAUCUAGCGAUAGCAAUUAUUUAUCUUUAUAAUUAAAUAUUUUUAUAAUUAAGAAGAUUAUGUCAGGUUUUGAACAACAAAUGGCCACUGAUAACUUAGUUUAUGUAUUUUUAUAAUUAAAUAUUUUUAGUGAAAUUUUAAUAAUUAAAAUUUAUAAAAAAUAAUUAAAAUAAAAUUAUGGAUUGGCAGAAACCCAUGAAUAUCCGCUGAAUUUUUUAUUAAUACCAAACUCACCCACAACUCGCACCGAAUUUAAAUUUGUAAUAGCAAUCUCAUCUGCAGCCCACAAAAUUACCAGUAACAAAUGGUUUUUUGGUUGGUAGGUUCGGACAGAUUUAGGGAUUUGUGGGUACCAUUGUCAUCCCUAUCAUUGACCCCAUGCUGUCAACAAGAACCGUAUAAUCAAGUAUUUUUGGAAAACUAAAGAAAAGGACCCACUAGGAGAUGGAUCCAAAAGAUGGAGGUUCAAAGCAAACAUCCAAUAUAGUUGGGGCACAAACACGAAGACAACCCCUCGCAGCAUGCCUGACAAUAAUGGUACCAAUUUUAGCAUCAACUGUGCAUAAUGGAAAUUCAGCAAUCAUUGUUAAACAAAAUCUGACCGAGACAAAGAAAAAAGAAAUUGCUUUGAGCACACCCGACAUGUGGUGUAUUUUACUAAAGCAUACGUGUACAGAGAAAGAGCUCGUAUGAAAUCCUUUAAUGGAGUGUGAUCAAGAGGUAAUACAUAAAAUUUAAAACGUAUUAAAGAUUCAAAGUAUAUGAAAAUAUUAUAAUAGAAGUAUAAUAGAUCUAACCUUUGCUUAUGGCCAGGCAAAUUAUCGUAGAUGUAGGCUUAGGCAAUACCAUGACCAUCUGAUCAAACAUGGAAUAAAGGGCAUUGCUAUCCUAAAUAAAUUGAAGAGCAACAUGGCAGAGAUGAAAGCAAAGGCCGAGAAAAAAUUUAAAGCACAUGAGAGCGAAAAAAAAAAAUAAUAAAAAAAUAAAAAAACUAAGGCAAGGACAGAAAAAGCUAGAGGAAAAGGCUCUUCGUUGGGAAGAAUUAAUCACAAAAUUGAAGAGAACGAACAGUUAAUUCGAAAAAGAAAAGCAGAUCGAAUGUGACGAAGGUACUUUGCUGGUGGAGGAAAAACACCCUGGCAUAGAUUUAAAGAGCAUCAAGGAAGAGAUCGGAGUCUCCAAGACUAAAAUACAAAAGCAGCUAAGGCAAGUGACCAGAGAAAGAAUGAAGGGAAUAGAUGCGGAAACAAUGGUUCUCCAGAAUAAGGAUGCCCCAUCAACCUAAAUUGAUAUUAAGGAAAAGCAAUCAGCAUGUAAUAGCUAUAUAAUUUUGAAUUAAUAGUGAUGUAUGAUUUGAACAACCAGCAAGUUAUUUGUGAAACUUGUGGCAUUGCAUAUAUUUCAUAUCUUAUUUCACAUUGAUUAAAUGUAUUGUAUUAAAAAUAUAUUUUAGAAGCCAGAAUUAAAAUUUUAAAAAUUAUGCCGCGAAAGCACUACAAGAAAUAAGAUUAUAUAGCGAAAGGGCUACAAGAAAUAAGAAUUAAAAUAAGAACAAAAUUAAGAACUGGAUCAUAAAUAAUGCUCGAAGUUUAAUUUCGUUAGGGGUAAUACUUGUGAGGCAUUGCAGCAUUAUAUUUCUUAUAAUUCUUCCAGACGUUUUUGCCAUCAGGUCCCUCAAGUUGAUAAGUCCCAGGGAAAACCAUUUUCAGCACAUUGCAAGGUCCUUCCCACUUAACCAUGAGGCUUCCCUUCUCAGUAAUGUAACCUCGUUAGAAGAUUCAAAACCAAUGGAAACUAAUUUAGCCAUAAGCAUGGCUCUUGCCAAAGGAAUUCCAAUGCCGAGAUUGUGUCAAUCCAUAUCCAAUGAAAACAGCAUCAUCAAGGCAGACAAACCCCUCAAUCAAAGUAAAUCUACAUCAUCUAGAAUCAAGGAAAUCUCUAAUGGCUAGUUAAUUGAAAUUCCUGACUGUAUGAAAUUUAUUUUUUCAUUUUUUAUCUCUUUGUAUUUUUGUGUAAAUAUCGUACAUACUCUUGUAUUUAGUACAAUAAGUGAAAUACAACUUUUAUUUACAAUAACAUUGUUUCUUUCAUGGUAUCUGAGCCUUAUGGCCUCAACAGCUCAAUCCUCGCGAAAAGAAACCAAACUUACUCUCCAAACCUUUCAUCAAUGCUCAAGCUUAAUAUCAUCAAGUUUCAUCUAAGAAUUAUCUCUUGUGGAGGUCUCAAGUGCUGCUGAUGAUCCAAAGCAUCAGCUUAGAAUAUCACAUAACUAAUUAGAACAUCACAUGACUAUCAAAGAAGGAGAAAAAGAAACUGCCAAUCCCGAGUUUACAACAUGGCUUAACAAUGACGUAUUUGCUGAAAACAUGGCUGAGGGAGAUGAUGAUGGAAGAUACGCUGGCCUUAGUUGUUGGAUGAGAAGCUGCAAAUGAAGUUUGGUUCACCAUUAAAGAGCAAAUGUUUCCCGUCACAACAAAAAAAAAAAAAAAAAAAAAAAAAAAAAAAACAAGAAACUUGACUGAAAGACAACCUUUAUUGACUGAAGAAAGAGUCUUCAGGGCUAGAAGAAUUUCUCCGAAAACUCAAAAGGGAUUUCCGACAACUUAGCAACUAUUGGAAACCAUUUGCAAAUGAGGACAAAGUUUUACGAUUGCCCCAUUCACUUAGUCCAAAGUAUGCCAACUUCAAAACAGCCAUGCUCACGAAGCCUCCGUAUCCAAGCCUGAAACAAUUCCUCCUUGCCCUAAAUAACCUUGAACAAUCAUGGCCUAAAAGAAAAGAACACAUCAGACAUAAACGAAGCCUUUUUUGGGCAAAGGGCAAAAGAAGAAAUCAGCAUGGCGGUAGGUUCAAUGGUCGUGGCAAAAGACAAAAUCAAGGAGGAAGAAACACAUCACACUUACUGAUGUGCUAGUAAUUUAUAUAUUAUUUAUAUAUUUUCUUUAAAUUAAUUUUAGGUUAAAUUAUAUUUUAUUAUAUUUUAUUAUCUUAAUUUUUAUAUUUUAGGUGUAUUUUGGGAAUAAAGAGGAAUUAAAUCAAAAUAUUCAAAUAAGGAGAUUUUAAAGAAGAAAUUAAUUGGAGAUUUAAGGAAAGUAAUGGGAGUUAAAAUGGAAAAAAAAUCGAAGUAGCCAAGGCUUAAUUGAAGUUCGCGUGAAGAUGAGAAGACUUAGCAUUGGAAAUAAGUUAAUUAAUAAGGCAAAUCAUAUGAAGAACGAAUUAAAAGAAGAAAGCAUUCUUGUGAUAGGCUUUGGCCAAAUCUUUAUUAGCUUAUUAAUUGAAUAAGUCACGUGCAUGCAUGAAAGAAUAAGGCGGCUUGGCUUUUGUUUUUAAUUCUUUCCAUAUAAGGAUUUAAAGGCCACAAUUGAAGCAAUAUAAAAGGGCCAAGCGGAAGCAACGGAGGACGGAAUUAAGAGAGGAGGGCAGCCGCACGAAAUUGGAGCCAAGAAGAAAAAAAAAAAUAGAACAGCAGCCGCAAGUCUUAAGCCAAAACCGAGAGCAGCAGGAGCAAUUUGGAGGAGGAAGAAGACGCUAAGCUUAAUUCUUGAGUUUUUCUUUCCCUUGUCUCUAUUAUCUUACUUGAAUGUUCCUAAUUAAAUUUAGGAAAAUUAUCAUUUGUAUACCCUUAGUUUACUCCAUUAUCAAAAAUACUACAACACUUUGAGGGUGUAUCAAUCGUCCACCCUAAGUUGACAAAAUGUAUCAGCUGACCACCAAACCGUUAGUUGCCGUUUAAGUAUGAUGACGUCAGAAGGGUAAUUUGGUCUUUUCAUAUGAUACAAGUGAUAAUUUAAGGGUAUACAAGUGAAAAAAAGAGAAUUUAAGGGUACACAAGUGAUAAUUUUUAAGGGUAAAAUCGUCAAUUCACUGUAACUCCGUUAACUUUCAAACGACAACCAACGGUUUGGUGGUCGGUUGAUACAUUUUGUCAACUAAGGGUGGACGAUUGAUACACCCUCAAAGUGUUGUAGUAUUUUUUAUAACAGAGCAAAUAUAGGGUAUAUGAAUGAUAAUUUCCCUUAAAUUUAUGAAUUCUCUUUAUAUUCUCAUGAACUAAUUUAUUUUGUUAGAGCUACGAUGUAGCCUAACUAUGAAGAUUUAAUUCCAUAAAUUUAUGUUAUUUUUAAUUUAUUAUUCCAUGGUUGAAUGUUCAUUAUUGUGCUUAAUGCUUUUAAAUAUCUGGCCAAUAUUUGAAUGACUUGAGGAUACAUAAUGAGACCGAGAGGAGAUUUAUGUAUUUUUACUUUGUGUAAUGGAUGCCAUGAAUUGAAUGAAAGACAGAGAUGUGCCAACGUGAUUCGUAUAGUUUUAUCUAAGAAUUUCCAUAAAACUUAUUGAAUCUUUGCAUGUUUAAAUUCACAUAGAGAUAUAGUGGGUUAAUAUGUGAAGGUAUUUUUGAUAUUACUCGAGAGAGGAUAUUGAAUAGACUAGGGAAAUUCACUGUCAACAUGGGUAAUGAACUUUAAUAGUAUAGAUGGAGGAUUAAAUUGGAUUGGUCAUGGUGAAAUCGGAUGUCCUAGUGUUUUAAUCGCUUGGUAUUUUUUGUUACUGCAUGCAUCUUUAUUUAAUUUUUAGUUAUUUUAUUUUAUUUUAUUUUAAAUUGACUUUAUUCGAUUGUUCGAAUAAAUUAGGGUUAGAAUAAUUUUGGUAGCUAAUAGGAUAUACAAUCUCUGUGGGACGAUACUCUACUCUUCAUUAUAUUACUUGUGCCGACUAGUACACUUGCUAAUUUAUGCAUCAAGUUUUUGGCGCCGUUGCCAGGGAUUGUUUGGAUUAGUAUCGAUACCAAAUAACCUUAGUUUAAUUUGAAUUUUAUUGUUAUUGUUAUAUUUUAAUUUUCGUUUUCUUGUCUAAUUUUAUGAGACAUUCAAGAAGUUUUGAUUUAUUGUCUUUUGAUCCAGAGAUUAACGUACUUGUAGAAGGCUUUAUAGAGAAAGGAGAGAAGCUUUACAAGAGCAACAACUAAUCAUGGCUAACGAACCAUUACACGAAAAUGAGGAUACGAGACCUUUAAGAGACUAUGUUGUUCCUACAGUUAAUGGUGCUCGCUCAAGCAUUGCACGCCCUGCUGUUCAAGCCAAUAAUUUUGAAAUCAAGCCAGCCAUAAUCCAGAUGAUUUAGACGUCAGUACAAUUUGCUGGGAUGCCAAAUGAUGAUCCAAAUUCUCAUAUUGCAAAUUUCUUAGAAAUUUGUGACACAUUUAAGCAAAAUGGUGUUUCAGACAAUGCUAUCAGGCUAAGGCUUUUCCCGUUCUCACUAAGGGAUAAAGCAAAAGAGUGGUUGAACUCACUCCCUGCUGGAACAAUCACUAUAUGGGAUGGUUUCGUACAUAAGUUUUUAGCAAAGUACUUUUCUCCAGCAAAAACAGCCAAGUUGAGGAAUGACAUCACAACCUUUGCUCAGUUCGAGAUGGAAUCAUUAUAUGAAGCGUGGGAGAGAUACAAAGACCUACUAAGAAAAUGCCCACAUCAUGGUCUAUCAGUUUGGCUUUAGGUACAAACAUUUUACAACGGUUUAGGAUCCAAUACCAAAACAAUGAUUGAUGUUGCAGUGGGAGGAACGUUAAUGGGAAAAACACCAGAAGCAACUUACGAAUUAUUAGAGGAGAUGGCCUCCAACAAUUACCAGUAGUCUUCAGAGCGACCUAUAUCAAAGAGACCGACAGGAGUCCAUAAUGUUGAUGUGGUCAUUGCUUUAUACGCAUAGAUAACUGCUAUUCGUAACAAGUUGGACAAUAUGAAUAUUCAAACUCAACCACAAGUGUGUGAAUUAUGUGGAGGGAAUCAUACUAGCGUCAAUUGCCAAGUUGGAAGUCUUUUUGCACCAUCAUCUACUGAACAAGCUCAUUAUAUGUCAAACUUCUAGAGGCAACAAAAUAACCCAUAUUCUAAUACCUACAAUCCAAGCUGGAGAAACCAUCCAAAUCUAUCAUGGAACAACACUCAGAAUGCAUUGGCACCACCUCCAGGGUUCCAACCACAAGAAAAGAAGUCAAACUUAGAAGAUGCUCUUACCCAGCUUACAACAAAUAUGUCUCAAUUCAUGACUAAAACAGAGACAACUUUUCAUAAUCAAGCUGCAUCAAUUCGGAACCUCGAGGUACAAGUGGGUCAGAUUGCAAACUUGUUAUCCAGUAGACAACAUGGCUCUCUGCCAAGCAACACCGAGACAAAUCCAAAGGAGCAAGUUAAUGCAAUUAUACUUCGGAGUGGUAAACAACUUGAUAAGCCACGAAAAGAAGCAAAGAAAGUUGAUGAAGAACAAGCUGAAGACACCACCAAGGUUUCAAAGGCAGCAAGUUCAGAUAUACCACAACCUAAACCAGCAGCACCAGUCAAGGCCUAUGUUCCUCCAACCCCUUUUCCUCAGCGUCUCCGGAAAAAUAACAUAGAUAAGCAAUUUUUAAAAUUUCUUGAUGUGUUUAAGAAAUUGCAUAUUAACAUUCCUUUUGCAGAUGCUUUGGAAAAAAUGCCGCUUUAUGCCAAAUUUAUGAAAGAAAUGUUGUCCAACAAGUGGAAACUUGAGGAGCAUGAAAUUGUAAUGCUGACUGAGGAUUGCACUGCCAUUUUACAAAAUAAAUUGCCACUAAAGCUGAAAGAUCUGGGGAGUUUUAAUAUUCCAUGCACUAUUGGAAAUUGUUAUUGUGAUAAAGCUUUGUGUGAUUUAGGUGCAAGCAUUAAUUUGAUGCCUUUUUCUGUUUUUAAGAAAUUAGGUUUGGGUGAACCUAUGGCAACAACUGUUACCCCCCAAUUGGCAGAUAGAUCUAUAAAGUAUCCAAGGGGCAUAGUUGAGGACGUGCUUGUGAAGGUUGACAAGUUUAUAUUCCCUGUAGAUUUUAUUGUCUUGGAUAUGGAUGAAGAUAUAGAGUUACCUCUUAUUCUAGGCCGACUAUUCUUAGCUACAGGAAGAGCUUUGAUUGAUGUUCAGGAAGGGAAAUUGAUUUUAAGAGUUCAAAAUGAGCAAGCUUUUUUUUUAUGUGUACACACCUAUCAAGUAUCCCACUGAACUCAAAGAAUGUUUCCAAGAAGACACUAUGGAUAUAAAAAUGGCCAAACCAUUUAAGGAUGAGCAUCUAUCUGACCCUCCUAACAUUUAUACAAUACAUAAGCAGUAUAUUAAUGAAGAUGCAUCAUCUCAUUUUCGUGGGAAGAGACCUAAUUGCAAGAAACUCGGGCAAGGUCCAUCCAGAUCAUCUCCUUCCAUCCACGAGCCUCCUUGAACCAUCUCUUCGAAGACGGUCAAGCUAAUGACUAUAAAUAAAGCGCUUCUUGGGAGGCAACCCAAGCUUUCUAAACUUUAUUAUUGCCAAUAUUUCCUUUUUUUUUUUUUUUUGUUUUCUUUUACUUUUUUUGUUUUUAGGAUUUUGCACAAGUUUGGGGGUCGACGAACGUUGACUUUUCACAUGCCUUUCAACGACUCAACUGGAAGGUUACAUCUUCAAGUGCAAAAUUGAGGGAGUUUCUCUUUUCCUUUUCUUUUUCUUUACAUUGAGAACAAUGUUUAUUUUAAGUUUGGGGGUGGGAAUAUUUUCUUUCAUUUAUUAUUAAAAAAAGAUAGAUUUUAAUGCCUAUAAUGAGUUUAUGGUUGAAAAUGAAUAUGGUUCUGAGAAAGGGAUGAAUAUUGUCUUAGUUUAUACUUGAUUCUUGUGUUAGUUUCGUCUUCAUUGUGAUUCUUUAAAUAACUUGCGCACUUAUAUCGAUUCUUUCAGAAUUUUGACUUGAGAUUUGAGAUUGAUACAGCCUGAGUUGAGAAUUUUAGAUUGACUAAAUAAAUGUUUGCCUCGAUUCUACAUUACUUAAGUUUACCUAGGCACCAUAGUCAGAAAUAGGUACCUAUAACCCUUAAGAGUGAAGCUAUCUUUGAGUAAUUUGGGCCUAUGUACCACCAGUAUGUAGAGGAUAAUCUACCAUGAGAAGAAGGCUACCUUAAGGGGUAUAGUGAAAGCUCCUGACUAUGGACAAAAAGAAAAAAAAAAAGCAUGUGCUUCAAGAAAAAUCAAAAUAAAAUGCAAAUUUAUGCCUGUGAAAAAAAAAAUCAAGAUGAUGAGGUUAGUUUGACCUACUCUGUUUAUUAUUCAAGACAAGGGCUGUUGAUAUUGAAGAUUUUGAGAAUGAGUUGUGAUUGAAUUGAUUCACACACAACACAAGGAUCCAGUAUGAGAUGAGGCUAGCCAUUGAAUUAAAGUUAGAGCUUUGCCAAAUUUUUUAAUUUUCUUUUAGCUAUAUAUUUUAUGCAAUCUUUGAGGCAUUUUUCAUGAUGUUUGUGGGUAUCAUCGCUGGAAAGCCUCACGAGACUAUAACUCGUCCACUAGGGCCGCUUAGGGGUUUAACGGCUUGUUGCAUACGCUAAAUGCAAUCGCGAUCACCUGCGAAAGUGGUUUAGUUAGAAUUUUCUUUUCGUAGUUUUUAUUUUAGUUUUUGCUCGAGGACUAGCAAAAUGUUAAGUUUGGGGGUAUUUGAUGUGCUAGUAAUUUAUAUAUUAUUUAUAUACUUUCUUUCAAUUAAUUUUAGGUUAAAUUAUAUUUUAUUAUGUUAAUUUUAUCUUAAUUUUUAUAUUUUAUUAUUUUAGGUGCAUUUUGGGAAUAAAGAGGAAUUAAAUCAGAAUAUAUAUAUUCAAGUAAGGAGAGAUUAAAGAAGAAAUUAAUUGGAGAUUUAAGGAAAGUAAUGGGAGUUAAAAUGGAAAAAAAAAUCGAAGCAGUCAAGGCCUAAUUGAAGUUCACGUGAAGAUGAGAAGACUUAGCAUUGGAAAUAAGUUAAUUAAUAAGGCAAAUCAUAUGAAGAACGAAUUAAAAGAAUUUAAGGAAAGCAUUCUUGUGAUGGGCUUUGGCCAAAUCUUUAUUAGCUUAUUAAUUGAACAAGUCACGUGCAUGCAUGAAAGAAUAAGGCGGCUUGGCUUUUGUUUUUAAUUCUUUCCAUGUAAGGAUUUAAAGGCCACAAUUGAAGCAAUAUAAAAGGGCCAAGCGGAAGCAACAGAGGACGGAAUUAAGAGAGGAGGGCAGCCGAACGAAAUUGGAGCCAAGAAGAAAAAAAAAAAAGAAUAGAACAACAGCCGCAAGUCUUAAGCCAAAACCGAGAGCAGUAGGAGCAAUUUGGAGGAGGAAGAAGACGCUAAGCUUAAUUCUUGAGUUUUUCUUUCCCUUGUCUCUAUUAUCUUACUUGAAUGUUCCUAAUUAAAUUUAUGGAUUCUCUUUAUAUUCCCAUGAACUAAUUUAUUUUGUUAGGGCUACGAUGUAGCCUAACUAUGAAGAUUUAAUUCCAUAAAUUUAUGUUAUUUUUAAUUUAUUAUUCCAUGGUUGAGUGUUCAUUAUUGUGCUUAAUGCUUUUAAAUAUCUAGCCAAUAUUUGAAUGAUUUGAGGAUACAUAAUGAGACCGAGAGGAGAUUUAUGUAUUUUUACUUUGUGUAAUGGAUGCCAUGAAUUGAACGAAAGACAGAGAUGUGCCAAUGUGAUUCGUAUAGUUUUAUCUAAGAAUUUCCAUAGAACUUAAUAAAUCUUUGCAUGUUUAAAUCCACAUAGAGAUAUAAUGGGAUAAUAUGUGAAGGUAUUUUUGAUAUUACUCGAGAGAGGAUAUUGAAUAGACUAGGGAAAUUCAUUGUCAACAUGAGUAAUAAACUUUAAUAGUAUAGAUGGAGGAUUAAAUUAGAUUGGUUAUGGUGAAAUCGGAUGUCCAAGUGUUUUAAUCUCUUGGUAUUUUUUGUUACUGCAUGCAUCUUUAUUUUAUUUUAAUCUAAAUUCGCUUAUUCGAUUAUUCGAAUAAAUUAGGGUUAGAAUAAUUUCAGUAGCUAAUAGGAUAUACAAUCUCUGUGGGACGAUACUCUACUCUUCAUUAUAUUACUUGUGCCGACUAGUACACUUGCUAAUUUACGCAUCACUUACCAAAAUGUGCCUUACCAAAAUCAAAACCAUAACAGCAUACUCAACAUGGAAACCAGAAUCCUCCACCGUUCAACAAUUAAAAUUUACACAAAACUAAGGGAGAUUAAAAAAGAUACAACAAUAAUAAGUCAAGAAUGAUCUAUCAGAUUUGUGGCAAAACUAACCACAGUUCUGCAGUGUGUUAACACAAUAUGACUAUGUGUAUGUCGAAAAAGAGAAAGAAGCUCCACAAGAAGCCGUUGAGGCAAUGAAUUCAACAAUUUUUUGCUGAUUCGAGGGCAACUGCACAUAUGACAAACAACGCAGGUAAGCUUAAAAGAGCCAUUCUAUAUAAAGGUUGUGAUAAGAUCUUUGUUGGCAAUGGAAAACGUUUACCAUUAUCACAUCACACAUUGAAAAAACUUUGUUAGAGACUACACAUGGGCAUUAAUACUUGACAAUAUUCUUCUUGUUCCUAAUUUGACCCAAAAAAAAAAUUCUCUCUACUAGUCAACUUACUGAUGAUUCUGGUGUAAUGUUGAGUUUAAUAUUUCCUUAUUUAUUGUCAGGAAGAAGGAGAACAAAGUAAUGGCACGAUCGAGGACAAAUAGAAGGGAAUUUUUUAUUUUUUUUAGGUAACACUACUAGAAAAAUGGUCUUUACUGACAUUAGAAUGGUGUCAGUAAUUACUUUUAGUGACACUUAUUAAUUGUGUCAGUAAUCUGGCAGUCAGAAAAAUCGUGACACUUGUAAGUGGUGUCAGUGAUUACUAUUACUAUAGUCUCACUAAAAUCAUAACACCAUAGUAUUAGUAAUUAUUGAUAUCACAUUAGUGUCUAUAAUUACUGUUACUAUAGUAUCACUAUUUAAUUUAUUUAAAAAAAAAUAAAAAUUUGAAUUAGCUCAUUGUGUAUUCAUUUAUUGGUAAAAUUAAAAAACACCACAAAGUAACCAAAAAAAACUUAAUUUAUAUUAUAAAAUCUUUCAUUUCAUAUUUAAAUAUUAUUAGUACACAUUACAAAUUCCAAGACUCCAACAAACAAGAGAUGAGAAAUCCCACUCUCAUAACUGAAUAAUCUAAAUUAAAUACAUAAAAAUUUCUGCCACAUCCAAUCAGAUGCCUACUAGUUGUGGCUAAAUUUAACAUUUCUAGAAGCUAAAAUGAAAAGGAUGAUUGCCUCCACUCUUUGAACAUAAGUAGUGCAAUUACGUUAACACCAAUAGUAGCUUCUCCAUUCUCCAUUCAAUAGUGGAUGGGUUAGAAUACAAGUGAAGUUGAGGAAAAAGAAACUUCAAACACAUUGAUCAAAUCUGCAAAUGAAUACAUGGAAAAGGGAAAAAAAUUGCCUGUUAAUUUCCAACCAUGAGAGAGAAACAAUGGUUAAUAGAAAUAAACUUUUGUCAUAUUUGUGAUUUUGGCAAAUUUCUAUGUUUAAAACCAUAAUGUUCCCUAUAUCUUCAACUAGAAACAGUGGUUGUUGGAUUUCAAGUUUUUCAAAAUAGGGAAACUGAACCCAGUAAGCUUGUGAAUAUUUGCAUCUUUACUAAAUAUACAUAAUCAUUCAACGGUGAAUAAUUACUAUGAUAAUAAAAAUAGUUCAUACAGUACACUGCAUUGCAUAAUUCAAGUACAUAUAUACUUUUAAGUCUAUUCACACAAUCAAUGCAAAUUACAAAUUCAAACAAAAAAUGAAACCAAAGCAAAGUGAUAUAGUGUCUAUUAGGGAAAAAAAACUAAAAAAUCACGGCAUCUGCCAUUUCAUUUGCGAAUAUCAAAUUCACAACACAAAACUCGAACAUAAAAAAAAAACUUGAUUUAACAAAAAUAAAAAAUGACGUAAUUACCAUUAAAUUGAACUUUAUAACUUAUAAUCUGACUAUAAUUAAUCCAAUGGCAGUUAUGGUUGAGAUGAUAUUUAUCCUAAUUUAUUUCCCACAAUUGCAGUUACGGUUGCAUACAAAUUAUUGUGAAAUCUAUUUACUUCAACUUUAUAACUUAUAAUCUGACUAUGGAAUGGUUAUUUUUAUGAAUAUUGGCUUAUAAUCCUUCCUUUGCACAUGGAAGAAAGAGUAGAAACAUGCAGCAAUCAGAAUACAGAGCCCAUGCUUUGUAAGCUCAUCAAAAGUUGAGAAAUAUAUACAGAAGGUUUAGAGCAUACAGAUACCUGGUGGUGAUGUGUCAUGCUCAAAAAUUUAAACUCGCAUACCACCCUGCACAAAUAUUUGAACAUUCAAACAAAGUCAUUGAAACUGGUUCUUAAGACAGGAAUAUGAAUUUCAAUAAUUAAAUAAACCAAAAUAUUAAAAAGCCUAGCUGGCAAUGAUUUUUUCAAGAAAAUAUUAAAGGAAAAGAACAAAAUAAAUAAAAUUCUAAGAACAUUUGCAACCAAAUUCUAAACAACCUCAAUCUUAGAAACGCAACAACUAUGAAGAGAUCAUCCGACUCUUAAACUAAAAUAAAGAAAACUCAAAAUCACCAAUAAUUAAUUUUUUUAAAAAAAACUCUUGCCUGUCUAAUUCGAAGUAGAACCUCUUCUCCCUUUGCCGCUUCUUCUUUGCUUUCAUAAAGCCCAGCUCCAACCAAAAACUUCAACCCUAAAGGAAAUCAAAAUUAGGGUUUUCCAUAUAGAAAGAAAAAAGUAAUUAUAAAUAAAGAUAAAACAAAACCUUUAACUAUAGAAGGCAAAAUUUUAUAGUAAACUAACACAGGUGAAGAAAGUAUGCAAGUGCAUAUCCAUAGAUGAAUAAGCUACACAGUAUCAUAGGAAAAAAAACUGGAAAUCUGUUAAAUCGUGUAGAGAUGAUUGAUUAGAGCUAAUAGGUAAAAAAAAUGCACACUCAGCCAAAAUAGAGGUUUUAAAUAGCAUUAAAGUUUUAAAAUGCAAUAACUCAUUAAGCUAAAAGAUCACCAACCAAAGCCAUAGAAUUAGAAUUACCAUGAAAACUUCAACAAGAAAUGGAUCUGUCACAUAUUCAUACUUGUAUCCUAGACAGAGUUGUCAAAAUCCCCUGCACAUAAAAUAAAAGAAAUAUGAUUUUUAUGAUAUUCAAUAGAAAAACCUUAAUGUUCGCUGUAAGAUUAAAUAAAAGCAACCUUGGUAGAAGUCGUGAGGCCAAGUUUGUAAGGGAAUAUAGGUGAAAAUGAAAAAGUGAAUAGCAUACUUUUGUUCACACUCUGGCCCCCAGGGCCACCACUUCUAAUAGUGACAUGGUUUGUAACAUGUUAACAUAGAUCAUGCUGAUAGAAACCAAAUCGAAGAAGAUACCUCAUAUUGAAAUUAAGAAUUAGUUCCAAUAAAUUGCAAGAAGACAAGAGAUAAAUAAAAUUAACUACAAGAAACAUUAUGUUAUUGUAAAACAAAAAGUUGAUCUUCUCCACUAUUUUAAAAGUUUUUAAGCUGUGUCAUUGUGUAAGCCUCAAUGGUACAAUAACAUAUGGAAAGAAUUUGUAAAUAUGAGAUUACAUGAUCAUUUUCCUACACGUGAAGAGAAAUAAUAGAAGUUGUAAUCAAAGCUCCACAAAUUCCUCAAAAGCAUAAUCGAUUUCCCUAAUAUCGACAACAAUCACACUGCCAAAGUCUUCGCUUUCAGAGCAAUCUUCCAUAACUCAUUGUAGAAAGUAUUAGCAUCCAACUGAACACAUUAGAGGAAUAAGGAAAUAAUCGUUUGGAAGAAAUGAUAUUCAUAAAUAGAUGAUAACCUCAACUUGAUCAUAUUAACCUAAAUGAAAAAGAAAAGCUUGCUUAAUUAGUUCACUUCGAAUUAAAUUGUCCUUUCGUGUCAAUAAGUCGCACAGGAACUAGCUACGCUAGGGUAUAUUAAUCCAAUUUGAAUGAAAUUAUCUAAACAUGAAAAACCUUUACCCAGUGUUAGUGCCUUCAGGAAACUAGCUUAAGAAUCAAUUUACAAUGAUUAAUUACAUGUGCUGUGAGUCCUAGCCACUGCAACUCUAUUUACCUUCAUACAAGUAUAAAGUUAACACAUCGGCAAACUACCACCCAAAAAUUAAAAAAUAAAACUACAGAUUGAACUAAGAAAUGAUUAUCUGACCUUUAAUUUAGUUGAGUAUGCAAUAAUUCAGUUAAGCAUAUCCAAAGAAAUUAACACAAUACAAUUCAAAGCAUUAAUUUUCCAAUUAGAUAAACAAAUUAAAAUCUCAAUUGAGGCUAAAAUAGUGAUUCGACCUUUAACAACAGUGUCUUAGGCCUUGCACAUGAUUUGUCCAUCAUGAUGGAGUUCAAGCGAACCGAUCUAACCAUAAUCCCUUUUAUUUGGUGAAUUUAUGGCAGUCGAAGAUCGAAUUAGCAGAAGAAAACAAAAGUUCAGUUAACAAGAAAUCCCGAGAAGUCAAAGCGAGAGGGGCGGUGCGCACUUGAGCAGGGUGAGCAAAAUGUGGAGAUCUAAAGAGGAUCUUCUGAGCUUGUAGCAUAGUGGCAUGGUGGAUGUUUUGCAACCUGAUGUAGCUCGUUAGGGUUUCGUAUGGUAUGAGUCUUAGAAUUUGAGCAAUGUUGUUAGGAUUUCCCAUGGCAUGGACUCUUGAAUUUUAGGGCUCAAAGGGGAGAUUUUUUAGAGGUACGAAGAAGAAGAAGGAUCUUGCCAAAGAGAUGAGGCGGCUGGCCAUAGAAUUAGAAGUUAGGGAAUUUUAUGUUUAUGUUGAUUUUAGGGUUUUUUGCUUUUGUUUUAUGUUGUUGUUAUUUUAAUAUGAUUAUUUGAACAUUUUCAACAUAAACUAAAAUACGAAUUUGGCUUGGUGGUUUGUUGUUUGAACAUAAAGCACUUCAAUUUUGAGGUCUUAGGUUCGAGUAGCAACUAAAACAAAAAUAGACUUUUUUUUUUUUUCUGAUACCUUAGUGUCGAUAAUCUCUGAUGUUUAAUCUACAAACACUAGAGAAUUAGUAAUUUGUGACACUUGUCUGUUAAACACAAAAAAUGACCCAAAUAUAUGUAACUACUGAUACUUUUUAGAAAAGUGUCAGAAGACGAGUGUCAGUAAAAGUCAUUUUUCUAGUAGUGUAAGAGGAUGGACAAAAUUCAAAUUCAGUUUUUAGUCUCUUACCUCUCCCAAGAUUUAAAUUCGAGUGACUAGUGAAAUAAAUCUGCUUGAAAACCACUCGGCCAUGCCCUUGGGGCAACUACAGGGGAGCUCGUAUGCACUAGAUGAAGAAAAAAAGGAGUAACCUUUAAUGCAAUAAAAAUAGAUUCUAUAGAUACGACUUUGUGGGACAAAAUGCUUCGGCAUCCAAGUUUGAAGAUCAUACUUGCCCUAAAGAAUAAUUAGGAAAUAAACCUAACUUAUUGGACUGGGAAACCUUCACUUUGUGUUUAAUGCCAUUUUAGAAAAGAGCUAUAAUGUACCUUUUAAAUCGACUACUAAAAUAAUGGAGUUUCCACUCUGGGUCCUGCUAUCCACAUAAAAUUUUCGCAAUUAUAUCAUGUUUGUAGAUUAUUUUAGUAGAUUUUGUUGGUUGUUUUCGCUAAAAUUAAAAGUUUGAUUUUUUUGAGUGGUUCAUUAAGUUCCAAAAAUAGGUGGAGAACCAGUUAAAUAGGAAGAUUAAAUAUUUUACAAUGCGAUAAAGAGGGAGAAUUUUACUCCAUGGCGUUUUCUCUGCAUUUGGAACAUUGUGGAAUCAUUAUCUUGUCAUUACACGCCUGACAAAAUGGUAUAGUAGAACGCAAAUACAGACACUUGACAAAAACGGCUCUCACCAUUAUGUUUCAAUGUGUCUAUACUAGAAAAUUUAUAGGUUGAAGCAUUUCUAGUUGUCUUUAUCUCAUAAAUUAGAUGCCUCUUACAACUCUAAAAAUGAAAAUCCCUCAUCAAAAAUUAUUUAAUAAAUCUCCUAGUUAUACUGGAAUCAAAUUAUUUGGCUGUCGAUGCUUCCCUUACCUAAGGGACUAUAGCAAAAACAGUUUGAGAAAGCCUUGCCUUGUGUAUUUAUUGGUUAUAGUCCUUUAAAUAAAUGAUAUUAAUGCCUAAAUAUAAAACAAAAUCGAGUUUACAUAUUAACACAUGUAAUUUUAACGAGGAUGAUUUUUCAUAUCAUGACAAACUAACACCUAUUUCUUUUUUACAGGAACACAAUGAAGUGACUACGUUGAUAAGUGGAUUUCAAAAUUAGUUAAAGCUAAAAUUGCUAAAAUUCCCAAUGCAGCAAUUGAAGGUCCACAAGAGCUGCAGGCAAAUCAAAAUACUGUUAUGGGUCCUUAAAAGUCACAUUUAAAUCAAAAUAUCGUUAUUCCUUAUGCGCAUCCGAAUGUCCAUAAGAAUCCUUUGGAAGCAUGGACUUAUCCAUCAAAAUAAUGGCGUGAUUAAUAGAAAGCCUUUGACCGACCACAAGAGUCCUAUUUCAAGCGAAAUAAAUGAAUCAAAUCGCCAAAUCGGCCUGGUGAUAGUAGUGCGGUAAUCAAUGAAGAAAUUAACUCACAAGACAAUGAUGCUAUUGAAGACAUUGACAAUGACAAAUCCACUUCGUUAGAGACACAGAGACAUGAUUUUGAUGUACAGGGUAGCAAAGAUAAACUACCAGACUGAUGGUUGUCGAAGCCAGCAAAAAUAAAUACCUACUCUAAAUAAAUUGUAUAUAGUGAUUGAGAAGGGUCGUGUCCAUAGAGAUCAGUAAUUAUUUAAAUCCUUUUAAAAUGUAAAACGUAAAAUGGGAGAAUUGUUGACAAUAAUAGAAAUCAAAUUAAAAUAACAAGAAUACAAAUUAAAGUUGUAAUUCAAAUUGGAGAAAGCUCUGGUUAAAGGAAUUAACUCAGCUUGAUUCGACUACUGAUCAUUGAUUCAAAUAUAAAUUAUCACUACUUAUGAAUAGACCGGUUAUAGCUACUGAGACCCUCUAAUAGCCAAUCUCUCCUUAACUAGUCGAUAACCAAGGUACGACCGUUGGUUAUUUCCCUAAUCAAUAGACAACCCUAGAUACGAUCAUAGGAUUUAAUCAAUUGACAGCCUGAAAAACCAGAGAGACCAAAAUCCUAAUCAACAAACACAUACGAUGGUUCAUUUAAAUUAGAUUGUUUAUUCUCAUAACACAACUCACUGCUAUGCUAUUUGUCACAAACAUUAAAAUCUUCAUACGAUGAAUCCUUUAAUUGACAAUAGAUUAAGUUGAUAAUUAAAUAGUGGCCAAUUACCUAAUUAACAAACAUAAUCAUGAAAAUAAUUCAGAGAAUAAACAAAUACCCAAAAGUAAUAAAACAAUUAAAGCAUAAGAAAGAUCUCACAGUAGUGAUGAAUCAAAGCUUCAUUAACCUUCAACCAGAAUAAUAGAUUUAGUUCUUCAUAGAGAGAAGAGAAAGAUUUAGAUCUAGGGUUUCUUUCUUAUCUCCAAUCCUUCUUUUCUUUCAUAAUAGAUUCCUCCCUUAAAUACUCUCUCUCUCCUCUCCUCUAGAGUUCUUUUUAAAAUAAAAUACUAAUAUCUGAAAUAUUAAAUUUGUAAUUAUAAAAAUAACCAAAAAUACAAAACACGUUAAACUAAAAACUGCAGGUCCGUAGUUGACAGCACACGCCCACGCCUUAUCAAUAAAGUUCUUCUGACGCUCAUAAUUUCUCCGAGAGAACAAUCAUCCUUAAACAUCAUCUUGUAGCUCAAUUUUAGCACCAAUCAAUAGAAUUGCACCUACAAAAAUAAAACACAAGUAAAUCACUAUUAUUAAGUGCAAAACAUCAAUAUUAAGGGAAGUAAACAAUGCAAAACUAGUGCAUAAAUUGCACUCUAACACAUACAUCUCAGACAAAUUGUUUAUUGACUUAGUCAUUCCCGAAUUACGGCAAGCCGAACCAACAGCGACAUCAAAUAUUCAUCCAAUGUUGACACGACUCAAGCUGAAACAUACCCCUCACCUAGCCUUAGGUGCAGAUCAAGAGAUAUAUUGAGCAGCUUUAGAAAAUACUAUUUGAGUUAAUGCGGUAAACAGAGAAAUCAAAGCUCUAAAUCAGAAUAAUACUCGGACUUUUGUUCCACGUCCUACAGAUGCCAAUGCUAUAGGUUCCAAAUGAGUCUAUAAAAUCAAGUACAAGGACUAUGGCACAAUUGAUUGAUUUUAGGCUAGACUUGUUGCCAAAGGUAUAAUCAAGUUCUGGUUUUGACUUUGAAGAAACUUUUAGCCCUAUAAUAAAGCCAACAACUACAAGACUUGUCUUAUCUCUUGGUGUAAGCUCCAAAUGGCUCAUUUAAAAAUUUGAUGUCAAUAAUGCAUUUUUGCAUUGACAACUCAAAGAAAUGGCAGAUAAAGGGCAGCUUCCAUGUUUCGAAAAUUAUUUAUUGCCAUCUCACAUUUGUAAACUCCACAACUGUCUAUAAGGUCUUAAUUAAGCCCCUAUGUCCUGGUUUUUUUUUUUUUUUAAAUGUCCUAUGUCCUGGUUUAAAUGCCUCUCCCAUGCUUUUUUAGGCUAGAUUUCAUAACAGCAAAGCAGACACUUCACUUUUUAGUUAUAAUCGUAAUAAUGUUCUUCUUCUAACACUUAUAUAUGUUGACGAUGAGAUUAUCACAUGCGAUAGUGAGGACGAGAAACAAACUAAGAUCAACCAACUUAGCAGCCAAUUUGUGCUAAAAUGCAUUCGUAUUCUUGGCUAUUUUUUAGGAAUAGAAGUCAAAAAUUUUAAUCAUGGAUUUUCCUAUCACAUGCAAAAUAUACAAGGGAGUUAUUGCAUUCAGUUGGUUCGGUUCAGAGAAAAAAAAAACCGAAUAGUUCACAAAAUAAAGAACUAAUUGGUUUUUAUUUGGGUCGGUUCAAAAUCGAACCACACGGAGAACUGACUAGUUCACUGUUUUAAAAUUUUAGCUAGUAUAAAGAAAAAUUAUUCAAAUUCUUAAACCAAACCAAGCCAAACUGGAACAAACCAAAAUAAUUUAACUCCGUUUGAUUCGGUUGUUCAAUUAGGUUCGUAUAUUUAUAAACCAAUGGAUUUUGAUUCGGUUUGGUUCAAGGGUAAAACCGAAUCGAACCGAAGCUGUUAACGCCCACCCCUGGGCUAAACUGUACACCUAUUACAACACCUACAACGGUGAAAACAACAUUAGCUUUGGACAAUCAAGAACCUAUGAUUGCUACAUAAUAUCAAGGCCUAGUAGGCAGAUUGCAGUACCUUACCAAUACGAGACCUAGUAUAGCACAUUCAAUCAAUCGCAUUUGCCAACACUUUCAAAUUUGACAAAGGUGGAUGUUGAUGCUAAAAUCUGGUCAAGCUUAUGAUAGUAACUAGGUUGCCUUGUCAACACUUGAAUUUGUUUUGAUAGGGAACCGGGGAACUGUUAACUUAUGGCAGGCGAUCAUAAGAUCUAUUCCUGGCAUGUCAUCAUGCGACCAAACAAAUACAUCUGCAUAUGCUUGUAAACAGUAUACCAGCUUUUUCUUUAACCCCUCUUCCAACUUCAACCCGAUCUUGACAAUUUUUUCUGGAUCUUCUUGUUUUAUGCUUACUAUGUCGAUCUCUUCAACCGACUCCUACAUGCCCUUUUUGGCAUCUCUUUAAGCGUCCAAUAAGGUGAUUUUCAUUGUUUCCUUUGCUACUGCUGCAUAGCAGCCCCAAGCAAUCCUUUGAUCUCCCUUUACAACAACUAUGACACCAUUCACCUGAUAUUUAAGAGUCGGGAGAGGCUACAUGCACUCUAAAAAUUACUUUGAACACUCUAUUACUAUGUGCACUCAUCUAUUAAUUCUAAAAAAGUGAAUUAUACUUUGUACACUCUUUAAAAUACCAAAAAAAGUCCUCACUUAAUUCUUUUUUAAAUUAAUCAUCUUAAUUACUCUACACACACAUGAAAAAUGCUAUAUACACUCAAACAAAUAAAUCAAUUAAACAAUAUAUCAUUUGGCCAAAUCAAGGACUCUGUUUGCUCUAGCUUCAAAAUUUUGAAAUUUAAAAUCAUGAAGAGAAGUGAAGAUGAAAUUUUUAAUCGUAAUAGUUGAUUAACUACACUCACCAAUCAUGGGCAAAACACGUGGUAUGGGAGCUGGCCACAAACUGAAGUCAAACCGUCAAACUCAAAGGUGGGCUAAUAAAUCAUACAACAAGUGUCACCUCGGCGACAAAUGGAAUAAACCAUUUGUUGGUUCUUCCCAUGGAAAAAAUAUUUUAAAAAUAUUUUAAAGUAAAUUGUAAAAGAAUACAGACGCAGACAUGAGAUAUUUUAAAACAAAUUGUAAAUACUACGCCCGUUCAUCAUAACAAAUUGUAGAGUAAUUUAAAGCAAUGAUCGCUGCCUGUUCAUCAAAAGAAUACAAAUGCCACAUACACAUGAGAACACACUCCUCAGUUAGAAAUUAAGAAUCUAUUCUAUGUAGUUUCAAGACCCACAAACGAGACACAUGCUAGCCAUUAUGUUAUACUUCGAAAUUGAAAUUCAAUACUUGAAUUCAGGACCCUUCAAACGAGAGACAUGCGAACCAUAAUAUUGUACUUCAAAACUAAAUUUCAAUACUUGAAUACAAAGACACAUGCUAGCCAUAACAUUAUACUUAAAACUGAAUUUCAAUACUUGAACAUCCUGUUAUCUUCAACUCCACCAAAUUUAGAGGGCAAUCAAUUCAACUACCUAACCAUCGGGAAGGGGAAAAACAAGAAAGAUUAUUUGUGUUGUAAAUUAGAAAAUUAUGAUCACACAUGCCUCAUUAAAGUUAAAAUCUUCACAUAUUGAGUUUCCUCUGUAACUAUUUAUUUGAGAUAUUUGAAAGAAAAAAAUUAAGAUUUAAAAUAGUAAGAAAAUUAUACAUUAAUUGCAGUGCCUUAAAUGAGCAUUCAAAGUAAUAAUAUUAUAUAUACUCAUAAUAAAGUGUCCUUAAUAGUAUUUUAUAUUAUGGGUAUUUUUGUAAUGAAAAUAUUUAUAAAAAUAUGAGAUUUUAAAGAAAUUUUUAGAGUGUGUAUAGCCCCACCCUUAAGAGCCAUGUAAUAAUUGGAUAUUACUGCUUUACUAAUUCUCAAGAAAGGUCUGCCCAAUAUUAUUUGAUAUGAGUUGUAUUCAUCAACUACCACGAAAUCUAAUAUCAUGGUCUUCUGGAAUGAAGUGGAGUUUAUUGUUACAGGCAAUUUGAACACACCAAGAGGAGUCAACUUUCCCCCAUCAAACCCCUUCAAUGAUGUGCUAGUAUUCUUUAGUUUCAAAUCCGUAAUUCCCAUUUCAUCCAAGAUCGAUUUAAAUAAGAUGUCUACCAAGUUCUCAGUAUCCACAAGUAUCCGGUCGAACGUUUUGCUCGCACUGGAUGAGCACCAUCAAUGAAACUAUCCAAAUAAUGAUUCCUUACUAAGUCCUCAACCUAGUUCUUGAGGUCUCGACAACGCAUUGUUGCGUGACCAUAGGUGUUAUGAAAUUCACAGAAUUUGCUCAUGUCUCGCUUAUUGGCCGCUUUUGCUAUUGGGGAUGGGGGAUAUAACAAGCCAUGGUCUUUAAUCGUGUGAUAUAGUUCUUCCAAAGGGAUUGUCAAAAGAGUAUAUUGUUUGUACGUCGGGCUUUGGUCGAUUAUCUGCAUAGCCUUGUCCCUAGGGAACCCUCUGUGCAUGGGGCUGGGUGGUGGGGAGUCUGGUUUGUUGAAUAUGGUAUCUAGUAGGUAACAGGCUAUCGGAGCAUUAUACCGAGGGUGCUUAUGCGGUUGGUUAGGUUCCCCUAAGUGAUUGCUACCGGAAGAGUGAAGAGUUGGCUGUGCUAGAACUGAGUUGGCCUCGGAUGAGGCUGGUAAGGGAGUGCUUGACCACAUACUCCUCCACUUAAGGAUGGCUUGUCGCUUUGGUUAAUAGGCCUGCCCACUUUUUGGACUUUUUUCUUUAAAUUCCCGAGCUGUUCAACCCUUAAUCUCACUGCCUUUUGUUCCUCGAUUUCAAUGUCUCUUUUUGCUUGCUCGUAUGCUGCGAAGUAUGAUUGCAUGGCUAGAUUUCUUAAGUUAUACUAGAGCCACCCUAUCUUUACCCCUUCUUUAAGCCCUUUCAAAGCCUGUGGAUGGUUAAAGGAUCUAAGGUCAAGAACAGUACAAUGAUACAUGUUCAAGAACUUCUUGAGGGUAUCAUUUUCUCUCUGUUUGAUUCCUAAGAACUCUAUCAUAUUGUCUUCUGGAGCUGCUACCUUGUGAAAUUGUUCUGGAAAUUCCCGGCACAUCUACUCGAAGUUUCUGAUACUACCUCGAGGUAAUUUUCGGUACCACCCGUGCACACGCCCUUCCAAAGUUAAUGGAAAUACUCUACACCUCUGGGCCUGUGUUAAACCUUGUACCCCCGUCAUAUCAUUAAAACGCUCAAUAUAAACUAAAGGAUCACUCUUCUCAAAAUACUUGAGGUCGGGGAACCAGAAAUCUCGUGGAAUUAUUGUGCUCAUGAUUUCUUUUGAAAUAGGUGAUUUACUAUCUAGCAUAAUUCUCCAACUUAGUGUCUUCCACUGCCCUUGCAGCUCUUCAAUCACCUGAGCUAAUCUGCACACCUCACCCUCCAGCUCCAUAAUGCGUUCUGGGUUUCGUGUUGCGACCUAAUCACGUUCUCACCCUAUAUCAUUUAGGUGUUGUCUCAAUUCUCUUUCUCGAGCACAUGUUCCUCCUCUAUGUUUAAUUGGCCCUGAUUCUCUCUUAGCUGAUCUUUCACUCGAAUACUCUGAUCAUUACAGAGUCGAACCCCUUCGUCAUGGCUUUGUUCACCUUGGGUAACUCCAUUACUAGGGCCAGAGACAUUGGGGUUUUCCACCUGGGAUUUCUCCCAUCUGCCCUUCCCUUAAUUCUUGAAGGACAGCAGUGAAGGCCUCCAUCUGUUUCUCCAUUUGCUCCACUUGCUCGUACAUCAACCUCUCUCUUUCUUCAUUUGUCGUCUCUCGAGAAACAGUAGGAUCAAUUACUCCAGAAUCAGUUCCACGGCUCUGUUUCCUCUUGGAUUUGUUUUGCUUGUCUUGUUGUCAAUUUAUUUGGCUGGUAGCAACUUUUGGUAAGCUCCCCACAGACGGCACCAAAAUGUUGAUGUUGAAAUUUGGUCGAGCUUAUGAUAGCGACCAGGUUCCCUCAUCAACACUUGAAAUUUUUUUUUUUUAUGAGGAACUGCUAACUGCUAUUCUGAUGGAAUUGGAAUUUUCACUUUGCUUCGUUAUUUCCUGCGACAAUAGAGAACUAUCAUGGGGCGUCAGAUAUUUUUUGACAAAAACCCUCCGACGCUCAAGUCAGUAAUCGAUUUUCUUGUAGGGAACUAAUGUCACUUCUCUCGUGAUCUUAAUUACUUUUUUUUUUCUUUUUCUGGUUUAGAAUAGAUCCUUUUUUCUUUUUUCUUUUUUCUAGAAAACUUUUCUCUCCUCCCAAAAAAGUCCCCCUUUUAGGAUUUUUCAAGAUUCAUAUAGGCACCCGAGAUUAUGUGCCAUCUUCAAUGCACAGCUGUUACUGAAUUGAAUGCACUGCUUGAAUCAUGAAUUAAUGUACCAUUUACUAUGUAGUUAUUGAGCUACAGUUAUAACGCCCGGGCAUGCAUAGGUGUUAUGGCCGGAUUUUCGGGAGGAGCUCAACAAUCUGAAGUUAACCAAGGUAACCAAGGUCUCGGGAACAAACGACCUGAUUCUGGUCUCCUCUUAGAAUCCCUGAUCGUCCUUGCACACGUGACCAAUCAUAUUCCUUACAUCACUUUUACAAUAUUAAUAUCAGUAGCAGUACUCCUAUACCCCAAACAGUAGAUAUGCAAGUAGUGAAGCGGAUCCUUCGUUACCUCAAAGGCACCCUUCAUUUUGGCUUACGUCUUUUCUCACAAAGCUCCCGUAGUCUUUAUGGACACUCAGAUUCAAAUCGGCUGCCUGCCCUAACACCUGACAUAACACCUUCGAAUUGUGCUUAUACCUUGACACUAAUUGUAUCUUUUGGAGCUCGCAGAAGCAAACAAUAAUUGCUCGUUCAAUAGUAGAAGUCGAAUAUUAAUCAAUGGCUAUUGCCACAAUUGAAUUGAGAUGGCUACAUUCUCUUGUGAGAGACAUUGUUGUCCAAUGCAAUAACAUUCCAAUCCUAUAUUGUAAUAAUAAUAGUGCCUUACACAUGAUAGGAAAUCCUAUUUUUCAUGCUCGCAGCAAGCUCUUGGAGUUUGGUGUCCAUUUUAUUUAGGAAAAAAGCGAGUCAAGGUAUCAUUCCACAAUAUACAUUCCAUCUUAAAUGCAAAUUACUGAUGUCUUAAUGAAGCCAUUAGGACAUGCUUUGUUUCGCACAUUUCGAUUCAAACUGGGAGUCCAUUAUAUGAAAUUGCCUAGUUUGAGAGGGGAUGACAGAAUCUCUUUACAAGAUUCAAAGAUAUUAGGUACUAAUUUCGCCAUAUGCAUGGCUGUUGCCAAAGGAAUCCGAUGUCAAGAUUUUGUCAAUUUGAGAUUGAAGCAUCUGAGGCUGCAUUAAUCGGGAAUACAUGACAGAAUGAAUGGUUUUAUCUAUAAACUUCACCUUCAACAAGCGUAGAUUUUUCAAUAAUCUUUUUUUGUGUUUUUGUUCUUUUCUAUCUCGAAUCCAGUGAAAACGACAUCAUCAAGCCAGAAAAAUCCCACAAUCAAAGCAAAUCCUCAUCAUAUAGAAUCAAGGAAAUCUCUAAUGGCUAGUUAAUUAAUUGAAAUUAUUGAUAUGUAACUUAUUUAUCUUUUUUUUAUCUAUUUGUAUUUUUGUAUAAAUAUCGUACAUACUCUUAUAUACAGUAAAGCAAGUGAAAUAAAAAUUUUGUUUACAAUAUCCAAAAUUUUGUUUACGAUAUCCAUGUUUCUUUUACUCAAGUCUUUCUUAUACUGAGAGUGAUUCUUUAUAGCACAAGGUCUCCUUCAAAAAAUGUGCAGGCCAUAACUAUUUUGAACUGCUCAUUACCGCUCGAAUCUAACCUUUUCCUGCUUUUCUUCUACGAGUUCAAGACUUGCACAUAAGAGCUGAUGAAUUUCGUCCUUAGGGUAAUGUUGUGUUCGAUGGUAGGAAGUCCAUUCUCCACACAUGAAUGCCUCUUGACCAAAAGCUAAAGGAAAGGGAGUUUUGGUUGUAGCUGUCUUGAUAGUUAUACAAUAUGCCCAAGCCCCUUUUUUAGCUCAUCGUCCCGAGCCCCUUUUUGGCUCCUAGAUGGGCUUUGAAGUGUCUUCUUGAUUGCUUUAUUGGCUAUUUCAACUUGUCUAUUAGCUUUUGGAUGUGCAGGAGAUGCAAAUUGUAAAUCAAUAUAGAACUCAUUACAAAGUGCUUUAAAGUUAUCAAUAUCAAACUAUGUACUGUUACUAGUGAUAAUGACCUGAGGUAUAAUAUAACGAGAUGUUGCGUUUUCCAAACUUAGUCAUAUGUUUUCAGUGAUCGUUGCUAAAGGCCCAGCCUUGACCCACUUCAUGAAAUAAUCGAUGGCAACAUUUGCAUACUUUGCCUAAAAACGAUCUGUUGGCAUUGCUCCAAUAAAAUCAAACCCCAUUGAGAUAAACGCCACAGACUAACCAAGGUGGUUGUAAGGGAAUAUCAGUAAUUAUCUUACAGCUACGACAAGAAUAAACGAGUUGCGUAGAAUCUUGAUGUGUAGGGUAUCACUAAUAACCUUGUCAUAAGGAUUUAAAGGCCAGUGCUAGUGCAUCCUUUAAUGAGUCUCUCAAAUCACAAAAUUACCAUCCUUAGGCGUGAAAAAUCAAAGGUAAGGUGACAUAUCCCAUCAAUGAGACAAGGGACAUGCAGUGAGGGGUGCCAGAGUUGUUACCAACAAAGAACUGUCGAUGCUUAAGUAAAAAAAUCUGAAGCCUCGAUUACAAUAAAUGUAAAUAAAAAGUGUAAAGAGAAAGCAGAGGAGUUCCGUUGUUCUUAACACUCACCAAACCAGAAUAGCCUAACAUUGUGAGCAGGAGCCCGUAAAUAGAGGUGAUAUCUAUAGUUUUGAGUGGACAAUAAUAUGAGGGUAAGGAGAAGUACUCCUCGGAGUCGAGCUUCACAAUUGUUAUCCUAUUAGAUUUUGUUCUAACAUGUAGUAGGUUGACCCGAUUUGGACGUUUGCUCACUUAUCAGGUCGGGUUUAAUUGGGAAACAACAGAGAGUAAUGGGCAUGUAUUCCAUAAACAAAAAAUAAAGCUCAUCGGAAUUGAAUGGGACUCUGAACCCGAUUCGAUUUGAAUUCAAAUUGGAUCGAGUUGAGAUUCAUAAUUCGAAUUGGAUAGUGAUUUUUUUUUUUAAUUUUCGAUCAAAAGUGAGUGGAGGAUAAAUAAAUUCCCUAUAUCCAGAGUCUUAAAAAAAUCAAAUAAUUUAAAUUCACGGCCAUAAAAAAAAAUAAAGAAGAUGAGUAAUUACUCCAGCACAACUCUAAUGUCUUGGGAUUAAUCUAGUUUUUUGUUCUUACAUUAUGCAUGGACAGAUAAUGGAAAGGGUGAAAAUUGAUUUCGAUAUUACACUGUAAGCUACUUAUUCACCGUAAUAUACAGUAAAUUUCAUUUCAAACUUUAAAUCUUCAUUCAGGAUAAUUCAAUAUUCCUAAAAAUUACCCAAACAUCUCUGUUGUAUAUUCUUUUUUCAAUAAAAUAUAUUAAAUUAUUCUUUUACUUUGCAUCUGUUGUAUAUUAUUAAAUUUAUUUGAAUUUAAGUUUCUUAUACAAAAAUAUUAUUUUCUUUUAAAAAGUUAAAUUCAUUAAUGGCUGGGUAGCUUUUUAAAAUAUAAAUACUAGCUAGAUAAUUGGUUUAAACCUUAUGAACUAUAGAUUAAUGUUCUUAAUUUUAGUACUGGAUAAAUUUGUUAUUCAUGGUCCUGUUUGGAAUAUGGUUUUGAACUAUUUUUUUUACUUUAAAACUAAUCUCUUUUUAUAUUAUUCUUUUCUUAUCUUUCUAUAUGAUUUUGUUGGGUUACAUUUAGAUAUUCAAAAUCGUUCCAUUACAUUUACAGAGCAGCAUUGGUAUUUUAUAAUAAAUCAAGAUGUUGUAUUUACAGAAUAUAAAUAAGCUAACAUAUUGACUAAUAUUGGAAAUGGAAAUGUAAUAAAAUAAAAUAUUGUAAUGAUAAAAUAAUAUAGUGUCAUAGCCUGAUACUUUUUACAAUUUUUUUAUUUCGUAUUUCAUCCUUUUUAAUUUCACAAUUUACUGAAGUAUUGAAACAUCAAUAACUCAUAUUUUUAAUGCAUAUUCUAUUUAUUUAUUCUAUAUUAAUUAUAUAAUAUACAACAAAAAAAUAUUGUUUAAACAUGUCAAUUUUUCAUGUGUUUAGAAAAUUUUAUUUGAGAUUACAUUGUCACCGUUAUACCAUCAGUUAUUUUUAUUCUCAAACUAGACCAAUAGAUCAACGUUCAAAAGCCACUUCGGCCUUGGUCGGAGUGGUGGGCUGCUGCCCUCACAAGCAUUGUGAGGGCAGCGGUUCAAGCCCCCACAAAAGCAUUUGUGGGGGCUAACGUGCUUAUUUGUUUAAUAUUUCAAAAAUUUCCUCUCUCUCGUGCAAUACGAGUGGAGUAUGGACAUCCCUCUUCUGUGAGAGAUUAUUUGUCUGGGCAUGUACUUCACAGAAUUCAAUGUAAUAAUAUAAGUCACAAUCAUGUAUUUCUGAUUGUAAAUAUCAGUGUAAUAUAUCUGCUAUAAUAGCAGUUGUAAAUAUCUGUGUAAUGCAGUAAUAUGAUGAUUAAUCAGUAUUCAAAAAAAAAAAGAUCAACGUUCAAAAAAUUUAUAACAAUAUCAACUUAGAUGUAUAAAUAUUUUAAAACUUUUGACUUUUAUAAUUUUACAAUAAACAAUAGGGAUUGUAGUGUUAAUAACCAACAAAACAUGUACUUAUUGGUUAAGUUAGAGGAGGACAAAGUUGGGGUAUCUUGCAACUGUUGCACAUCUAAGUUUAUAUUGUUUUAAAUUUUUAAACUUUGAUAAUUGUAUGUUGUUACUAAUAUUUAACAGUCAAAAGAUGUAAAUUUAAUAAUUUUCAAAUGACUAAUGUGAUUGAUAGCUUUGGUGAAUGUUAAAUAAGGAUAUUUGACACAUGCAUACUUGCUAUUUUUUAACUGCCAAAUAUACUUAUACUUAUUUAAUAGUUUUCGUAGUUUUUAACUGUCCAAUAUACUUACCUUAUUUGAUAGUUUUUAUCUAUGAAAUAUUCCAUUGUUUCUUCUAGUGACACUUUUGUAUAGUGAAAUUAUGGCUGCCUUCCCAGUGGCACAAUUCAUCCUAUUCUUCUUCAAUCAUUUGCGCUUUGCAUAGUUUUGGUGUGACUAAGGCUUCUUGGGAAAAGUCUUCAUAUUUGGACACUGUGUCACAAAAACUCCUUCCAAGAAUGGGAAUUCAAGACUGUCAUUCUCCAAACAAAAGCUUCUAAGACUUGGUAAAUCAUCAAGUUCCAAAAGUUCCAAUAAUGAACAAGUUAUUUGAAUCUCUUGCAAAAAGUGCAAUUGAGAUUUUUUACUCUACAAGCUCCAGUUUAUGUUGUUUAUGGGUCACACGUUGCAUUUGCCCAUGUGAUAUUACGAUUGUGGCUUUAUGCCCAAAAAUCCUAUUCUCAUUGCUCUGGUUACUCAAUCAUCCUAUCACGUGCGAGUGGGAGAUGUUAGAUUUAACGCCUCUAAUGUGAUGAAUUAAUUUAACGUAAAUGAUAAACUUAGAGUUUUUCUAGGAUUCUUAUAAGAUAAAAUUAGUAUUUUAUUUUAAUCUAAUCACACAUUACAAGAAAUCUAGCAAUAGAUGACAACUACUUUAUGACAAAAAUCAUUUUAUCAUAUAACUAUAAUAUAGACGUGAUAAAAUUUUGGUCUAUCAAACUAUUAAUGAUGUAAUUGUGAUAGAAUAUUUAUCUAUCAAUAAUUUAUGAUAUGCAUGUGAUAGAAAUAAACUCAAUCACAAACAUUGUGAUAGAAUUUUAAUAUUGACCGUGUUUGACCAAAUUUAAAAGUAAUAUUUUUUUUAUAUAAUCUAAAACGCAACAUUUAGAUUAUUAAAAUGAUUUAAAAUAAAUAAAUAAAACGAAACGCUGCGUUUAAGAGAGAGUGUAAACUAAAACAAAUUUUUUCUAAGUCCUUCAAUACUCUAUACUUAUCAACAUCGUCAUUCUCACUUGCAGACAACACUCAACCCUAGCCUAAAUACUCAUCGUCACUAUCAAUCAAUCAACCACUACGUACACUACCUAAACUCUAGACGGCGGACCGUUCCCCACCUGUGUUCAAACUCCCAGCGUUCAAAUCAACAUUGAAGCCAUUGUUUAAACUGCGAACUAAAUCCUAGAAACCAAGAUUUGUCGCUACUGUAUCUAGUCUCUCGCUAUUGAAGGUUUUAGUCCUUUCAGCGAAGUAUCUUCAAGGUAAAUUCUUAGUUUCUGUAUUUGAUUCUAGGAUGCAUGCUUCAGGGGAAAAAUUUGUUUGUUUGUGAGAAGAGCUUGAUUCGAUCUACCCUAGAAAUUGAUUGGGUCUUCCUCGUGAGCUUUGAUUUUCAUUACAUUGCAAUUUUUGGUUAGUAAUUGGUCAUCACAGUUAAGAAAUUGUUUGAUUUUCUUUGCCAUAUAGCCUAUUGUUUGAAUUUGGAGAAGAUGUUAUAUUGUUAAUUUUGGUUAAGUGGUGUGACUUCACUGAUUUGGGAAGUGUUGUUGGGACGUUAUGUGGGCAAGCAUAUAGUGCAAGCAAAUAUGAAAUGCUAGGGAUAUAUAAUUAAAGGAAGACUGGAACUGAGAGGUUGUGUUAGUUUGUUUCUUUUAUGUGUGUUAAUUUGUUUAUUCACCUUCUGCAAUCAAUCUCUAUGCAUUUAAAGUUAGUUUUUUUUUUUUUUUUUUUGUAUGUUAGUUAGUUAGUUUGUUUGCUUUAGGGUCCUUUCUAAGAAAAGCAGCAAAGUAAAGGAGGACCUGGAGCUGAGAGGGCUUUAUAUAUGUAUCCACAUCCAUCCAUUAUUGUUUCUUUUCUGAUCUUAGUUACACAAGGUUCUGUAAUUUACUUUUCUUAUAGGAUGAUUAUCUAUGGUUAGCGAAAGACUGUAUAUUUUGUAAUAUUAUAUUCUACACUGCAUGAACAAUUAAUUAUUUGUUCUCUUGUAGAAAAAAAUCCAACUGGGACAAUGUUUUGUUGGCUUAUGAGCCAGUUUGGGCCAUUGGUAUUGGGAAGGUUGCAAGCCCUGCUCAGGUUCAGGAAGUAAGUUUAGGUUUAUGUCUUAUUUAAUUUAAUGUUUUAAUGACAAUGAUCUUCAUGCUUGUCAGGGGUGGAGCUACCCUUAUUGGCUUGCUAUCAGGGGUGGAGCUAGCAUAAGGCUAGAAGGUGCCAUGGCCCCGGUAGAAUUUUGAAAAAUUUUAGGGCUUCUAAAGAAAAUGUGAAACAUUAGUGUAAAAUAUCUAUAUCGGCCCCUGUAGAAUUAGAAUUUUACAUAUAUAAUAACAUAAAAAUUAAAAUUUUAAAUUUGGCCCCUGUAGAAUUUUUCCCCUAGCUCCGCCCCUGCUUGCUAUCAAUAUAAAUAUUGUUGGAUUGAUUAUAAGCCUUUUUUUUACCGGAAUUGGUUAUGAACUUGCUUAGUUUUUUUGUCAACACAUUUCUAUAUGUUUGCACUAUGUGCAUUUUACCCUAGGCAGGGCAUUUUAGAAUUUGUCUAUAGCUCUAGUAGUUUUGAAACAAGUAAUAAUACAGUAGAGCUGUUUCUGAUAGUUAUCAUCAUUUUUUCACCUUGUAGAUUCAUACAUAUAGCAAAGAAUUAUAUUUGUUCCUCAAUCCAUCUUCAGACUCCCAUGCUUGUGGAUACUCUCGUUUAUACAUCUACCUAAAUACUCACACAAACCCACAGAUAAUUUUGCUUGUGUCAUUACCUUUUCAGAUGGGGACAUGCACAAAAAUAUUUUUGUACUUUGUGUUUAUAUAUUGAAUACAAGUAAAUAGAUGUUUUCGGUCUAUUUUAGUUAUUACUUUAUCUCCUUUUGCCAGCAAAACUUGCUGACAUAAUUGCUCUUCUUGUGCUUUUAAAGUUGAUAUUUUGUCAAUUUUUUGGUAAUCAUUUUUCGCAGACCAUGUUUUAAAUAUAUGUGACAGGUCCAUACUAAACUGAGGAAAUGGCUUAAAGACAAUGUCAAUGCUGAAGUUACAGCAUCAACUAGAAUCAUCUUGGGAGGUAUCCUUUCACUACUUUGUUAGUUAUUAAUUGUGACCACCGUUUAAAAUUAAUUUUGAGUAUGCUAUAAUCGUUAUUAAUAUGUAUAUAGCCAAGAUGGGCUCAUUGAAGCUUAUGGUUGGUCUUCUUAGACAUUUUUCUUGUUCAUACAAAGUAGUAAAGAGCACUUUACAACCAAACGUACAAUAUUAUUACUUCAACCUGUUUACUGAACUUACUUUGGCCUUUUCUAUUUGAUAUCAAGGAGAUUUAUUCUUAUGGUUAUGCUUAUGAGAGAAGCAUUCUUUUGCUCUAUUAUGUGCUUAAUAUUUUUCCUUCUGCAACAAUAAUUUUAGUUGGAUUGGUUCUUAAACAAUUCCAAAUAUUUACAAAAAUGGAAGUUGCAAACUGUUGAAAAUGAAUCCAAGAACAGAAUUAUCUACCACUUAUAUUUUAUCCAGCUUAAUUAAUUAGAGGAGUAAUGAAUAAUAAUGCUGUGAACCAAGCCUGUUUUUGUAUUCCUCAUUUAUAGGUACUAACAGAUUCACUUUUCUUUUUCCCUUUACUAAAUAGGUUCUGUAAAUGGAGCAAAUUGUAAAGAAUUGGCAGCACAACUGGAUAAUGAUGGAUUUUUGGGUGGUGGAGCUUCUCUAAAGAUGUGUUUUAUUUUUGCUACCAAAGGCAAAUAAAGAAGUUAUUGUCUUUUGACUUGGCUGAUUGACUUUUUUGUCAUAUUUGAAUUAGCCGAAUUUCAUCGAUAUUACUAAGUUUGCCACAACAAAGAAGAAUUGAAGUUAAAACUAGGCUACAUGGCUUGCUGAUGCCUGCAAUUUUCUCUGUUAUGCUUCAUUGAGAACUAGAGUUAUAAUUUUGUUCAUUAUAUAUCAGUUGUAAUUUAGUUUUCUCUUUUUCCAAUUAUAUAUCAAAGGUAAUAUAUGUAUGUUGUUCAUCCAUUAUUGUUUCUUUUUUGUCCAGGUUUUGUGUUACCCCAUCCUGGACAAAUACCGGACAUUUCUCGUCCCAGCAGAGUAGGUGUGUGCAAGCUCUUAAAAAAUGCCCGUAAAGGACAAUUAUUAUUUGUGCCAUGCAAUCCCAGUCUAGAAAUUUCACAAUGUAAUAAAGUGUUCUUAUCAUUAUUUAUUCAUUUUAGCUUUUCAUAGCUGUUGCUUUGUUUCUUUGGCUUUUUCUAUUUUAGCUUCCAUUGGUUUUAGUUGUGUUUAAUGGUGGUGAAAAAAAAGUGUUUUAUUUGGAUCCUAAGGGGUACAUGCUCCUGAUCCUGAUUUAGAACAGCUGAUUAAAUCGUAUGUAUUCCUUUUCAUUUCACAAUCUUCAUAUUCUCGCUUUCUUUAAUAUAUUUUAGAUACGAAAAUAUUGUAGUUUAUCAUAUAACGCUAUGACAUUGUUCUCAGACUGAGAUAGAUGAAGUUUGUUUGGAGUGGGCUGGCCAUUGUUCUUAAAUCAUUAGUGCAGCAAAAAAAAAAAAAAAUGGUUAGUAUAAAUCUGAAACUUAAUUAGUUAUAUUCACAUGUGCCUAGGCCUUAGCCAUAUUUAAGUUUUUUGUUUCUAGAUAUAUACUUAAUUUGUACAGGACAAGAUGUUUACCAAAAUUAACGAACUUGGAUCUAGAUAUAUGCCAAAGAAAUCACAAAAUAGGAAUCAUAAAUAAAGCCACAGCAAGGAAAUUUGAUAUAUCAUAUGGAUAUAUGGUCUGUGUGUGCAUCUAGUAGUAAAUUUGUAUACUAUCUAUUUAAAGCUUCCUCUUUAUUUUCAUACUUGCAAGAAAGUUAAUUGCCUUUUGUAUGUACCCUUUUGGUUCCAUAUUUUAUUGCAAUAAGGAAUUAAUUUAAGUUGCAUCAGAAAUUUGGAGUUUUAUGUUAAUAGAUAACUCUUUAUAAUGAUAGUGUUGUCUAUAUUCAUUGGUGCUGCACAUGCAGAUUGAGUUUGAAUUUGUCAUGAUUUUGUUGCAUCUAUAACUUAGGAGUUUUACUGUAGUAGUUAAUUCUUUAUAAUGAUGGUGUUGGGCAUAUUCAAUAGGUGUUGCGCAUGCGGGUUGAGAGAAACUGCUGAACUUGCGAGUUUAUUCAUACAGCGCUAUGACACUGUUCUCAGCUGAGGAUUGUAAAGAAAGAUGGAAUUAUGGCUCUAAGAUGAGAUUUGUGAAGGUAAACUAAUUAUCUUAACUAAAAUUUUGUGUAUCUACCACUUUAAGCCUAAAAUAUAACAUAUUUAUAAUUUUUUUUUGUUUAUUUUUUGUGGGUACCAUUUUGGUUCCAUGUUUUAUUUCAGCAAGGAAUUAAGUUGCAUCUGAAACCUGUAGUUUUAGUUUAAUAGAUAAAUCUUUAUAAUGAUAUGUUGGCUGUUAUCAUUGGUGCUGCACAUGCAAAUUGAGUUUAAAUUUGUAAUGAUUCUGUUGUAUCUAAAACCUAAUGGUUUUAUUGUAGUAGUUAAUUAAUUCUUUAUAACAAUAAUGCUAGCUAUAUUCAUUUGAUGCUGCACAUGCAGGUUGACAGAAUUGAAGCUACUGGACUUGAGAGUUUGAUUGGGUAUUUGUUGAAAAUGGCAGUUCAUGUACUGGCAGUUUACUGAAAUUAUGGGUUAAGUUCAGCACUACAGCCACUUGAUGCCUUCUUAGCUUGUAAAACUUGAUACAUUUGUUCUUAGUUGCUGGAUUUUGUCUGGUGAAUUAAUCUUGUUUGAUAUAAUUGUUGGAUAAAACUGUUUUUGGAUGGCAUUAUUAAUAUAAUUUGUUUUUUGACUUAAUAUAAUAUAUAAUUUAAUUUUUGGUUCAUAUGAAUUUAUGCCUGAAUUUCCUAUAUAGGAAUGCAUAAAUUUUGUUGAAAUAAUUCAUAAUUAUGUUCGGGGUUUUUAAUUAAAGAUGCCCUAAAAGUAGGGUAUUUAGUUAAAUAUAUCACAUGUUUGAAAAUUAUCUAGAUAUACCUUUUUAUGUGGUACAUUGUUUAAAAUAUCCCUAAAGAAAAAUAUAAAACACACACAACUCACCUCCAACACUCUUUACUUCUCACUAUUUUUAACUCCACACAACAAAAACUCACUCCACACUCAAAAUCACUCACAAACAGUCAAUGCACUGAGAUUUUAGUUUGCAGCUGGGAGCAUUAUUCAUCACAUGAAUAAGGUAUUUGAAGUUUUAUUUUUAUUUUGUAUUAUUUAUUUAUUUUGUUGACAUUAUAUUAUUUUUAGGGUUUUGUUUGGUUUGUGAUAAACAAUAAAGCAACUCACAUAUUCAUUAUAUUUGCAUCAUAUGACUGUUAUUUGAUGGAUUUUAUAACUACAUUCGUUAAAAUUUAAAGUUGCUGCCAAAAUUUUGUUCUGCACCCCGACAUACACGACAGCAUGGAUUUACACGACUGUAGUCGUGAAAAUGUGCAAAAGAUUCAAAUUAUUAUGACACCCUAUCAUUUUAUUGGUGCAAAAAAUAUAUUAUUUUCACUAGAUAUAUCCUUUUACUAUUACUGGACUAUAGUGGUGUGUUUUAAUAAGUUACACGACUACUAUCAUGUACGUAUGAAUUUACAUAUUAUAAUUGUACAUAUAUGUAAAAUGUUCCAACUGUUAUGAGAUCCCAACAUUUUAUUAGUGUAAGAAAAAUAUUUUUUAAAGAAGAAAUAUGUCCUUUGACUAUUUAUAGUCAUGUAUUUCUAUAACUUACACAACUGUCAUCAUGUAUGUAUGAAUUUACACGAUAGUAGUUGUGCAAGAUUGAAAGAUAUAGUAGCUGUUAUGACACAUAGCAUUCUGUUAGUAUAAAAAUUAUAUUUUUUUACUAAACAUAUUCUCUAACUGUUUACUAGACUAUAGUUGUGUAUUUUAGCAAGUUACACAACUAUUGUCGUGUAAAUAGAUAGACAAUUCCACACUUCAUAAUAUACCUUGUUUGAUUUUUUUUUGUAUAAUCAUCUGUUGUAUUAUUGCAAGAAGUGACUUCAGUAUGUUUGCCGAUUAUUCUUUAGAAUCAUAAGAAAUUAGGAUAGCAUCACAAGGUGAAGAAAAGUUACGUUGUAAGUAUGGUAGGUGUGGUUCUCAAUGAUAUAAUCGACUAACUUGCAAUGCACCAAUCUCACUGUCUAACAAUCAGCCCGUAGUUAGACCAAAUGAAACAAAAACAAGCACACAUACUACUAUGAACCUUACAUACUUGUCAUUUUUGUUGUUUUAAUUUCUUUAAUAUCUAAAAUAGUUAGUUGAUAAAUUUCUACCUUUUUUGUUUUGCAGUUGGAUAAACAUGUUUGUGUGGCUUAUGCUGUUUUCAAAAGGAGGCGACCAGGGCCUUAUAAUACAUGGGUCGAGUGUUUGGGCUGAGCAUGCAAAUAAUUAUGAUGAUUGUGCAGCAACUUCCAUUGUAUUACAACUUAUUUAUGAUUUGAACAUGUAUUGGAUCUAUGUUGUUUGAUGUACAAUUACUUUUGUUAUUUGUUAAAUUGAAGUAUGAUAUGUUAAAGCCUAUGUUGAUUUUGUUGUCAUUAUAAUGAAUGUUUUAGGUAAUUUUAUGUUCUAUGUCUACUUAUCCAACUACAGUCGUGUAUUUUGGCUCUUACUCGACUAUUGUCGUGUAUAUCUGAUUGUACUUAACUAUAAAUGUGAAUCUAUUAAAUACUCGACUAUUGUCGUUUAUUUAUGAAAAUAUCCGACUAAAGUUAUGUACCAAUGCAGAUACCAACUGGUUAUGUAUGUUUACAAAUACUCAACUGCUGUCAAGUAUUUGUGAAAUACCCGACUGCAGUCGUGUACUAAUACAAAUACCAGCUGGUCAUGUAUGUUUGUAAAUACUCGAUUGCUGUCGAGUAUCUGUGAAAAUACCCGACUACAGUCGUAUACCAAUACAAAUACCAGCUGGUCAUGUAUGUUUGCAAAUACUCAACUGCAGUCAAAUAUCUGUGAAAAUAUCCGACUGCAGUCGUGUACCAAUCCAAAUACCACCUGGUUAUAUGUGUUUGGAAAUACGUGAUUGCAGUCGAGUAUCUGUGAAAAUACCCGACUGCAGUCGUGUACCAAUGCAAAUAUCAGCUGGUCAUGUAUGUUUGUAAAUACUCGACUACAGUCGAGUAUCUGUGAAAAUACCCGACUGCAGUCGUGAACCAAUGCAAAUACCAACUGGUCAUGUAUGUUUGCAAAUGCUCGACUGCAGUCGAAUAUUUGUGAAAAUACUCGACGACAGUCAUGUAUUUGGGCUGAGUAUUUCUUAAGCAUAUAUGACCAUUCUAUUACAUCACAUACAUUAUAUAAAAUUAUCUUCUCUGUCAUUAAUAUACUUAAUAAAAAAAAACAUAUGUAUGAUGUCAAAUUAACUUUAAUGAUAUCAAAUAUCAACAACAUCCCAUUGUAAUCAUUACAUCUCAUGAUAAGUAAUCCAAAAAAAUGACAUAUCAAUGAAGUUUUUAAGAGUGGGACACUACGUAGUUUUUUUCCAAGACCUACUCCAAAAUUAUUUGACAGCCAAUGCUUUUUGAAAUUGUGCAACAUCAUCUUGUUGGCAAUAUGAAUUGACAUCAAGUCAGUGGGCCAAGACCUCCAAGAAUUGCAACAAAAAUGCUCAACAAUCACUACUAAAAAAAUUCAUAUAAAUCAAUCUUUAAAAAUCACCAUUGUUAUUGUUAAGUCAAAAAAAUAUAAUUUCAGUUUGUAGUAAAAAUAAUACUUCAAAUUUAUUAUCACUGUCGUAAUAUAUUAUCAAUCUACUAAAUGAUCACACAACAUAAAAGCAACAUGUAUGAGAACUUUUUACAACUUAAAAAUGUUCUAUAUAUAAGGCAACAUGACUUUCUUACAACUAGCAUCUACAUGAUCAGCAUAACUAUAUUAUUUCAAGAACAAACCCAUCAAAUUAAAAUAUAUUGCCAAUAACUAUGAACUCAAAUAAUUUUUAAAUGAGUUAUAAACAAAAAUAAGAAAUAAACCAUCACUGCCAUAUGACAUAAAAAUCAAACUUUAUGUAUCAAGUAUGUUAACAAAUCCAAAUAAAGUAUAAAUAUUCAAAGAAAAUGUUGAAUUUUUCCAUAACACUCAAACAAUUAAUUUUCAUUAGUUCAAUCUGAUUAAUAAGCUAUUAAGUACGUGUAUAAUUGGCAAAAACUAAAAACAAGUCUAGGACGAGUGUAUUAAAGUGCAUUUCUCCAAUAGUUAACUAGUUGGAAAUAUAUACAACAACAUUUGCUGCACAAUAAUAUCAAAUCCUAAAUGCUAUGUGACUUCUUCAGUCAAUAGCCUCACAAUGAGACAAAUUAAUAAAAUGAUCCAACAUUGUUUCAAAAUUCACAAGUCGUUCAAAACACAUUUAUUAAUAGUGUACUAUCAAUAGUUUUAUGCUAAAACAAAUAGCAAAUUGUUAAUAAAUUAGAAUUGCAAAAUAAAGGUUCUAUAGCAAAUAAUAGAGAAAAUCCAGAUUGUAGCAUAAUGAAUGCAUACGCAACUGAAGAAAAUUGAUAUAUAAUUCCCAUGGAUGAAGUUCAACUACAAACAACAAGUAAAAUUAUAUAAAGAUCUAAUGCAUAAACUAGUGUAGCCAUAACCAAGUAUUCAUAAGGAUAAUAUUUGUUUUAUCCAAUUAUCUAUGAAUAUUUAAUUAUGAACUCCCACAACCAUUAUUAAAGAGCCAUGAAAUCACUCUCUUCAAUUUCAAAUCCACAAGUUCAAGAAGCUUCAUUACAUUACCAGCAAGAAAGAUUAUCAGUAAAUAAGCAAGAUAAUGACCAAAAUCAUGUGGGUAAUUUAUUUUUUAAAACCCUAAUGCAUAUAACCCUAACAAUUAUGCACCAUAAAUUCUCUUUAUAAAGUAAAAAUCAAGUGUAAAUGUGGUUAAUGACCUUUAGUUCGGUGAAUUUCCAGCCUUUAAUUCGGUGAUUUUGUAGCCUUUAAUGUGGUGGAUGAACUUGCAGCAGCAGGAGCAUGAACUUGCAGCAGCAGGCGUUGUGUAUGGUAGCUCGUGAAGGUAGAUUUUGAAAUUUGAAGAAUUAAAUUGGGGUAAUUCUAUAAUUGCACAUUGAAAAAGGUAUAUAAAAGAAAUUUUGAAUUAUGGGGGUGUAGUUGGAUAAAUACCUAACCUUUAGGGUAUGGCGGGGACAAAUCCAAUCAUGUUCAGCAUAAAUUUAGAAUGACAGAAAAAAUUAAUCAUUAAAUAAGUCAUAAAAAAAUUAAUGACAUAAAAUAUCAAUCACAAAUUAUGUCACAAACGUAAUAUUUUACCCACCAAAAUUUGAAAAAAAAAAAUCACAUUUCUCGCCAAAAAUUUAAAUAAUUUAUUCAUUUUUUCCAUGACUGACAUAUGACAUUUAAACGGUAUCAUAAAUUAAUGACAUACUUUUUUCUAUCAUAAAAGUGUGACAGGUACAUAGAUGAUAGAUAAUUUCACUGUCAUCCACCCCCUUUUAUGAUAGAUUUUUUGCAGUCAUCUAUUGCCAGUUUUCUUGUAGUGACAUAAGAUGUAGCUUAUCAAAUAACUCUAGAAAGUUGAUUUGAAUUACACUACACUUAUUGUUCUAUAUAAACACUACAUGGGUGAAUGAUUGCACGUACAAUAAUAGUCAUAAGAAUCAAAGCAACAUCAAAAGAGAGUGAGAGAAAAGGAAAAAGGCAGUGGGUUCUUGCUUUGUGAAUUGAGGGGAUUUUCCAACUACGUGAUUGUCCUCUGAUCAUCAGUGACAUAAACUCAUGAUAGAUCCGUUCGUGAAGUAGAUUUGCUCAUAAAGGUUCCUAGCAAUUAAUUAUUGUUCGUUGCGAUCUGCUCGUGCUAGUUCCUAACAAUCCGCUUUUGAAGAUUAGAGGGAGCUUAUUUCCGCAUCAACCAAUAAGGUAUGGAUUUGGUUGAACAAAAUAAAUAGCAUAAUUUAUUUAGAAAAUCAUCAUUAGUAUCAGAGCAUGUGUAGUUUAUGUUCUGAUCUUGGGUGCAUUAUGUAUGCUAAUAUGCCAUGUUUUCUGUGAAAAUUUGAUAAAAUUAUGUAUGCAAUUUAUUUAGAAAAUCAUCAUUAGUAUCAGAGCAUGUGUAGUUUAUGUUCUGAUCUUAGGUGCAUUAUGUAUGCUAAUAUGCCAUGUUUUCUGUGAAAAUUUGAUAAAAUCACACAUUAAUGGUAUAUGAUAAUAUACAUAAUGUUAAAGCAUGAAAUUCGAAAUAUAAUCACGUGAACAUACAAGGAGUAUAUAUGGAACUUUGUUUGAUAUAAUAUGCUCUUGAAGAAUGAAUAAAUUGAAACCCUAAGUUAUAAACCCGCAUGCUUAUUUUGCUUAUAACUUUUUGUAUGUUCAUUCGUUCUCUGGAAAGUUGAUAUCAUUGGAAAGAUUAAUUAUAUUUGCAACGGUAUAUCAAAUGCUUGAUUUGGACUUGUAAAUUGAGAAAACGAAGUGUUUAAAAUUCUAGUUCGAAAUCUGGAAUUUUUGUUCAAAUUGAAGAAGAUGAACAGUGUUACAUGUGUUGUCCCAAUCUCGGGCAUGGCGUGUGAAAUUCACCCCUUCAAUAAAACAAAAAUUCAAGACCAGAUUUGAAUUCAGGACAUGAAAAAAGGUGGAAAUUCAUAAAUGUAACGUCAGAAAAUGGCCAGAAUCUGGGAUGUGUAUCACACGCGCCGACGAGGAGAGUUAAAAAAAGGCUUGACUCUAAAUCAGUCCAGGCCGCGCGAAUUGAACCAAACCGUGCGAACCAAACCCCAUGAACUGAACUCAGCUAGACUACGAGUUAGCGCAAGUCACGUGCCAAGCGUGCCGCAUUGACCUACCCGCGACAGUGGCACGUGUAAUGUACGCACCGCCUUCCCGACCUUUGAUUGCGGCGCUGUUUGCGGCAGCCAGACCAGAAUUAAUUUCCUAUUUUUCUAUUUUAAAAUUAAAUUUUUGUCUCUGUUUUAAUUUUAAUUUAUUUUUUAUUUUUUGACAUGCUUGAAUUUAUGAAUAAAAAUAGUUUUAUUGCCAUUAAAUUCACAUAAUAUGCAUCUUACAUGUAAGAAUGUUAUAUUCCAGUGGGAGGAAAUAUAAAAUACUUAAAAUAUUAUGGGGAUUAUUAAAGUCUCGCGUAGUAAUGUGAAUUUAUGCAUGUCUAGGAAAAUUCUGUCAAAAAGACAAUAAGAGUAUAAGGAAACAAGGUACUUAAGUGGAACCAUCCUAUCCCUACCUCUUUCCUGAAAAUUUUCCAUAUGAUUAUUCACGUGAACAAAUGCAUGAAGGCUUUUUUAUCCCUUAAAACUAAAAUAAGCAUUCUAUUAUUAAAAUACUAAAAAGAUUAAAUAAUAAUUAAGAUUUUUGCGCAAAAGGACUAAAUGAUGAUAAUUUAAUUAUUCCCGACCUCUGGCUUUUCCGUUCUCUUUCUUUCAAAUGGUGAAAAUAAUAACAGAGCAUGACAGCUCACUACUUUCAUUUGUUAAAAAGUGUUGCCUGAAUUCCUUCCUUUGCUAGCUGGAACUAUUAGGUUGAAGUAAUGAGUUCUUGUUAAAAGCACAAAUUUUACUUUAUUUGAUGAUUAUAAAGCAUUCGUCAGUUGUGAAUACUCAUCCAAGGCAGGACCGGCCUCAGAAUUUGGUGAAAUAGAAGAGCUUCUAAUGAGAUUGUAUAAUCAAGUCAAUGUAUACUGAAUUUUACAUGUGGAUAAAUUGAAGAGUUAGAAUGAAAUGUUACAACCCCUAGGACGUGUUUGGUAGCCCACAUUACAUGAGAUAAAAAUAUUGUUUUGUAUUACAUUUAUGCAGAUCCAUGUUUGGCAAUAAAAAUAACUACAACAUUAUUGCAUUAAUGGGCUAGGCUAAUGUGGCAAGUGCCGAAUUAGCUUCCUUCUUCUUUUUUUCCCCCUUUUUCUUUGUUAUAAUAAUAAUAAAUAAAUUUAACUUUUUAAUUUCAUUUAAUAUUAUAUAAUAUUUUUAUUUUUAUUUUUACAUUAUAAUUAUUAACAUAAAUAAGUAAUUAUGAUUAUUAAUAUAAAUUAAUAAAUAUAUAAUUUAUUAUUCAAUAAUAUUAUAUUAUAUUUUUUAUUUUUACAAUAUAAUUUAUUAAUAAAUUUACAAUUUAAUAUAACUAUAAUAAAUAUUUACAUAUGAAUAAAUUUGAAUAAUAUUAAUUUAAAAUUAAUAAUAAUAUUAAUAUUAAUAUAAUAUUAAUAUAAUAUAAAUUAAUAGAAUAGAAUAUAUAAUUUAAAUUAAUCACAAAAAAUUAAUACAGUAUAGUGUAGCACCAAUUAUACAACAUUGUUAUAACAUAGUGCUAAUACAAUACAGUAUAAUACAAUACAAUUUACCAAAUGCACCCAUUGGAAAAAGGACACCUACACCCCAACAUUUAGAGAAAUAGUUAUACAGACCCCUAAAUUUUCAAUAAGAGACAUCAAGACCCCCUUUUAACCAUAAUACAUUUUAAAAACUCAAAAAAUUGACCCGAAAAUUUAUAAUAGAUAGAAAUAUACAUAUUUUAUUAUAUUAAAAUAAUUUUUAACAAAUAGAAGCAUAAUAUCAAAAGAAAUUAAUUAAAGUUAAAAUUAUUUGAAUAUUAUGUAAAAAUUAAUUUUAAUAUUAUUAACAGGGAGAUAUUUUAUUAAUCGUAAAAUCUAUUUAACCCAUAAAUACAAAUAUAUUAUCAAAAUAAAUAUAGAAAUUUAAAAUUUUAAUAUUAUUUUAAAUGUUAAAAAUAAUUUAAUAUUAUUAGUCUACUGGAUAGAUUUUAUUAUUUAUAUUAAUUACAAAAUUUUAAAGCUAAUGUUCUAAUUACUAUAUUCAAUAGAUAUUAUCGUAUAAAAAAAGCAAGUCUUAGUGUCCUAAUUUCUUCAAACCUUAUGAGUGUUGGUGUCUUUUUUUCUAAACCUUACGAAAGGUUGUUUACACUAAUAGAACAAAAUUUUUCCCGGAUGUUCGUAAGAAACAACAGUACAAUAAUUCUAUCAUCAUCUUGUAAACAAAAGUACAAUAACUCUUAACGUAAUGUUGUCUGCUAACACCAAUUAUUUAUGCAUAUUUCUUUUUAAAAAAGCUCAAACAAUGCUCCCUUUAUUUUUCUUUAAUUGGACAAAAGAAAAAAAUGAUUACGGAGCCACUACUUUCCAAAUGACCCUAUCAACAGCUAGUGACUCUGACUAUAAGGCAAAAUAUGUACACAAAAGUCAUAACGUUAAAGUUGGAGGAGCCCAUUUGACAAUAGGGACAAUAAUAAAUAAUUAAUUUUCCGUGAUGCAUGAUUUUUCCAAAUCUUAUUUUGUUUUUCUUUUUUUCUUUUUACUUUAAGGGUUAAUUUUAGAUUUCGACUCGUGAUUUGAAUUCAAAUCACCUUCUUAUUUUUUAAAACCUUAAUCUACCUUUACUUUUUAUAAAGAAAAUUUUAAAAAAAAAUUAUCAACAUACCCAUUUUUAAUCUUUUAAAUGAGAGGUAACUUGAGAUUUUAAAAAAUAAAUGGGCGAUUCGAAAUUAACCAUUCAAGAGAGGGUAAAUUUUAGACUACUUCCCUCUCGAAUUGGCUAUCUUCAAAUCACCCCCUUAUUUUUUAAAAUCUCAAGUUAUCCUAUUUUUUGUGUAAAAGAUAAGGAAAAGAUGGAGGUAGUUGAUGAUCCUUUUUUUGGGUCUUCUUAACAAAAAUAGAAUAAAUUGAGAUUUUAAAAAAUAAAGAGUGAUUUGAGGAUGGUCAAUUCACAAGAGAAUAAUCUUCUUUUAUGAAAAAUAAUUUAUUUUUAUUUUUAUUAUUAACAAACUUCCAAUAAAUGCACGUAAGGAUUAAAAAUAUACGGAUAUAAGUUUUUGAGUAAUCUGUUCAUUUCUUUCCACACUUGUUUAUAUUUAUUGAUUUUAUUCCACUCUACUUAAAUAUGCAAAUAUUUCUAUAAAAAAAAAAAAAGGGGUCGGCUGAAAUAGGCAUGACGUGUUCAUACGCUAAAGUGGGAAUAAUAUAAACAAAUCAAUUAAUUAUCCGAUGAUGACAAUUUUUUUUUCUUUUGAUAGUUCAACUCUUUUCCCCCUAAACGAUGCAUUGUUUAUAAAUGAAAGCGUUACAAAAAUUAUGAAAAACAAUAAUUAUUUUUUUUACUAGUAAAAUAGCAAUUAGGAAAAAGCAUCUGGGUGCAAUAAUUAUUAUUAACAUCAUCAAAUCUUACAUUUUAUUAUUUUUCUAUGUUGAUCUUUAAUAUACCAGUUAUGCCCUUCUUUGAAAUUUAUAAAAGAGUUUAUCAAGAAAAAAGAUUUAACAAAUAAAUUUAUCCAUCUGAAUAGCUGAACUCUUACACACAUCUAUAAAAUAUCAGGAACGCCCUUGACAAAAAGACUAUUUUCUCAAUUUCCAUGAUAAAACAUUUUAAUGGUUGGCAGCAUAAACAGGUAUUAACUAUAAUAUUACUAUAUUAGGCAAUUAGUAUUCUAUAUUCAAGGGUAAAAUUCAUUUUAUCUGUUCAAAGUUCUAUUUGUAUUUUACAAGUCAAAAUAUGUAUAAUGAAUCUUGCAAUUUUUUUUUCCCAAAGCAAGGGCAUAAUUGAUAUUUUAAAUGACAACUAAAGGUCAAUUACUAUUUUUUUCAAAAUAGUAGUUAAGAAAUUUAUAAAUCUUCAAUAAUAAAAUUUACAUUAAAAUUUUGGAUAAAAAAUUUAUGUUGAAAUAACCCUCCAUAUCUAUAUCGAAAAUAAUUCUCAGGUGCAGAUUUUUAAAGUCAGAUUUCGUGUAGAUUUGCUAUUACACUAUACAGUAUUCUGGUUUUUUUUUUUCAACUAACACUAUUAAACCAGUGGCGUAAUAGUGAAUCCACAUAUAUAUAUGAGGAAAUUUUAAUUAGUUAAUUUCUUGAAAUUUUCUAAUCUGAAACUAUUAAAAAUGAUUUGAAUGUUUUAUAAUUAUAUUUUAAAGUAUGGUGCGUAUGCACAAUUUGAGAAAUGAGAAUAUCACCACUCAUUUUUUAAUAUACUUUUAUUUAAUUAGAAACUAUUGUUCUUAUCUUUACAGCGUAUAUUGUUAAUAUUUAUGGAGAAUAUCCAUUUUGAGAAUCACUAAAUAUUGCUAAUAUUUAGCGUAUAUUAUUGUUAUAUAUCACUCUUGUUCUUAUCUUUACAGCGUAUAUUGUUAAUAUAGUCUUUCAAAUCAUUAUCUCUAGGCUGUUUCAUUACUCCUCGUAUAACAAUAAAUAUUUAAAUAUUGAUACAUGAAUAUAAGAAAAUAAAUCAAUAAUAUCGAUUAAAUAAUAAUUUUUGACAAUUUUAGGACUAGUGUGCUAAAUUAGUAAUUCGAUAAAUUUAGACAAUCAUAUGUUAUAAAAAAAUUGUUAUUUUUAUAUUGGACUCGACUCAGAUACUCUAUAAAUUAAUAGUUAAUUUACUUGCAACAAAAUUAAUACGGUAUGUACGUACAUAGGCGGCUUUUGCGAAAUAUAGUUUUACUGUCUUCUUUUCUUGAAAUGGUUGUAGACUUGAUCUCAUGUCCAAUGUCACUAGCGUUUUAAAUAAAUUUGUGCAAGGUAGGCUCAAUAGUACAAAGAACUAACAUUUGAGGCAUGCACAAAUAUCUAAUUUCUUAUUUUAAUUAAUAAAUAAUUACAUAAAUAUAAGACUCCAAUAUAGUUGAAGUGGCUAGGUAAGUACUGAUGGAUUUCUAGUAGCAAAUGCAAGCAGUUCUUCGUCACCUUCAAAAAAGGCCAUGUCUUCGGGGCUCAGAGUCACCCAUACUUCUAUUCCCUUACCAUCGUUUGCGGCCAUUAUAAUAAUCAAGUUUGACACCCAAUAAUUUGGCAUAGUCAUGUGCACUGGCUUUCCCCAUCCAAAAUCUGCUGCUUCAUAAUAUGGAAAGUUAACAAGGCUGCUGAAAGUGUAGAAAUCGAUCUCAUCUUUUUCAAACUUGUCUUUAAUUGACUCCGGAAUAUCGAAUAUAUUCUUGUUUUUUAGCAAGGUUUUGAGACCGUUUCGUCUAAAUUCUGCCUUUGCUUUUCUUAAUGAACAAACCAAGUCUUGUAGUGUUUCAGUUUCCUUUUCACUCGCCUGCGCCGUCAGAUACGCGACGGAGUUGCCCACAGAGUUGUCAGGCAAGGGCGGCUCGGCCACGGCACGCACGUCUAUCGCCUGUACUGACAAAGAAGGUCUUGAAUACCCAAGGUUUGAUCUUGACGCCGCCCUUGCACACUUCCAAAUCAGGGCAGUCAAUGCCUCGACGCGUGUUGGUCUAGGCACGGUUGGACUUGCAACUUUAGCCUUGAGUUCGUCAAUUUUCUUUGCAUCAAAUACAAACCUGUUGGCUUUGACCGGUGAAAUAUGUGAGGGUGCGGCCACGAAGGAUUCGCUUGCUGGAAAAAUCGUUGAAGUAACAAAUCUAGGAGUCACUUCCUUAUUAUUGCUGCUGCCCGAUAACUGAUUAUCCGCACGAGCUGUUGUGGCCCAGCUGUCAACGAAUAUGCGUAACGAGGCUCCAUCAAUGAGCUUGUGACAAGUGCAAACUGUGAUUGCCAGUCCCCCGCAUUUGAAAAAGGUAGCUUGUACGCGCAGCAUUGGACACCCAUUGCUUGCUACUGGAGAUUCUACGUAGUUAAACGGGUGAAAAUCCCGUAAUAAAUUCUGAUCAGGCUUUUGUAGGUAUUCAAACAAAAAGCCGUUCGCAAGAGCUUCAACAUAUUCAGCCCCUUCGUCGUUACUUUCAAUAGAGAAAUCGUCUUUGACCCUCCCAGCAAGUGGGUAGAAUUUUGUGAGAGUUUUUGAUAGGGAUAACUUGAGACAUUGCGAAAUCUGGUCAGCUUUCACAUUACCGUCUGCUUUGUACAGAAAAAUGGUGCUCACAUAGACCGGAAAAGUGAUCUGGUCCAUGAGGGAAAGUUUAAAAUUUCUCAGGUGUUCAGGAGUUGGGUAAGCUGGUUUGAUGCUUUCUCUGGCCCGUACUAGUACUUCUAGUGCCCUUUCCAUUUUAGGCUUUGCUACUUUUGCAACCGUUUGUAGACUUCUUGUUAGUAGUACCUGUCCAAUAUUAAAAUAUCAAAAGUUAAAUACAUUAUACACAUAGAACUGUAACUAAGAAAAUUUCUAUCACUAGUUUUGAUUACUUUUCAGUGCCUGCCUUGUUGUUGCAGAUCUCGGUUGCUCUUAUUAGAUGGCAGCUCCUCGGUAACUAGUUAAGACCCUUAUAUAGUAAAAUUUGGUUGCCAAAUUUGACUCCAUUAGUUCGAUUCCGUGGUUUGUCAAUGCAUCAACAGUUCAAUGAGAACUUACUCGCGUUAACCACGUGCAUUGCUUUUUGAAUUUUAUGAAUACGAAUCCUCACGAUCGAAAUUGACAUUGAUCAAUACAUUAAUUAAGCGCACUUGAAUAUAUAUGGAAUUGAAAGAUAAAUGCUAGGUAACUUAAUAUUUAAGUCUCAAUUUGAAUCUCAACUAAUGUUGUUAGGGUUAACAAAACCUGGGUUUGAGCUUGGGUAUGGUAAUGUCCAGACCCAGCCCGAAUAUAUUUUUUAGACACCCAUCGAGCUAGAUUUUUUAAUUUGGGUUAUUAUAUCAGAUUUUAUACUUUUUAAUGUUAUAUAUUUACAAUUUUUAAUUUUUUUUAAUUUUACAAUUUUACAAUUUAUUUCUAUUAAUUUGGACAUGAAAUAUGAAUUUUAAAUAUUUAAAACUUUACAUAAAUAUAAUAGAUUGGCCAAAUAAAUUUAAUUAUUUAAACUAAUAUAUAUUUUAUAAUAUUUUUUUCAAUAAAAAUAUAUUUUAUUGGAAGCAAAUGGAUUUUACAUGUUAAACGAAAGGUGGAUGACACAAUUGAAAGAUACAAGGCACAUUUGGUAGCGAAAUGAUAUACCCAACAAAAGGGUAUAGACUAUAAGGAAACUUUUUCCCCAGUGGUAAGGUUUGCCUAUAUAAGAUUAAUUCUAGCCAUCGUUGCACAUGUGGACCUUGAAUUGCAUCAAAUGGAUGUUAAAACAAUAUUUUUCAAUAGAGAGCUAGAGGAUGAAAUUUAUAUGAAACAACCAGAGGGUUAUAUAACCAAUAACCAAGAGUGCAAAGUUUGUAAGCUCAAAAGGUUAAUACAUGGCUUAAAACAAUCCACCAGACAAUGGUAUCUUAGGUUUCAUGAAUCUAUGAUGACUUAUGGAUUCUCGAUGACCGAGGAAGAUCAUUGUGUAUACGUUAAAAGGUUAGAAGGUAACUUUGUCAUCUUAUCGUUAUAUGUGGACGAUAUAUUGUUGGCUAGAAAUAAUACAGAGUUUGUUCAAACCAUUAAGGAAUGGUUAUUUUCAAACUUUGAAAUUAAAGAUAUGGGUGAAGCGUCUUAUAUCCUGAGAGUUAAAAUCCAUAUGGAUCAUUCUAGAAAACUUCUAGCUCUGUCACAAGAGUCUUAUAUUAGAAGAAUUCUUGAAAAAAUUUAAAAUGGAUAAGUGUAAACCUAUGGAUACUCCCAUCUCUAAAGGACAAACUCUUAGCCUUGAAAUGUGUCCAAAGACUUUAAAGGAAUGAAAUGAAAUGGCACGAGUUCCAUACUCCAAUGCUGUUGGAAGUUUCAUGUAUGCUAUGAUGUGUACACAAGCAGAUAUUUGUUAUGAUAUGUGGUUGGUAAGCAGAUACCAAUCAAAUCCUGGGCGCAAGCAUUGGAAUGUUGCCAAAAGAAUUUUAGCAUAUUUGAAAGGCACUGCUGACUAUUCUUUAUGUUAUCAAAGAGGUAAUUUAUGCUUAAUUGGAUACACAGACGCCGAUUGGGGAGGCGAUCUUGAUGAGCGCAAAUCAACCUCAAGAUACUUUUUUCUACUUAGUCACGGUGCGACCUCAUGGAGUAGCAAGAAGCAAACAUGCACAACUCUGUCGACUAUGGAAGCAAAAUAUGUAGCAUGUUCGGUCGUAGUACAAAAGGCUAUUUGGCUUAGGCGCUUUUUAAAUAAUCUCAAGAUCGUUACUGAUCCUCCUCGGCCAGUAAUCAUAUAUUGUGAUAGCCAAGCAACCAUAUUCUUUACCAAAGAUGCAAAAUACCACAGCAAGUCUAAACACAUAGAGACAAAGUAUAAUUUUGUGAGAGAUAUUGUGGCGAAAAAGGAAGUAUUGAUGCAACACAUGUCUACACACUUUAUGGUUGCAGAUCCAUUCACUAAAGCCAUGACACAAGAUGUUUUUAUUGCACAUACGCGAUCAUUAAGAUUGCGCAGAUUAUAAAAGUUGUACUUAAUAAAUUAUUUUGAUUAAGUCUCAUAAGAUACUAAUUGACAUGAUUACACAUAUAUGAUUAUUGAAAGAUAUGUUCUCAGGUUAUGACGGACUUUCUUACACAAGCAGUCACUUCAAUUAUUAAUGAAAGCAAGCUGGGAUGAGACACAAGAUUAAGAGAAAGUACUGGAUACGUUCUCAUGGAGCUUUUAUCUUGAAAAUGUCGCCUUAACUAGGUCAAGAUGAAGAACCUAAUUAAGUCAGGUAUGAGUUCAUUAGGUACUUUAUGAAGGCAAGCUUAUUGAGACUCAAAUUGAGUGCUCGAAUAAGCGAUUGAUUUAGGAUAUGUAUAGUGGAUAGCUAGACAUAUGCUCUUACACAAAGAGAAUUUACUGUAAUGCAUGAUUCAUCCAUGCAUGCUUUUGUGACAAAAACAAAAAAGAGUGAAUAAAUCCAUGAUUCCUUAUUGUGUAAGUUCCUUCAAGGUAUAAGAAAGAUCUCAACAAUUUCCUUAGUUACCAUAGACUAUAUCUUAAAGGAAAUGAUUAGUGAUAGCUACUUUAGCAUAUUUUUUCCUUAACUAUAAUGUUAUUCGAUCUAUGAAACAUGUCUAAGAAAUCAACCAGCCUAAAACUGAAAGGUAUGAGUAGAGUGGGAAGAUUUAUUCUCCUUACAUCUAACUUAUGCAUUCAUCGGUCGACCAGUUAUAUAAUCUACCUAGGGAUGAAUACAAUUGCGAAUACAUACAGUGCACAGCGUCAAAUAUAAUUUUUGUUGAGGGAUUAAAUAUGUUUGUACCGAUGUAAAGGAUAAUGAAAUAUUCUAGGAAAUAUAAUGAGCAAGUUAUUUGAAUCUCUUGCAAAAAGUGCAAUUGAGAUUUUUGCUCCACAAGCUCCAGUUUAUAUUGUUCAUGGGUCACACGUUGCAUUUGCUCGUAUGAUACUGCGAUUGUGGCUUUAUGCCCAAAAACCCUACUCUCGUUGAUGUUAGAUUUAAUGCUCAUGAUGGGACAGAUUAAUCUAACGUAAGUGAUAAGAUAAACUUAGAGUUUGUCUAGGAUUCUUAUAAGAUAAAAUUAAUAUUUUAUCUUAAUCCUAAUCACAUAAGAUGUAGCUUAUCAAAUAACUCUAUGAAGCUGAUUUGAAUUAAACUACACUUAUUGUACUGUAUAAACACUACGUGGGUGAGUGAUAACACUUACAAUAAUAGUCAUAAGAAUCAAAGCAACAUCAAAAGAGAGUUAGAGAAAAGGGAAAAAGGCAGUGGGUUCUUGCUUCGUGAAUUGAGAGGAUUUUCCAAAUACCUGAUUGUCCUCCGAUCAUCAGUGACAUAAAAUCGUGACGAUCUGUUCGUGAAGGUUCCUAGCAAUCAAUUCAUGUUCGUUGCGAUCUGCUCAUACUAGUUCCUGACAAUCCGCUUUUGAAGAUUGGAGGGAGCAUAUUUAUAUUCUUGGAGGCUCGUGACGAUUCAUUUCCACAUCAAUCAAUAAGGUAUGGAUUUAGUUGAACAAAAUAAAUUGCAUGAUUUAUUUAGAAAAUCAUCAUUUUGAAGCCACAAUAGAUUUUUGGCCAUGGGGACUGAGAAUAGAUGUUUUAAUUUAUGAUAGAAAACUACUUUAAUGAUUCUUUCGUUGCUGAAAGAUUGAUUUUCUGUGAGUUGGCUGCAACAUAUCUUCUCCAAAUUCAUCAAAUCACGAAUAGACAAUGACUCCAGCAAGGGAAAGACUUUGCAAUGAACCCGUUCAAUUGAACCGCCAACAAAUGUAUGCUAUCAUUCAAGGCAAAUUUUUGUGGUGUAUACUAUCAUUCAAGGAAAAUUUCAUGCCUAAAUCAGAAGCGAGUUUGUCUUGAAUUUUCUGAGAAUUUGGGUCCUGUGUUACCUCAGCCAUAACGGCCUUAUCGAACGAAUUAUCUUCCAUCACUUGCUUUGCAACUUGCUUGACUAGCGUGGUAUUACCCAUGCCGCCCAUUCCAUAGACCCCAAUUAUGUUGAGCUUAUCAUCCUUCACUGCCUCCAGAACAUCUUGAAAUAAUUUCAUUCUUGAAUCAAAGGCCUCGUAACCUUUCGCUUGCAUAUGUUCUGCACUCUUUGGAGCAGGACGGUAGGAAACAUUAGAGAAGUUGGCUUGUACCACGAGAUUAGCGGCAGCUUCUGCGGCCUUUGUGGGGGGAAAAAAAAUGGAUCCAAAUAAAUUAAAGUGAAACGACAAACAAUUAAUUUUGGUCUUGAACGGACAAUUAAACAGAGAAUUUAUUAAUUUAUUUAUUUUUUGGGUCAAGAAUCAGAAUUUUGGCUAUUAACCGAAAGUUUUCACGGGCAUAAAUGAAGAGCAACAAUUUUUUUUUAGAAAUUAUUUCAGAAGAGCGAUGCAAAUUGACAAACGAUAAUAAUAAGAACACAGAAGUUAACAGUGAACAAUAACUUAAAGCUCAAGAAAACUAAAUGACAAGAUUAAGACAAACAAGAGAUAUUUUUUCUUGGAAAUUAAGAAAAAACUACUAUGAAGAUCAAGGAUUAGAGAUAUGCUAUGAAAAGAAAUUAUUAAAGGAUUUACAACAAGUUCACCUCUUUAAUUAUCUGGGAUGAUGAGCUCUUUAUUCGCCUUGAAUGUAUAAGAACAAUUUUAAUAGCAAAAGAUCACUGUUAACUGCAGAGCAAUGUGUGAGUAAAGAGUUGAUGAGAGUAAUAACAAAUGAAUCGCAAAAGAAAAAAACUUAAUCAUGCAUCCCUUUUCAUAUCACGUACUUGAUUACUGUUGUCCUGUUGAUGCACGUAUUUUUUUUUUUUUCAUGAAUAAUUGCCAGAUCAGGAAAGAAUUAUUCUGUUUGAUUGAAAGAUUGUUGAUUCCAAUUAAGAUAAGCUUGGAUGCCUAAUGAAAGAUAAAGCAGAAGCUUGGAUAAAUGAAAGAGGACCAAAACUUUUAUAAAAGUAGAUACCGAUAAAAAGCCGAAAAGGCAUUUUACAAAGAAGAUCAUCAAAGUAAGAUAGAUGAUGACUUGAUUUUUACUUUUUUUUUAAUUUCACCUAUUCUGUUCACAAAUGAUGGCUUAGUUGUUAGUAGUUCCACAUGGACAUUAUUUACAAAUUGUUGUUAUGUUUAAUAGAGAAAUGAAAAGCUGUUCAUCGUACAAAAUUGCAUGAUCAAAUCUUGGAUUUUUAUUAUUAUAAAAUAAAUAAAUUUCAUUAAUAGAUAAUGCGCAGGUUAAUGUUAGGAAUUUGAUCAGAUGAUCAUAUAAUUUACUAAACCCUUUCACAAGUGCAAAGUUUAAAAAUAAUAAAUAAAUAAAGAGUACGCGUAAAGAAUGUUAUUUGCAAUACCCAAACUGAAAAAUAGGGGAAUGAAAACAGAGGAACCUCUCAUUUUUCUUUUCUCUUUCUUUCAAAUGGUGAAAAUAAUAAUAGAGCAUGGCAACUAACUACUUUCAUUUGUAAAAAGUGCUGCCUGAAUUCCUUCCUUUGCUAAUUGGAACUAUUGGCUUGAAGUAACGAGUUCUUGUUAAAAGCACAAAUUUUACUUUAUUUGAUAAUUAUGAAGCAUCGGUCAGUUGUGAAUACUCAUCCAAGGCAGGACCGAUCUCAGAAUUUGGUGAAAUAGAAGAGCUUCUAAUGAGAUUUUAUAAUCAAAUCAAUGUAUACUGAAUUUUACAUGUGGAUAAAUUGAAGAGUUAGAAUGAAAUGUUACAACUCUUAGGGCGUGUCGCCCACAUUACAUGGGAUAAAAAUAUUGUUUUGUAUUACAUUUAUGCAGACUCAUGUUUGGCAGUAAAAAUAACUACAGCAGUAUUGUAUUAAUGGGCCGGGCUAAUGCGGCAAGUGCCGAAUUAGCUCGCUUCUUCUUCUUCUUUUUUCCCCUCUUUUUCUUCGUUAUAAUAAUAAUAAAUAAAUUUAACUUUUUAAUUUCAUUUAAUAUUAUAUAAUAUUUUUAUUUUUACAUUAUGAUUAUUAACAUAAAUAAAUAAUUAUGAUUAUUAAUAUAAAUUAAUAAAUAUAUAAUUUAUUAUUCAAUAAUAUUAUAUUAUAUUUUUUAUUUUUUACAUUAUAAUUUAUUAAUAAAUUUACAAUUUAAUAUAACUAUAAUAAAUAUUUAAAUAUGAAUAAAUUUGAACAACAUUAAUUUAAAACUAUAAAAUAUUAAUAUAAUAUAAAUUAAUAUAAUAGAAUAUAUAAUUUAAAUUAAUUACACAAAAAUUAAUACAGUACAGUAUAGUACCAAACAUUAUAUAGCAUUGUUAUAACACAGUGCUAAUGCAAUACAAUAUAGUACAAUACAGUGUGCCAAAUGGGUAGAAAAAAGACAUCUACACCCCUAACAUUUAGAGAAGUAGUCAUAAAGAAACCUAAAUUUUCAAUAAGAGACAUCAAGAUCCACUUUUGGCCAUAAUACAUUUUAAAAACCCAAAACAAUUGACCCAAAAAUUUAUGAUAGAUAGAAAUAUCGCAUUUUUACAAUCUAUUAGACAUAUUUUAUUAUAUUAAAAUAAUUUUUAACAAAUAGAAGCAUAAUAUCAAAAAGAAAUUAAUUAAAGUUAAAAUUAUUUUGAAUAUUAUGUAAAAAAUAAUUUUACUAUUAUUAACAGGGAGAUAUUUUAUUAGUCGUAAAAUCUAUUUAACCCAUAAAUACAAAUAUAUUAUCAAAAUAGAUAUAGCAAUUUAAAAUUCUAAUAUUAUUUUAAAUGUUAAAAAUAGUUUAAUAUUAUUAGUCCACUGGAUAGAUUAUAUUAUUUAUAUUAUAUUAAUAUUAAUUAGAAAAAUUUAAAUUCAAUGUUCUAAUUACUAUAAUCAAUGGAUAUUAUAGUAAAAAAGAAGCGAGUCUUGGUGUUCUAAUUUUCUCAAAUCUUAAGGGUGUUGAUGUCUUUUUUCCUAAACCUUACGAAAGGCUGUUUACACCAAUAGAACAAAUUUUUUCUCGGAUGUUCGUAAGAAACAACAGUACAAUAACUCUAUCAUAAUCUUGUAAACAAAGGUACAAUAACUCUUAACGUAAUCUUGUCUGCUAACACCAAUUAUUUAUGUAUAUUUCUCUUUAAAAAAGCUCAAACAAUGCUCACUUUAUUUUUCUUUAAUUAGACAAAAUAAAAAAAUGAUUACGGAACCACUACUUUCUAAAUGACCCUAUCAACAACUAGUGACUCUGACUAUAGGCAAAAUAUGUGCUCAAAAGUCAUAGCGUUAAAGUUGGAGAAGCCCAUUUGACAAUAAUAAAUAAUUAAUUUUCCGUGGUGCAUGAUUUUUCCAAAUCUUGUUUUGUUUUUCAUUUUUUUGACUUUAAGGGUUAAUUUUAGAUUACUGACUCGUGAUUUGAAUUCAAAUCACGUCCUUAUUUUUAAAAACUUUAAUUUACCUUCACGUUUCGUUAGGAAAAUUAUAAAAAAAAAAAAUCCAUCAAUGUACCAUUUUUUUAAUCUUUUGAAUGAGGGAAAGCCAGAGAUUUUAAAAAUUAAAUAGGUGAUUUGAAAUUAAUCAAUUUAAGAAGGGGUAAAUUUUAGACUACUUUCCUCUUGAAUUGAUUCUCUUCAAAUUACCCCCUUAUUUUUUAAAAGCUGAAGUUAUCCUAUUUUUUUUGUGUGAAGGAUAAGGAAAAAAAUGGAGAUAGGUUAAUGAUUUAUUUUUUUUUGGCAUUCUUAACAAAAAUAGAAUAAAUUGAGAUUUUAAAAAAUAAAGAGUGAUUUGAUGAUGGUGAAUUCACGAGGGGAAUAAUAUUCUUUUAUGAAAAAAAUUCUAUUUUUAUUUUUAUUAUUAACAAACUUACAAUAAAUAUACAUAAGAAUUAAAAAAAAUAAGGAUGUAAGUUUGUGAGUAAUGAGUUCAUUUCUUUCGACAUUUGUUUAUAUCUAUUGAUUUUAUUGCACUCUAGUUAAAUGUCCAAAUAUUUCUAGCAAAAAAAAAAGGGGUCGGCUGAAAUAGACAUGACGUUUUCAUACGCUAAAGUUGGAAUAAUAUGAAUAAAUCUAUUAAUUAUCUGAUAAUGACAAGUUUUUUUUUUUUUUGAUAGUUCAACCUUUUCCCCCUAAACUAUGCACUGUUUAUAAAUGAAAGCGUUACAAAAAUUAUGAAAAACGUUUUUUUUUUUUUUUUCUAGUAACAUAGUAAUUAGGAAAUAACAUCUGCGCCCAAUAAGUAUUAUUAACAUUUUACUACUAAAUAAUCAUAAAAUCUUACAUUUUAUUAUUUUUCUAUGUUGAGCUUUAAUAUACCAGUUAUGCCCUUCUUUGAAAUUUAUAGAAGAGUUUAUCAAGAAAGAGGAUUUAAUAAAUAACUUCAUCCAUUUUAAUAGCUGAACUCUUACACACAUCUAUAAAAAAUCAGCAACGCCCUUGACAAAAACACUAUUUUCUCAAUUCCCAUAAUAAAACAUCUUCAUGGUUGGCAGCAUAAACUGCUAUUAACUAUAAUAUUAGGCAAUUAGUAUUCUAUAUUCAAGGGUAAAAUUCAUUUUAUCUGUUCAGAGUUUUAUUUGUAUUUUACAAGUCAAAAUAUGUAUAAUGAAUCUUGCAAUUUUUUUUUCCAAAGCGAGGGCAUAAUUGAUAUUUUAAAUGACAACUAAAAGGUCCAUUACUAUCUUUGAUAGAAAAGUAGUAAAAUUUAUAAAUUUAUAAAUCUUUAGUAGUAAAAUUUACGUUAAAAUGUCAAGUACAACACUGAUUCAUGUGGUUUCGAAUCCAACCAUUGAUCGAUCUCAUCUUCAGUCAUGUUAUCACUUUGUCGGGCUGUUAUUGAUGUAUAGAUAAAUAUUAACCCUGCAUUACUAUAAAUGUCUGCAUGACAAAAAAUUAUCAAAAAAUAAUUAAGCGCACAAAAAUCAUCUUUUGCAACUCGAUCAUACACAAGUUUGAGCAAAAAUUCGUACAUAUCUUGAGAAUUCUUUCUAGAGUAAAGAGUUAACCAUAAACUCUCAUACAAAUUUAUUUGAUAUAAAUUAAUGUGACAUGAUUAAAUUAAUUGGAUUAAAUAACUCUUCAUCCACUUGAUUUGUAUUUAUUAUUUUGUGUUUUCAUCUAACUAAUAAAUUUAUGUCAUAUCAUUUUAUAUAAAAUUAAAUUUAUAUAAAAAUUUGUAGUUGCAUCGUCACCCUAAUAUAAGAUUAGAAAAAUUCUCUUUGCUUCUAUCAUUUAAAAAAAAAAAUGUGUUACUUUAUAAUUUAUAUUUAAAGUAAAAUUCAAGUGGAUGAUUGGUGGUUGAUAAAUAAAAUUUAUAAUAAUUAAUUCUAAUUCUGUACAGUAUGUAGGUACAUUAAAAGAAUUUCAAAACAAAUUACAAAAACGGACCUUUUCUGGAAAUUGUUUUUGGAGCCGAAAAUCAAGACUGUGCAAAAUAACAAGUCGUUGGCUUCUCGGCAGGAGUUCUUGAAUCCGCCAUUACUAAACUAUCUUGUUUCCCCAUUAUAUCUUUAUUACGCCACCCAAUAUAAACAUUUAAAAUUCAUAAUCAAUGUUUCGGUGAUAUCAUAAUUAAUAUAUAAAUUGUAAUUUUGCUACAUGUACAACAUCUAUAACUUACAUCAAUUUAAAAUUUAUUUUUUAUAUGACUCAGUUAUUGUCUGUCAAAUAAAUGGGAGUAAUGAAAAAUUAUUUUUAGGUCCACUAUUAGUUAGCAGCGCCAGACUGUGAUAUUAUAGAGUUUCAUAUAAGGAUGAAUAAUUUAAAAGCUUUGCGACUCUUAGAAUUUGGUGAAAUAGAACAGCUUGUAAUGAGAUGAAUAAUCAAAUCAAUAUAUAUUGAUUUGUACAUGUAGAUAAAUUGAAGAGUUAGAAUAAAAUGUUACAAUCCUUCGGAAAAAGGAUACCUACACCUCCAAUAUUUAGAGAAAUACUCAAAAGACCCCUAAGUUUUCAAUACGAGACAUCAAGACCCUCCUUUUGAUCAUAAUACCCUUUAAUUUUAUAAACCCAAAAAAUUAACUCCAAAAUUUUAUAAUAGAUAAAAAUAUAGCAUUUUUACAAUCUAUUAGAUAUAUUUUAUUAUAUUAAACUAAUUUUUAACAAAUAGAAGCAUAAUAUCAAAAGAAAUUAAUUAAAGUUUAAAUUAUUUUUAAAAUUAUGUAAAAAAUUAAUUUUAGUAUUAUUAAUGGGGAGAUAUUUUUAUUAAUCGUCAAAUCUAUUUAACCCAUUAAUACAAAUACAUUAUCAAAAUAAAUAUAGCAAUUUAAAAUUUUAAUAUUAUUUUUAGUGUUAAAAAUAAUUUAAUAUUAUUAGUCCACUGGAUAGAUUAUAUUAUAUUUAUAUUAUUUACAAAAAUUUUAAAGUCAAUAUUCUAAUUACCAUAUUCAAAGAUUAUUAUAGUAAAAAAAAAAGUUUUGAUGUCUCAAUUUUCUCAAACCUGAGGAAUGUUGGUGUCCUUUACCCUAAACCUUAUGAAAGAUUGUUUACACCAAUAUAACAAAAAUUUUCUCAGAUGUUCGUAAGAAACAAAAGUACAAUAACUCUAAGAUAAUCUUGUCUGCUAACAUCAAUUAUUUAUGUAUAUUUCUCUUUAAAAAGGCUCAAACAAUGCCCCCUUUAUUUUUCUUUAGGAAAAAAAAAUGAUGCAUGAUUUUUCCAAAUCUUGAUUAGUUACUCCAGCUAAUCGGUCAUUUAAAGGAGUCGGCCACUAUGUGCUCAAAAGUCACAACGCUGAAGUUGGAGAAGCUCAUUUGACAAUAAUAAACAAUUAAUUUUCCGUGAUGCAUGAUUUUUCCAAAUCUUGUUUUGUUUUUCAUUUUUUGACUUUAAGGGUUAAUUUUAGAUUAAGACUCGUGAUUUGAAUUCAAAUCACCUCCUUAUUUUUAAAAACCUUAAUUUACCUUAACUUUUUGUAACAAAAAUUUAAAAAAAAAAUCAUCAACCUACCUCUUUUUUAAUCUUUUGAAUGAGAGAUAACUUAAGAUUUUUAAAAAUAAAUAGGCAGUUUGAAAUUAACCAAUUCAAAAGAGGGUAAAUUUUAGAUACUUCCCCCUUGAAUUAACUAUCUUCAAAUCACUCCCUUAUUUUUUAAAGGGUAAAAACUUGUUUAGUCUCUAUAUUAUGAGGUUAGUGUCCAUUUAAUCUAUAUAUUUUUAAGAAUACCUCAAAACACCCUUGCUGUUAACUAUUGACACUCGUACCAUUUUUUUAUAUUCUUUUUAGCUUAUUUUUAUAAUAUUACACUCUUACAGUAAUGUUUCUUUUUUGGAUAUUAAUAAAAAAUUAGAUUAUCAAAUUAAACCCAAAAAUAAAAUAUAAACAAAAAGAUAUAUAUUAAUUUUUGUGGAAGCUCAUGUGUGUCCAAAAAAAUUAAUAUUGUAAAAAAUUAAAUUAUCAAUUUUUUAGAAAAAUUAAUAUUUUAACUCUUUAGCAAAGUGUUCCACAAAAAUUAAUAUAUUUUUUUUUCCUUUUUGGUGUUAAAAUGGUAAUUUAAUUUUUUUAAUAAUAUCUAAAAAAUAAGUCAAAAGUAACAAAAGGUAAUGGCAAUGGUGUCAAUAAUUUAACGGUAGGGAUGUUUUAAGGUAUGUUUAAAAAUAUGAGGAUUAAACAAACACUAACCUUAAAACCUCAAGUUAUCCUAUUUUUUGUGUAAAGGAUAAGGAAAAGAUGGAGGGAGGUUGAUGAAUUUUUUUUUUUUUUUGUCUUCUUAAUAAAAAUGGAAUAAAUUGAGAUUUUUAAAAAUAAAGAGUGAUUUUUAAAAAUAAAGAAUUGUGUGACCUCUUAGUCGUGCAUUUUGGAGGUUUAUGCAUACGUGAGCAGGAUAUGCAAGGAUUAAAGAAGGGAUUGAGAAUCAAUUGGUUGUAGAAUAGUUUGUAUAGUAAGAGGAUUGCAACAUAUGCUAAGGUGUACGAUCAGGCAAAAUGGAUGUAAAAAACUAAAGAUGCAGAAGAAGAAAAAAAGAGAAUGGAAAAAUAGAGGAUAUGUCUGAUGUGAAAAGGAGAACUAAGAAGAGGAUGAGAUAACCUUAGUUACAGCUCGAGAAGGAACUCAGAUAAUAGAUGUUAUUAUGACAAAGACGUGUUUAAUUACAGAUGACCAGAGAGGCCAUGACGAAACAAAACGUUGAAAGAAAUAUGAUAGAAGAAACAAAGGUUUCUGGAUAAUGAUAAGCUUUAUUGAAAAGUCUGAAUGAAUAAAACUAGAGUUUUGAACCCCUUUUAUAACAAGUCCAAAUAUCGCGAAUUUACUAAAAUAAGCAAAUCCAAAAUCUAAUAUGAUAAUUAAAUUCUCCUAACCAAAAUAAGAAAAGGAGAACAAAUGGCAUUAAAGUCCGAGUUCUAGAAAAAAAUAAAAAUCCUAGGAGAAUCAAGAAAAACAAGAAAGAAUCUUAAAACUAAAAAAUGACCAUGAAAGAAAUAGAAUUUUUUGUUCGACCAUGGGGCAAAAUGGCUUAUACAGAGUUUUGUUCAUCUCAUUACAAGCUUUAAAACAGUAUAUUAUAUACUGAAAACAAACAUUUGUAGCCCAAGUUAUGGCCUUCGGAAUGUAUAUUGUUCGCUACACACAACACCCUACAUCAAGCCAAUUCGUGAUUGGGAAAAAAAAUCUUUAAGAGAGGAAGUCUCACCAAUAGGCAAGGCCAAGAAAGAGCAAAUGACUAUAGGAAAAGCAAAUGGGAGAACUGAGUAAGAAUAAGAAGAUGUGUCACCUCUAGUUUGGAGAGGAUCAAUAUUAUAUAUAGGGUAAACUUAAUAAAGCAGAGUGGGAGAUUUACACCUCUAAACAAGAGUAGAGCAAAAAUAUUUAUUGUGACUACAUAUAAGGGCUAUUGAUCCCACCAAAGCCAAUUGUGAGACAUUUGUGUCCGGGUAUGGAACCACAUAUUGCAUAGACUUGAAAAAAGAGAUUGAAUGGCUUAUACAAAACCAAUAUCUAAAGCAAAUGUGAACACGAAAGAAGAGAUGGGACUAGAGGGGACAACAUAGACAGUGUGGUAAUGGUGAUUAUGGAGUGGCAGACCUAGCAAGGGACUUGAAUUGUUCGAGGUGGAAUUAUAGUUGAUACUCCCUGAAAAUUUAUGAUGUGAUUUUUAAUGUUCCGAUACCAAAGAAACAAUGAGUUCAAAGAGAACUCAUCAAAGCCCUCAAAUUCUAUUUUUUUUUUUUAAGAUGAAAAGAUCUGAAAGCCACUAUCAUGGGUUCCUAAUAUCCAAUUUGGUUUAGACACAUAAAAGAAGAUUGGCUUCCCAUAUACACAGAGGUGGUUAUCUUAUUCUGUUCGAAUUGGUUGGAGUCCAUAUAAAGUUUUAGUGCACAUGGUUAUUUUCCCAACCGACUUUUUGAAACAUAUGAUAUGAAGUUUGAGAACAUACAACCGGAUGACUCAACUUAUCCAAGUUGACAUGAAAAGCGGAGAGUACCUGGCGGUCCAUGAACAGAAAGAAGAACCGCUUGUCCAUAUAGGUUUCUAAAAAUUGAAGGAGCUGGCAGCUUCAUCGGGGUGGUGAGCCACUUGCUUUCUGUCCCAAAAUUAUGUUUAUUUAUAAUAAGUUGGUUAGCCGGCUUAAUUGUAACGGUUAGUAGUUUGCUAGAAAUGGUAAUGGGACAUGAUUUGUUAAUGUUGAUCAAAGGUGCUUGAGGCAGUUGAUUGAUGUAGGAAGUUAAUUUCGGUUAAUUUAGGAAUUUCAAGAUUCUAGAUUUUUAUUUUGGGACUUUUUAUUUUCAUUAGAGUCAAUUAUCGUAUUUUAUUAUUUUAGGGUUUUCUAUUUUCAUUAGAGUCAAUUAAGGUAUGAGAUUUAGUUAACUUAGGGAAGUAUCUUUUAUUUCCAUUAUAAUUGUGAUUUAGUUUCCCUUUUUAAGUUAACUUAGAGAAGUGGGUUUCCUUAUUAUAAAUAGAGAAGUUUUGAAAUUAUUUUCAUAAUUUAGAUUCAAUUAUUCAAUAAAACACCUAUUUAUAAUUCCCUCUGGGUAUUAUCUAUCAAAAUCUCUCUUAUAGAGUCGUUUGGAUUAGAGCGUCAUCUAAUCUCACUUUACACGUUAUUAAAAAUCUCAUUGAGUCAUCUGGUUUAGAACGAUAUCUAAUCAUGCUUUAAUCAGAGCGUAACUUAAUCACAUUGGCUUGGUUCAGUAUUCAAGCGAAAUCUAGUUUUUCUACCCCAUCAAUUUCUGCUUCCGCUACUCCUCACUCCAUCACUGAUAAGUUCUUCAGAACAAAUGAAAAAGGCCCUUAGAAUUAAAGCCGUUGGAUUAACGAGUUUGCAUCAAAGAGAUUUGGUCUUAUACUUCCAUCUUAUACUUUAUAAUUACAUUUGAAAAAGAAAAACUCUAAUUGCAACUAAUUUUUCAUUUUUUUCAUUUAAAAGUGAUCAAAUUUAUCUUUCUUUAUUGUGAGGUCUGAAAGAUUCGAUUCAAAUUGUAUUCUUUGCACGAUUAGAUUAAUUGCACUUAGCUAGAACAAGAUUACAAAUACAUUGUUGAAUCUGGUCCGUUAGCUUUACUACAAUGAAGAACCAGAUCCUCCCAAGAUUCUCAACCAAGAUUAAUCAAGAUGCAAUUUCAGCUUAGAUCAAAUUUAGAGAAUCAACUAAACCUGACAAGACUCGUAACAAAAGGGAUUAAUUACAAACACAGAAACCAAAACCAGCAAGAAAACCAAUCACACUAAAACAGACCACAAGCUUUAACGUGGUUAAGCCAUUAAUGGCUUACAUCCACGAGUGAAUUCCUCAGGCAGCUUUAUUGAAUGAUUCAAGAAGUUUGUUACUGAGAUUCUAAGAACAAGAACAAGUAAAACACUUCCUCUCAGAGUUCCCUCAAUCUCUAUCACACUCGAUGCCUCCAAUCCAGAAGGCUGCAGCUUAUAUACCAGUCUUGUAACAGCUUUAACAACCCAUAUCAUACAACUCCUUGACACGUGUGAUAUGAGUCUGUUAUUAACGAACUCAGAUUCAGCUAAUGGUCACGUGAACAACUCGUGAUCUUACUUAACUCGAGUAUAUUCAAAACGAUCUCAUAUGUUGCCGUUUCGGAUUAAGUACUAGUUGUGCUUCUCACGUGAGCUACUUAAAGCUUCUGAACAAUGCUGGAAACGAUGUCGUUUGCUGGUAAAGGUGUUUGAAUUCACCUUUCAGCCAACAAUACUCCACCUUGAAUCAAACACCCUGCAACUGAUACAUUCACCAACUAAUUUAUAUAAGGUUUUGCAUAUCCCAACUAAGUCCAAACAUUUCUUGAACUUAGUUGCAGGAACCACUUUUGUGAGCAUGUCAGAAGGAUUGUCAUCAGUGUGUAUUUUAACCAUCCUGAUAACUCCCCUAGAGACUUCAUUUCUUAUGAAGUGAAGUUUGAUAUCAAUAUGUUUGGUCUUCUCAUGGUGAGCUAGAUUCUUACACAAAUGCAAUGCACUGGAGCUAUCACAGAAAAUUGGUACAGACUCUUGUUUUAAGCCGAGCUCAGUGAUUAAGCCCUUAAGCCAAAUGGCCUCCUUUGCAGCUUCAGUGGCAGCUGUAAAUUCUGCUUCUGUUGUGGAGAGUGCUACUACAUGCUGCAAGUUUGCCUUCCAAUUUAUCAGGCAACCAUUUAACAUAAACAAGUAUCCUGUGAGUGAUCUUCUCAUGUCCAGAUCUCCUGCAUAGUUAGAAUCUACAUAGCCCCACAACCCUUCUUCUGUUCCAGAGUUCUUUCCAUAUACCAGACCAACAUUUAAAGUACCCUUUAGAUACCUUAGUAUCCAUUUCACCCCUUUCCAAUGUUCUUUGCCUGGAUAUGCCAUGUAUCUGUUGACAACACUCACAAUAUGUGAGAUGUCAGGCCUAGUCAACACCAUGGCAUACAUAAGGCAUCCUACUACCUUUGCAUAUGGAAUAUUAGCCAUCUCAAGUCUUUCUUCUUUAGCCUUUGGACAAUAUAGAUUGCAAAGUUUGAAGUGUGCUGCUAAGGGGCCUUGUACAUGUUUAGAAUCCUCCAUAUCAAAAGUUUCAAGUAUUUUCUUCAAGUAUUUCUCUUGAGAUAGAAAUACCAGCCCUUCACUUCUGUUCCUUCUUAUAUUAACUCCCAAUAUCCUUUUAGCACUUCCUAAAUCCUUCAUGUCAAAAGUAGUGCCAAGUAAUGUCUUUAGAGCAUCUAUUUCAGACAUUUCUUCACAAGAAAUCAACAUAUCAUCUACAUAUAGCAGUAGAUAGAUAUGUUUGUUAUGAUUUAGCUGUUUAAAGUAGACACAUCAAUCAUAAUUGCACCUCUGAAAUCCAUGAGUGGUCAUAAACUCAUCAAAUUUGAGGUACCAUUGCUUGGGAGAUUGCUUCAGGCCAUAGAGGGAUUUCUUUAGCAGGCAUACAUAAUCUCUUCUAUCAGGAGCUUCAUAACCUUCUGGUUGACUCAUGAAAAUUUCUUCCUGAAGGUUUCCAUGCAAAAAAGUAGUUUUAACAUCAAGUUGUUCCAGCUCCAGAUUCUGUGUUGCUGUUAUGGCCAUCAGCACUCUUAUGGAAGCAUGCCUAACUACAGGGGAGAAAACUUCCUUAAAGUCAACACCCUCCAUCUGAGUGUACCCCUUUGCAACUAACCUAGCCUUAAACCUCUUUGGUUCAGCUGCAGUCAUACCCUCUUUGAUUUUGUAUAUCCACGUGCAACCAACAAUCCUCUUAUUCUUAGGUCUUCUAACCAGCUCCCAGGUACAAUUCUUGUACAGUGAGGUCAUUUCUUCAUCCAUAGACUUCUUCCAUUCAUUGGCAUACUGACAGUUAAUGGCCUCUUUGAAAUUAUGUGGUUCUUCAGCAUUUAUCUCAUGAGCAGAAUGUAAUGCAAAAGCAAUCAGAUCAGCAUAGCCAUACGUCUUAGGUGCUUUGCUUUGUCUCUUCUGUCUAUCUCUUGUCAACUGAUAAUCCAUUACUUGUGAUUGAGUUGAUCCAGCUUCUUGAAGUGACUCAUGUCUUCCAAUAUCAUCAGCACUUUCAGUUGAUUCUAUAUCAUCAUUCUGAUUCAGAUUGCUAGGUGAUUCCACCUCAAAAUGUUCAUCCUGAACUUGAUCAGCUCUCACACUGUUUCUUUGAAUACUAUCCACUGCUGCUUCUUCAUUGAACUUGAUAUCUUUGCUUACUAUGCACCUGAGUGGAGAGAGAUCAGUACACCAAAGCUUAUAACCCUUGGUUCCCUCUGGAUACCCAAUGAACACACAUUUCAGUGCUCUGGGUGCUAGUUUUCCUUGGCUUAUGUGAGCAUAAGCCAGACAACCAAACACUUUAAGGUCUUUAUAGCUGGAUUGUUUACCAUACCAGAGCUCAAAAAGUGUCUUGAAUUCAAUAGCAGUGGAAGGGCUCAAAUUUACCAGGUAGCAAGCUGUGUUGAGAAUCUGAGCCCACAAAUUCUUAGGUAGCUUAGCUUGAAUCAUCAUGCACCUCACCUUAUCCAUGAGAGUCCUAUUCAUCCUCUCGGCUAAGCCAUUCUGCUGAGGUGUCAUUGUAACAGUUUUAUGCCUUGUAAUACCUUCCUUUGCACAAAAUUCAUCAAACACCUAGUUGCAAAACUCCAAUCUAUUAUCAGUCCUUAACUUCUUCACUGUUUUUCCAGUCUGUUUUUCAACCAAGACCUUCCAGUUCUUGAAUUUUUCAAACACCUGUUCUUUACUCUUGAGCACAUAAAUCCAGACUCUUCUUGAAAAAUCAUCAAUUAUAGACAAAAAAUACCUAGCACCUCCCAGUGAUACUACUUGUGCAGGUCCCCACAAGUCUGAGUGUAUGCAAUCCAGCAUGCUUCUAGUAGUGUGAACUGAUGACUUAAAACUGGUUCUUGUAGAUUUCCCUAGGACACAAUAUUCACAAAACACCAUCUCACCAAUUGCAUCAUUACCUAACAGCCCCUGUUUAGACAACUCUUUAAGGCCUCUCAGACUCAUAUGUCCAAGUCUUAAGUGCCAUAGCCUAGUUUUUUCAACACUAGAGCUAGAUGACACUGACACUAUCCCUGUCAUAGUUGUCCCUUCUAACACAUAGAGACCAUUCUUCCUGAUUCCUUUCAACAGAACCAAUGGCCCUUUUACAACACUCAUUAUUCCCUGCUGGACUUUAACAACACAACCUAUCUGAUCCAACAUUCCCAGUGAGAUCAAAUUCCUUUUUAAAUCAGGUACAUGCCUCACUUGUUUGAGUUCAAGAAUUGAGUUAUCAUGCAAUUUCAGUUUAAUAACCCCAAUUCCUAUAACUCUACAGAUUGCAUUAUUCCCCAUCAUCACCCUACCACCAUCAUAUUCUUGAUACUCAGAGAAAUGAUGUUUAAAAGGGCACAUAUGAAAGGAACAUCCCGAAUCAAGCACCCACUUACCUUCCUGAUCAACAUCAGAGGCAAUUAGGACUCCAAUUGAUUCAUAACCUUCUUCUUCAACUAUUGCUGCAUCACUAUUUUGACUUUUUUGCUCUUUGUACUGUUUUUUCUUUCUUUCUAGACAAUCUCUCUUAAAGUGACCUUCCUUAUGGCACUGGAAGCACUUAAGAGUCUUGUUCUUGUCUUUGGCCUUCCCUUGCUUCUUUUUCUUUUUUGUUUUCUUGUAAUGCUGACCCUUUGCAGUUAACCCUUCCCCAGUUUCUUGAUCAAGAUUUUCUCUCUUUUCUUGCAACUCCCUUGUGUUUAGAGCUGGCUUAACCUCAUCUAAUGAGAGAGUUUGUCUCCCAUACAUAAGUGCAUCAACAAAAUUCUUGUAAGACUCUGGUAGAGAGCUAAUCAGUAGCAAAGCUUUUCCUUCAUCAUCUAAAGCUUCAUCAAUUGUUGCAUGCAAGUGUAUCACACACUUGAUUGAAUUCAUCAAUGCGCUUAUCCAGCGAUGAGCCUUCUGUCAUUUUUAGAGUGAACAUCCUUUUCUUCAUAUACAGGCUGUUAGCCAAGGAUUUUUUCAUGUACAGGCUUUCCAAUUUCUCCAUCAGACCAGUAACAGAUGUCUCCUUAGCAACUUCUCUGAUUACAGAAUCAGCAAGGCUAAGGAUUAUAGUACCUCUUGCCUUCUUGUCAAUUUCAGCCAUCUGCUCUGGGGUUUUUGAAGAUGAUACCCCCUUUCCUUCAAUCUUGGUUGAAGCUUCAAGUGCAUCACCAAGACCUUGAGUAACCAAGAGAGCCUCAAUUUUAACCUUCCACAUGUUGAAGUCGUUUCUACCAUUAAAUUUUUCCAAAUCGACCUUCUGAGUAGCCAUACCUGAAUCUUGGUUUAAGAACCAAGCUCUGAUAUUAAUUAUUGAAUCUAGUCCGUUAGCUUUACUACAAUGAAGAACUAGAUCCUCUCAAGAUUCUCAACCAAGAUUAAUCAAGAUGCAAUUUCAGCUUAGAUCAAAUUCAGAGAAUCAACUAAACCUAACAAGACUCGUAACAAAAGGGAUUAAUUACAAACACAGAAACCAAAACCAGCAAGAAAACCAAUCACACUAAAACAGAGCACAAGCUUUAACAUGGUUCAACCAUUAAUGGCUUACAUCCACGAGUGAAUUCCUCAGGCAGCUUUAUUGAAUGAUUUAAGAAGUUUGUUACAGAGAUUCUAAGAACAAGAACAAGUAAAACACUUCCUCUCAGAGUUCCCUCAAUCUCUAUCACACUCGAUGCCUCCAAUCCAGAAGGCUACAGCUUAUAUACCAAUCUUGUAACAACUUUAACAACCCAGAUCAUACAGCUCAUUGACACGUGUGAUAUGAGUCUGUUAUUAACGAACUCAGCUUUAGCGAAUGGUCACGUGAACAACUCGUGAUCUUACUUAACUCGAGUAUAUUCAAAACGAUCUCAUAUGUUGCCGUUUCGAAUUAAGUACUAGUUGUGCUUCUCACGUGAGCUACUUAAAGCUUUUGAAAAAUGCUGGAAACGCUGUCGUUUGCUGGUAAAGGUGUUUGAAUUCACCUUUCAGCCAACAUACAUGCUCUCAAAUGAUACAAUACUGAAAAAUAUAAAUGGUUACAAAAUAGAUUCAUUAUUAUUUUGGAGGUUUGAGUAAGUUGAAAAAUAUAAACGGUUACAAAAUAUAUUGAUUAUUAUUUUGGAGGUUUGAGUAAGUUGAAGCAUCUCGACUUAAGUGGUAAUUAACAAACUCAACCUCAACUGUAGUGUCUUAUCUUCUCCAUCUUCGUUAAGAGAAUUAUAUGGGAUUCAAAGGAAUUUUUUAUGUUCAAGGUAAUUAAGCCUAAUGUCACGGGAUGAGUGUUUUGCGCAACGAACCCGUGCGGUAUUUAGACAACCUUUGCCGAAUGUUGCUAAGUAAGCCUUGAGUUUAUCGACUAGCUAAGCCUAGAGGUUGAAAUACAAGUAUGCAACCCAAGAGGGGGGGUGAAUUGGGAUUCUAAAAAAUAUUUAAUUUAUUAAAGAAAAACUUAAUGCAAUUAUAAAUCAAAUUCAAAGCAAUAACAAUUAAGAUGAUCACAAUAUAAAAAGAUAAGGGAAGAGGGAUUCAAACACCGAGAUUUUUACGUGGUUCGGCCAACCUUGCCUACGUCCACGCCUCCAAGCUUUCCGGGCUUGAGGAUUCCACUAAGCAAGCCUCCAAGGCUUCAAAUGCUUACACUUGACUUCCAAGGUGUCAAUGGACCUUUACAACAAGAGAUUAUCCCCAAUCUCUUAACCCAAGUGUAUCCCAACACUUACAAUUACUCAAAGUAAAAGAUUACAAAUUGUUUUUCUCUCACACAAUAUUUAAGAUUACAAAUCAAUGCCCAAUUUGUGAAUAGAUGAAGAGAGAAUGUGUUUUAAGCUCUAUGAAGAUUGUAUUCUCAAAUAUUUGCUCAAUGGUCGUGUUGUGAUCAAUAUUUGUUUGGAUUUGAAUGAGCUUAUUUAUAGUUGCAGCUGAAAACUAGCCGUUAUUGACUUUCUGCACACUGUCGGAUCACCGUUAUCUAGAUGUCGGAUCGCCGUUUGACUGGUCAAUAUGACCGUUGGGCUGAUUUUUCAAAUUGUCGGAUCGCCGUUAUCUAGAUGUCGGAUUGCCGUUUAGGUCCAGAGGCUACUGGUUGAUAUCGGCGAGCCGUUUAUCACACAUGUCGGUUCGCCGUUAAAGUCCAGAGACUACCCUUCAGUUCUGUUUGAUAUCGGCGAGCCGUUUUAUCAACAUAUCGGAUCGCCGUUUAGGUCCAGAGGCUACUGGUUGAUAUCGGUGAGCCGUUUAUCACAAAUGUCGGUGUGCCGUUUUCGUCCAGAGGCUAAUCUCCAUUUCUGCUUGAAAUCGGCGAGCCGUUUACUACAGAUGUCGGAUCGCCGUUUUCCACAAAAACUGCUGCAGUGAACUAUUUUGCAAGAUGACUGUUUUGUCUCCAAAUUUUUAUAAAAAUACUUUAUGAAACUUGUCAAAAUAGAUGAAAAUUAUGUUGAGCUUUUAAAACGAUUAAUCAAUAUUAAUCAUGUUUGUUAUCAUCAAAAUUAAUAAGGAAUAAUUUAUGUCAACAAUCUCCCCCUUUUUGAUGAUGACAAACUUUUCAAGAAAAUAUUUGUGCAAUUUUGCUCCCCCUAAAUAUGUGCUCCCCCUAAGUGAAAUUUUGAAAGACUUGUUAACGCCCUUAAAAAAAUAUUCAACUGUUAAUCUCAAAAUUUUAAACACGACAGAUUGAUUUUUUUUUUUUUUUUAAAAAAAAUGUAUGCCAGUAAACUCAUGCAUGCCAAUACUAUUUUGCCAAAACCAAUUUCGCAGUUUGCCAAUUGCCAAUUUCUCUCCCCCUUCAUCAUCAAAAAGAAAGAGACGCGAUGAAUGACUUAUGUUUGGAGAAAUUUGGGCAGAGUGUCCCCUGAAAUAUGAGCAUUUCCUCAACAACACACAAAGUUUAAAAAGAGAAACACUUCCAUAUAAAUAUACCACCAUAUCAACCAACCUCCAUACCAACAAAUUCACACUUCCAGAAAGAGCAAUAUAAUCAAUAUAAUACCAAAAAAACAACUUGAGCAUAAAUCAAGAGCACAUAUACACAAAAUAUCAGAAGCAUAAACACAAAAUAAAUAACAUCAUAUGCAUAAGGCAAAUAACAUGAAAUGAGAAAUGUCUGUGCGAAUAUCAUAGGGACAGAGAAAACUAAGAUGGAGGCUGUGAAGACGAACUGCCGGGGUCAUAUCCAAGGUGGCCGAGAAUGCGACGCUGUCCUGCAAUUAACUCCAUCUGCUGAUCAGAAAUUUGCUCCCGAAAGGUUGCAAAAUCAGAUCGAAGCUGCUGCUGCUGCUGGGACAGGGCAUCUACUCGGUCGAGAAGCUGCUGGAAGCGAUCCUCAGGAACAGCUGAUGCCGCAGGAGGGACGGCAGUCUCGGUAGGCUCGUCAUCCUGAGAUGCAUCUGCUGCUGGUGAAACAGGAGCUGCUGGUGCUGCUGCUCGACGAGGAACACGCGGUCUAGCCCCAAGACGGAAGUCAGGCAGCUCAUCCUCGGAGUAGACAUCAUUCAGCAUGCGAUCAUCCUCGGGUGCAAUCAGUGUGGCUUCGUUUUUGGAGGAUGUGGUCUUUUCCCAUUUCCCACGCUUCUUAAAGAAACCAAUGGCAGAAAUAAUGUCUCGACCGAGUUUACGAGUCUCGAGAAAAACAGGCUCGACGAUAGGAACAUGAAAGUGGUUCAAGAUUUUAGUAAUGAUGCUGCCAUAAGGAAGGGAUCGGUUGGAGACUUUAGGAGUGGUCAGCAUAUGACACAUAAUGGUGUAGGAUAGGCUCACAUGGCGUCUACGGAUGAGAGAGUCUAAAAGACCAAUAUCAAGCCUAGUGACCUCAUCAGUGUGACCCUGCCUAGGAGUGACCAUGUGUUGGAGAAUAAUGUGAAGUAUUCGAAUCUGAAAAGGGAGGAGUUGAGACCUAAAGGACAAAGAGCAGAUGUCAUCGGAAAGAUCCCGACGACGACAAAUGUUCCGUACACCAUCCACAUGACGAAAAUUACUAAACUCUAGUUCUUUCCUAGAGGUGUACAGAUCUAAUCCUCCAUAAGCGAUUCCUAGAAUACUACAUAAUUCGGGUUCAUCAAGUUCAAUACGAAUACCUCCUACAAAUGUAUGAAGCUCGUCACGACUAGAAGAGGAGAAAUCGAUGUUUGAAUAAAAGACUCGAACAAGAUUUUCAUAAAUAGGUUCAUCAACACUUAAAGCUUGUUUCCAAUGACUAAGCAUUUGAGUAAUUGAGUGACCACAAACAGAAAUAUCCGAGAACUCCGAAGUGUUAAGAGAAAAAGAGGGAGUUACGGGUUUACCCAUGAACUUUUCACGGAAACGCUGAGCAGAGGUAGCAUCGGGAAAAUGAAGACUUUCGAAGUCUUGAGGAGGAGACCUGGGUGGACUGGAACGGCGUGAAGCAGUGUGCUUGGUUCGAACACGCCUUGGAGGUCGUUCCGCCAUGGAUGAGAAAAAUUGUGAAAAUGAAGUUUUAGAGAUGAGAUAGUGAUUGUGGGUGAAAAUGUGGUUGGAAAGACGAAGAAAUUUGGGUCAAAGUGAACGAAUGAGAGUCGGCUGGUUCUAGGGUUUCAAGAUGAGAUUUUUCAAAAUUUGAAGAAAGAGAAGGAUUUGAAUCGGUUAAAAGGUGUUAGAAAUGAUAGAAAUGGUUUGUAAUGCUUCAAUUUGGUGAAAAAUGACAAGAAAAGUGAUGGAUUUGAGAGGAGAGAACUGGUGCAGUCGCGGGUUGAGGUGAGAGAGAGAGAGAAAGAGAAGCCGAAAUGAGGAGGAAGGCGAAGGACUGUUCAAUUAACGCGUGAUAACGGCGAGCCGUUAUAAAGAAAACGGCGAGCCGACAGAUUCCAGAGAGUCCUCAAAACAAAUUCAUAAAAAAAACGGCGAGCCGUUUAUAUAAAUAACGGCGAGCCGAUAGGGUCCAGAGAGUCCACACAAGAAAAAUGUAACAGGACGGCGAGCCGAUAGACAUAUAUCGGCGAACCGAUAGCUUCCAGAAAGCGUUCCAUUGUUUCUGCCCAAAACGGUUAGCCGUUUAUUUAAAUAACGGCGAUCCGUUUUCUACAACCUAUGAUUUCGCACAUGUAUUUCGAUAUUUGGCUACUUAUUAAUACAUUUCAAGAUCAUUUUAUUGAUCCAAAAUGAUUUGAGUGCCAUUUCAAUGCAUAAUUCAUGAAUAUAUAUAUAUGUAUUGCAAUAAUUAAUUCAUACAUUUUCAAAUAUACAUACACAUUACAUGCAUAUUACGAUUGAGCAUUCCAUAGAAAUUAAAGCAUCAAGUCAUAGAUCAAUCAAUAAUAAUAGACUCAAUAGCAUGAAUGAAGAUGUUAAUGUGAAAAUUUCAUCAUCCCAAGUUCAUGCCGAAUUUUGGAGAAUUGUUCUUCGCAAAGAGGUUUUGUAAAAAUAUCGGCAAGUUGUUUUUCCGUAGAAAUAAACUCUAGUGCAAUGUCUCUCUUUUGAACAUGAUCUCUCAAGAAAUGAUGUCUUAUUUCUAUAUGCUUGGUUCGAGAGUGUUGAAUGGGAUUCUUUGAAAGAUUAAUAGCACUAGUAUUAUCACACUUAAUAGGAAUUUGUUCAAGAUUAAUGCCAUAAUCUCUAAGUGUUUGUUUCAUCCAAAGAGCUUGUGCACAACAACUUCCGGCAGCUAUAUAUUCAGCCUCGGUAGUUGAAAGUGCGACAGAAUUUUGUUUCUUGCUAAACCAUGAAACAAGAGAGUGUCCUAGAAUAUAGCAAGUUCCACUAGUGCUCUUCCUAUCCACUUUAUAACCAGCAAAAUCCGCAUCCGAAAAACAUGUUAAAUCUAUAUGAGUUCCCCUAGGAUACCAAAGGCCAAUAUCUAUGGUUCCACUCAAAUAACGGAAAAUUCUUUUAACAGCGAGCAAAUGAGAUUCCUUGGGACAUGACUGAAAUCUAGCACACAAACAUACACUAAACAUGAUAUCGGGUCUACUUGCAGUCAAAUAAAGUAGGGAUCCGAUCAUACCUCGAUACAUUUUGAUGUCCACUUCUUUACCUUUUUCAUCUUUGUCCAGCUUGGUUGUUGUGCUCAUUGGUGUAUUCUUGGUCUUUGAAUCAUCAAUGCCGAAUCGUUUGAGUAGAUCCUUUACGUACUUGGCUUGAUUUAUGAAAAUUCCUUCCUCGUUUUGUUUGAUUUGAAGUCCAAGGAAGUAUUUCAACUCUCCCAUCAUACUCAUCUCAAAUUCUUUGCUCAUACAUGAUGAAAAUUCUUUACACAACAACUCAUUAGUAGAACCAAAAAUAAUAUCAUCAACAUAAAUUUGAACAAUAAGUAUGUCUUGGUUCUUAUGCUUAACAAAUAGAGUAGUAUCCGCUUUACCCAUUGAAAAGUCAUUUUCCAACAGAAAAUUCUUAAGUCUAUCAUACCAUGCUCUAGGUGCUUGUUUUAAACCAUACAAAGCUUUAAACAACUUAUAAACAUGAUUUGGAAAUUUUUCAUUUUCAAAACCAGGGGGUUGUUUUACAUACACUUCUUCCAUAAUAUAUCCAUUUAGGAAAGCACUUUUCACAUCCAUUUGAAAUAAAAUAAAAUCUUUAUGACAUGCAUAUGCUAACAACAUUCUAAUGGAUUCUAACCUUGCUACAGGAGCAAAGGUUUCAUCGAAAUCAAUUCCUUCUUCUUGGUUGUAGCCUUGAGCCACUAAUCUAGCUUUAUUUCUUACAACCACACCGGAUUCAUCCAUCUUAUUCCUAAACACCCAUUUAGUACCUAUUAUAGAUUGAUGUUCAGGUUUAGGAACUAAUUUCCACACAUUGUUUCUUUCAAAUUGAUUUAACUCCUCUUGCAUUGCCAUAAUCCAAGAUUCAUCAUUUUCUGCAUCCUCAAAGGAUUUUGGUUCAAUUUGAGAGAUGAAUGCAUUAUGCUCACAAGUAUUUCUAAGUGAUGAUCUAGUUGUAAUACCUCGUGAGGGAUCUCCUAAAAUUACAUCUUUAGGGUGAGAAGAGACAUACCUCCACUCCUUGGGGAGUGUUUGAGAAGUACCUUCAUUUUGCUCCGCAUUUAGUUCUUCAUGAUGUUCCUCUUGAAUUUCAUGUGGUGCAUCCUCUUGUUUGUCAUUUGAUGCUUCUUCUUCUUGUUCUUCUUCUCCUGCAUCAUCAUCAACAACGACUUUCUCCGUAGAGGAGGGGUUAGACUCAUCAAAUGUCACAUGCAUAGAUUCUUCCACAACUAAGGUUCUUUUGUUAUAGACUCUAUAAGCUUUACUUGAAUUUGAAUAACCAAGAAAAAUACCAACAUCGGAUUUUGGAUCAAAUUUACCAAGAUUGUCUUUUGUGUUCAAAACAAAACAUUUGCAUCCAAAAACUUUAAAAUAUCCAAUGUUGGGUUUUCUAUCUUUCCAAAGCUCAUAAGGAGUUUUGUUAAGAUUAGGUCUAAUCAACACCCGAUUUAAAACAUAACAAGCGGUGUUGACGGCUUCGGCCCAAAAAUAUUUUGGUAAUGCAUUUUCAUUUAACAUGGUUCUAGCCAUUUCUUGAAUAGACCUAUUCUUUCUCUCAACAACUCCAUUUUGUUGUGGAGUUCUAGGUGAUGAAAAUUGAUGCUCAAUGCCUAGAUUAUUGCAAAAACACUCAAAUGCAUGAUUUUCAAAUUCUCCUCCAUGAUCACUCCUAAUGCAUACAAUACCAUGCCCUUUUUCAUUUUGUAAUUUCUUACAAAGCACUUUAAAAGCAUCAAGAGCAUCAUCCUUAUUGGCUAAGAAUAAUACCCAUGUAUAUCUAGAAUAAUCAUCCACUAUCACAAAUGCAUAAUAUUUGCCAUUUAGACUUGCAUAUCUAGAUGGCCCAAAAAGAUCUAUGUGAAGAAGUUCAAGUGGUUUUGAAGUAGAAAUAUGGUUUUUAUUCUUGAAAGAAGUUUUAAUUUGUUUUCCAAAUUGACAAGCUUCACAAAUCUUAUCCUUUUGAAAACCAAUUUUCGGAAGACCUUUAACUAAAUUAUCUUUCGAAAUUUUUGAAAUCAAAUCCAUACUUGCAUGUCCUAACCUUCUAUGCCAUAACCAACAAUCAUUAUGCAAUGCCGAAAAACAUUUAUCAAGAGUAGAUGCACAUUCUAUGUCAAUGAUAUAAACAUUACCACAUCUAUUUCCAACAAAUAAGGUUUUGCCAUCACAUGAGUUCUCAAUAACACAACUAAAUUUAUCAAAGAUAACUUUAUAACCUUUGUCACAUAAUUGACUAAUGCUAAUUAAGUUGUGUUUCAAGUUUUCAACCAAACAUACAUUCUCAAUUAGAGUUGAAGAAACUUUACCAACAUUUCCAAUUCCAAGGAUUUUUCCUUUUGAGUUGUCUCCAAAGGAUACGUCUCCACCAUUUUCAAUUUUGGUAAAGCUUGAGAACCAUGCAUAGUUUCCGGUCAUGUGCCUUGAACAACCGCUGUCCAAGUACCAUUUAUUCUUCUUCUUCUUCAAGCCCUACAAGAAAAAAUCUCAAGUUUUAGGUACCCAAAGCUUUUUGGGUCCUUGAGAGUUAGCAACGGUUCCUUUUGGAACCCAAAUGCACUUGACACCAUAAUAUGCAUUCCUUUUCACGGGACAUCUAAAUUUCAUGUGACCAUUUUGAUUACAAUAAUGACAUACAAUCUUAUGAUCAUUUGUGGAGGUAGCUUUAACAAAAUAAUUCUUAUAAUACUUUUGCUUCAAGUUUGGCUUAUAUCCAAGUCCUCCUUUAUCAAAAACACAUUUUUGUGAGUUAAGCAUAUUAUCCAACAUCUUUUGCCCAUUUGUAAAUUUCAAAACAAUUUCAUUUAAUUCAUUAUUCUUUUUCUUGAGCAAUUCGUUCUCAUUUUUCAACUCAUCUAUGUGUGAUUUCAAAUGCUCAUGUAAGAUGCUAGGUUUCUCAUUUGAUAAUGCAAUUUCAUCAUGCAAUGUUUUGUUUCCUACUUCUAGGCAUACAAUUCUUGCAUUUAGAGAUUCAUUUUCAUUUUUAAGCUUUGCCAUUUCCUUUUUAAGACAUACAUUCUUUUUACCAAUUUUCAUCAACUCAUUAUGCAAAUCUUGAAAAGCAUCAUAUAAUUCAUCAUAGGUAGGAUCACUUACCUCAUUUAGAUCAUCAUCCCCUCCUAUUGCCAUGAGUGCUAGGUUUGAUACUUCUUGCGAUCCUUCUUCAUCAUUUGAUUCUUCCUCACUAUCAUCCCAAGUUGCAACCAUUGCUUUCUUCUUGAGUUUGUUGAUAAGUGGGCACUCCGAUCUUAUAUGUCCAGGCUUCUUGCAUUCAUAGCAAGUGAUUGCCUCCUUCUUCUCUCUAUAGUUCUUGAAGUUUCUGAAAUUUCUUCGCUCUCCGGUUUUCUUGAAGAAUUUUCUGAACCUCCUUGCUAGCAUGGCUAGUUCUUCAUCAUCCGGUUCACUCUCCUCAUCACUCUCAUAUUUUGAAGCUUUGAGAGCAAUGCUUUUCUUCUUCUCCUCAUGUCCUUUUUCUGCAGCUAAAUCCUUUUCAUACGAAAUAAGAGAACCAAUUAAAUCAUCAAGAGGUAAAAUAUUUAAAUCUUUGGCCUCUUCAAUAGCGGUUCUUUUAGGUCUCCAUUCUUUUGGAAGUGACCUAAUGAUUUUCUUAACUUUCUCACUAUUUGAGAAGGUUUUCCCUAAGGCACCUAGGGUGUUCACUAUGUCCGUGAAUCUAGUGUACAUAGAAUACACAUUUUCAUUCUGUUCCAUUUGGAACAACUCAUAUUGGCGAGUGUAUCUACUGAUUUUAGACUCUUUCACUUGAUUUGUCCCUUCAUAGACAACUUCAAGUUUGUUCCAUAUCUCUUGUGCACUUUCACAACUAGAUACUCUAUGGAAUUCUUUCUUAUCAAUGGCACAAAACAAAGCAUUCAUAGCCUUGGAGUUUAGAGACAUCUUUCUCUUUUCUAACUCACUCCAUUGACUCGAUGGUUUAGGAAUAUCAUCUCCUACUUCAUCUUUGAACGUAGGCAUGAAUGGACCAUCACAAACAACUUCCCAAAUUUCAUAAUCUAAGGCUUGCAAAUAGAUUCUCAUUCUAGUUUUCCAAUAAGCAUAAUCAUUACCAUCAAAAAAAGGUGGUCUAGUUGUGGAUUGCCCUUCUCUAAAGGUUGAGUCAUUUAGGGUUGCCAUGGAUCUUUUACUCUAGACGAUUAAGUCUUAACAAGAGAACAAGGCUCUGAUACCAAUUGAAAUACAAGUAUGCAACCCAAGAGGGGGGGUGAAUUGAGAUUCUAAAAAAUAUUUAAUUUAUUAAAGAAAAACUUAAUGCAAUUAUAAAUCAAAUUCAAAGCAAUAACAAUUAAGAUGAUCACAAUAUAAAAAGAUAAGGGAAGAGGGAUUCAAACACCGAGAUUUUUACGUGGUUCGGCCAACCUUGCCUACGUCCACGCCUCCAAGCUUUCCGGGCUUGAGGAUUCCACUAAGCAAGCCUCCAAGGCUUCAAAUGCUUACACUUGACUUCCAAGGUGUCAAUGGACCUUUACAACAAGAGAUUAUCCCCAAUCUCUUAACCCAAGUGUAUCCCAACACUUACAAUUACUCAAAGUAAAAGAUUACAAAUUGUUUUUCUCUCACACAAUAUUUAAGAUUACAAAUCAAUGCCCAAUUUGUGAAUAGAUGAAGAGAGAAUGUGUUUUAAGCUCUAUGAAGAUUGUAUUCUCAAAUAUUUGCUCAAUGGUCGUGUUGUGAUCAAUAUUUGUUUGGAUUUGAAUGAGCUUAUUUAUAGUUGCAGCUGAAAACUAGCCGUUAUUGACUUUCUGCACACUGUCGGAUCACCGUUAUCUAGAUGUCGGAUCGCCGUUUGACUGGUCAAUAUGACCGUUGGGCUGAUUUUUCAAAUUGUCGGAUCGCCGUUAUCUAGAUGUCGGAUUGCCGUUUAGGUCCAGAGGCUACUGGUUGAUAUCGGCGAGCCGUUUAUCACACAUGUCGGUUCACCGUUAAAGUCCAGAGACUACCCUUCAGUUCUGUUUGAUAUCGGCGAGCCGUUUUAUCAACAUAUCGGAUCGCCGUUUAGGUCCAGAGGCUACUGGUUGAUAUCGGUGAGCCGUUUAUCACAAAUGUCGGUGUGCCGUUUUCGUCCAGAGGCUAAUCUCCAUUUCUGCUUGAAAUCGGCGAGCCGUUUACUACAGAUGUCGGAUCGCCGUUUUCCACAAAAACUGCUGCAGUGAACUAUUUUGCAAGAUGACUGUUUUGUCUCCAAAUUUUUAUAAAAAUACUUUAUGAAACUUGUCAAAAUAGAUGAAAAUUAUGUUGAGCUUUUAAAACGAUUAAUCAAUAUUAAUCAUGUUUGUUAUCAUCAAAAUUAAUAAGGAAUAAUUUAUGUCAACAGAGGUUUCCGAAGAGUUAGAGAGAAAAGAGCAAUAAAGCCAAAUGAGAGAAAUUGUAUUACUCGCAAAGAGAUUACAAGAGAGCUUACAAGCGUGUUUGAGUUGCUUGCUCAAAGCUUGAUGCUCAAAUGCUAAAUGUCAUGCCAUAUUUAUAGGGGAGGCUUGCCAAGCUCAAAAGCUCUACCACUUGCCUAGAAUUCUAGAUAUUUACAUGUGCUAGAAAUGUGUAGAGAAUUCUAAAUAUGUACAAGCUUGAGUGUGCUAGAGUUGCCUAGAAAUUUCCAGAAUCGGCCCAAGCUAGCACUCUUAGCCUUGUCUUGAGCUCUCUAACCCGAAUUUGUGGACAAUUGGGCUAGUAACUUGGGCGGUCCGCAGCACUAAGCAUGCUUCUCAUUUUAUCUACUACCUAAAUUUAUAGAUCUUCAACAAUAUUUAAUAUUUUGAUUAGCUCAGAGGAAUCAAAUUCUAACAGGCUUUAUUAAUCAACCUUUCAUUUACUCUAUCAAUUAAUUAAUUCAUACCUAUAGUACUUUUUUUUUUUAAGUUAUAGCCUAAUUGCAACCUAAAUUUUAUUAAAUUAAAUAUGUAAGUAGAAACAUAAUAUUGAUAGCCUAAAUUUUAUAAUAAUUAGAAACAUAAUACUAAAAUAAAAAUACAAAAUUUAAAUUAUUUUCAAUAUUGUAAAAUAUUUUUUAUUAUUAUUAAUACAUGAGAUCAAAUCUAUUUAACCCAAAGAUUUAUCUAAAAUUUGUAUAAUAAAUUUAAAUAUAUUAUUAAAAUAAAUAUAAUAAUUUAAAUGUUAAGACUUAUUUUAUAUAUAAUUUUUUUAAUAUUAUUAGUGUAUUAGAUAAAUUAAACUAUUUAAAUCAUAUUUGUAUUUAUUAAAAACUUUUAAAGUCAAACUUUUUAGUUACUAUUUACCACGAGUAUUAUAGUUAAAAGAGGUCUUGGUGUCUCCUGACACGACUUAAAAUGUGUUUGAUUUUCUCCCAAGUAUAAGAGUGCCUAGUUAUAAUUUAUCUCGGUGAGUCCGAUGUCGAUAUACAGAGAAAAUAUUUAAUUUGUUUACUUAAGUUUAUCCAAAUAAAAAUAAAAUUUAUAAAUAUGUAAUUUAUUUAAGAAAAAAUAUAAAAUUGAAUUAGUUAUGGUUAUGGAUCUACUCUUAGUAACAAAUACAAUUUAACAAAUUCUUUUUAUUUUUAUUUUUAUUUUAUUUCUCAAAAGAUUAAUUGUAUAAAUUAAAAUUAUUUUCCAUUUAUUUUAUUGUGCAUUAAGAAUUUAAUGUGCCAAAACUUAAUUUGUCUACACUAAAUCAAAAUUCCAUUUUUCCAUAUUUUAUACUAAGAUAUUAAGAAUUCAUUGUGUCAAAUUCCUAUUUUUGUCUACAAUAAAUCAAAAUUUCAAAAUAUAAAAUAUGAAUAAAAUUAAAUAGAAAACAAUUUAAUUUAUAAAAUUAAAAAUAGAAUUUGAUUAAACCAUAUUUUUACUAAGAGUUUCACCUUCCCCUAACUACUAAUAUUUAGCUAAACAUUUUUAAAAUAAAAGGAAUUUUCUUUAAAAACAAAAAAAGACAUAAUUAAAAAAUGCUUGAAAAUUGAAAAUAAAACUAAUUUUAUUUAUUGAAAAUAUAAUACAAAGAGAGAUGAAAAGAAGAAUUUGGGGGAAAAGAAGAGAAGAGAAGGUGUGGAGAGGUGUGUUCACCCCCCCUCGAUUUAUACUAACACAUGGUAAAUCCUAACCACACAAAUAAAAAAAUCUUAUUACAUCUUAAUCUUACAUUUGUCCCACAAAUAAUCCCACUAAUAAAACAUAAACCUAACUUAUCCACUCAAACAUAUCCAACACAUUCCACUAACAAUUACCAUACCUAACAUGAUAAAAACUUAUAAUUUUAUAAUUACCACAUUUACCGUGGUAAAAACGUAAAUAUUUACAACAAAAGUCUUGGAUCCUCAUCGACAAUGACAUAAUUUCUUGGACUUCCACAAUCCAAAUUUGACAUCCAUACAUUUGUUCGAAGCCUCAAAUUGCAUGAAAUUAUUAUUUUUACCUAAUAAACACACAAAAAUACACAAAAUCAAAUAUUUAAAAAAUAAUUAGAAAUUCACAGUAUGUUACACAAUUACAAAUAUAAAUUACAUUAAUAAAACAAAAUAAUAUUUUUAUCCCUUAAUAAACAUACAAUUUUGAACACUAAUCAUCUCCUAUUGAAAACUUUGGUUCUAUAUGAUUAUCUCCCCUAACUUUGGGGGUGUGGCUGUUUUUUUUCCUUCAUUUUAUUAAUAAGUUUAAUUAAUAAAGAGUAAUGGUAGAAAUCCCAAAUUUUUUAAUCCCAAAUGAUGGGCAUUCAUUCACUGGUUGAUAAUUCUUUACAAAUCCAAGUGAAUUAAUUGUAUUAUCUCACCAACCAAUUGAUAAAUGUCAAUAAUUUGAAAUAGUUAUUUAGGAUAAAAAAUUUGAGGUGUAUAACACUACUCAUUAAUAAAAGAAUGAGGGAAGGUUUGUCCAAGUCAUGCAUUAUUUGAUUAUCAUCAAUCAAGAAAGUGAUCAAAUUAAUUUCUCUCCAUGAUUUCCAAAAGCUAGAAAAUUUUGUUACUUGAAAUUGGAAAAUAACACCAUUAAUUAUAGAAUGGAUCAAAAUCGCAUUAUUAUCUUUCAUGAAAUUGAUGUAUAUCAAGAGUCAUAUUCUUUACUUUUGACAAUUCAGUCAACACCAAAUUGAACUUUCUUAUUUUUACUAUUGUUAUGUUAACUUUUUCGAUCCCCGAUUAUUUAUUCAUGAUUAUUACAUCAUUAAUUAGAGUUUAUCAAACCGCAUUUUUUUCCUUCAUGGAAUUGAUGCAUGUUAGGUCAAUGUUUGGGAUGCCACAUUGCGUAGGACAAUUGGUCGCCCUCGUAUUGAUUGAAAAGAAUCUCAUGUUUGGCAAUUCAAAUGGUGCGCAGCACACCAGACUUAAUGCUGCAUUUGCCUCAAUAUUGAAACCCAUCAACCCCCUCGGAAUUAAGGUGUGCAACAUUCAUUUUUAAGAAUAAAAUCUUAAGGUUUUCAGAAAUGGUUAUAUAAAUCCUCAUAUCCUCAAUAAGGGACUCUAAAAUCCCUUGCUGACUAAAAUACCAUUUGGUUCUAUCAAUUUAAAAAAUUUGACUCCAAUAUUUUAUAAUAAAUAAAAAAAUAACAUUAAAAAAAUAAUUUAUAUUUUAAAAAUAUUGUAUAUAUUACAAUGAAUAUAAUAUUAUUAUUCUACUAGACAAAUUAAACUAUCUAGAUUAUAUUUAUAUUCAUUAAAAAAAUUUAAAAUCAAUUUUUUUAGUUACCAUCUACUAAAGAUAUUAUAGUUAAAAAGGGGUCUUAAUGUUUCUUAAAAAUUUAGGCGUCUACAUAACCAUUUCCGUUGAUCAAAUCAAAGCUUCCGUCCUCGUAGAUCUAUGGUCAAAAUUUGGAACCCCAAAAAUUUGACCAUAUAUUUACAGCUAAUGAAAGCUCCUUUUUUGGUGAUACAUGUAUCGUUGCAUAGAUUUGGUGAUAAUAAUUCCAAUGGUGAAAAAAUGAUACCAAUAGAUGCCAAAAUGUGAUUGGAGCGGGCGGCUUGUGGUGGCCAACGGUGGAUAAUUAUAAAAUCUAAAUAAUAGAUUUAAGAAAAUAAGACCAAAAACAUUUAAGAUAUUAAUAAUUAUUAAAAAUUAAUUUAAUAUAAAUAAUAAUUUAAAAAAUAUUAUUAUAUAUAAUGCUGUACAAUGUAACACCAAACAUUGAAUAUUAUUAAAGUAAUACAAUAUUAAUACAAUAAAGCUUACUGCAAUACAUUUUGCAUUAAAAAAUAUAAUAUAGUGUGCCAAACACACCCUUAGUGUCACACUUUUAAACAACCUCGGGCUGCUCUUUUUUUUUUUUUUUUUUUGACUUAAUGAUUUCGUCAUUAACUUAAUUCGAUCAGUUAAACUAUUAAGUCCGUUUGUUUUUUCAACAUAAUGAAAAUUUUCAGUCAUUAAGUUAUUAUAUUAUUAAUCAAACUCUUUUAGCUUUUUGCUUAAUUUAAAAAAUUUUUAAUGAUACCAUUAAAGAAUAUUCUCUAGAUACCCUAUGUAAUUAAUUAAUUUUCAUCCUUACCUAAGUAAAAUUUAAUACUUUUCAUUAUUACCAUCUUUAUAACUUGUGACAAUAUGGCGAUAGACUAUUAUUAUUUUUAUUUUGUACUUUUUUCAAAUUAGCAUUAUUUAUCUUCAUAAUUUUUUAUGAAUAUUUUUUGUAAAAAAAAAUCAUGAACUACAAUAAAAUUGAUUAACAUAUACAAAUUUAGAAUUUAAAAUAUCUUAUUCAAUUGAACAUGAUUUAUGUUAUGAUAAUAUAUAAUCUUACCUAAGUUCUUUGAAUAUUUAUUAUUUAUUUAACAUUCAUAAUUUUUAAGGGGACAAUGUAAAAAUAUUAAUUUUCAUAAUUUUUUAAAUUUAAAAAAUACAACUUAAUAUUUGUAUUCAGUAAUUCAACAAAAAGUAAUAUAAAUAUAUUAUUCAGAUUCAGACAUUCAGUUCAAUUCAAAAUUCUGGCUAAUUAAGGUCUAUUCAAAAUUUUUGACAAAAAAAAAAAGGACACCCUAAUUGACAUGAACUUUUUUUUUAUUUUAAAAAUUAAAAAGAUCUUUGGAUUUCAACCCAUUUGUUUGGCCUUAAAAGAGCCAGUAUUCUUACCAUUUGAAUUAGCCUUCGCCUCAACUUCAACCUUAUUCUUUCCAUGCAACCUUGGUCGAUAUCAACUUGAAUUUUGCUAGCUAUGUUAAUUAUUUCAAUCCCCCACAUUAUGCAGUCUUUGUACUGUAAACUUAAUUUCACACCUAAAUAAGUUGAUGAUCAUUACUCAACCAUUAAUAUUUCAAAAAGUCAUUUCACCAUCCAUGCUAUUAGUUUUUCCCUUAAAUUUAACUAUUGACUAUUUUACCAUCUUAAAGUAUAUAAUUAUGCCUUUAAUUAUGUGAUACAAUUAUGAGAAUAUUCAUUUUAGCUUAAAAUAACUAGAAUAUCCAAAAAAAUAACUUAAAUUAAUAAAAUAAAACUAUCAGCUCCUUAAAGGAUUCAACAUAUAUAAUACUAUAGCUAUUAAUAAAUUUUUAUUAUUCAAUAUAUAUGCUAAAAUAUUUUAUACAUUUAUAACUGUUAUAUAGCUCAAGGAUGAAUGAUUCUUCAGGUCUAUAGAGUUGGUGCAUCUGCAAGACUUAUUUUUAUUGACCAUGAUGAUCUAAGGAUCUAAGGGGUAAUUUACCUUUGUGCUUGGCAAAAAUAACCUCCCUUCAAGGUUUGGGCGUCACUUUCAAUUAACUUAUAUAGAUAUCUCCUCAUCUCCCCUCAUAUCUAUAAUGAUCCUUGAAGAUCUCACAUUUUCAAACAAUCGCUUCCAAAUUUCAACAUCAUUUGGGCCAUUCUUAAAGUAAAUAGUUAAAUUCAUAAAUUGUUAACUAAUUCCACUCUCCAUGCAUAAAGUCUUCUUAAAAGAUAAUUUUAUUAGUUGUUUGCUUUUAAGUUAAUUCAUAUUUUAAACAAAAACGUUUAAGUUGUAUAUAUCAUAGUGAGAGUUUCUUCAUAACAACUCCCUUGUUCUAACAUACACAAAAAAAUGGUAAUUUUAAAGAUAAAAUAAACAGGUGUUGAUUAUAUAUCUUGAUUUUCAUUGAUUAUGUGAUCAAAGUGACAAUUUUGAUUAAUUUCUUUUUCAACGUUAAUUUUUAGGUUAUCUUAGUUUCAAGGAUUUAGAAUAUUUGGUCAUGAAUUACACGCUUGUUAAUUUUUUCAGCCAUUAAUUGUCAUAUUCUAGACUUAACGGUAUUUUUCUUAGUUAGAAUAAUCAUUCUCUUCACCUCUUAUAAAGAUCAUAAUAAUUAAUUUAUUGCUACAGUUAAUAGUCUUUAAAAAUGGAUAGAUUUAUUGUUUUGAUGACUAAAUAAUGCCUGUUAAGGCUGCGACUGUGAACAAAAUUGGUAUUUAAUGUAAUAUGUUAAUAGAUUUAAGAUUUUAUAGAUUACCAAUUGUUAUAAGUUAAAGGAUGAAUUAUUUUUCAGGCCAAUGAGUUAUUGCAUCUGCAAGAAUUUUUUUUUAAAUUCUUAUAUUGACCAUAAUUAUCUUAAGGGUAUUAUAAUAUGCUUUAGUGCUUAGCAAAAUGUGGCAUCUCCCUUUAAGUUUGAUACGUCUCUUUCCAUCAAUUUACUGGUAAUAUCUCCUCAUCUACCCUCUUUUAUCUUACAUCAAUUGAAGAUCUCACAUUUUCAAACUAUCAUUUCCAAGUCUCAAUAUAACUUGAGCCAUUCAAAACUAAUCAAGUGUGGAAAUAACCAAAUAUACGUAUUAAAAUUCUCUUGCCUCCAAAAUUCUAAUUAUAUAACUUCUACAUAUCUCAUUCCUGGUCACAAGAUGUUGGCAUAUUUUCCAAAUUCCCCUUCCAUCAACAUCACUAGGAGUAUGUUAAUCUCUAACACAUUAACUUGAGUGGAGAGUUUCCAACUUGAUUGCCAGAAAGCAAUACAAAGCUAGACACACUUGAUAAUUCUCUUUUGGUAAAAUUUAAUUAAGUUUAGGGGAAUGUUCGGCCAACCUAUAGAAUUUCAAAUUGAGCAUUAGCCUAUACAAAUUGAUAAAAAGUGAUUAGAUGUUAAUUUGCUAACGAUACAUGUUCAUGACUUGAAAUUAGAUCUCUAUCGAUUCGUAUACAAAUGGACGUACUUGUGGUGAUAAUUGAACCAAAAGAUAUGAAGCUCUAAAGAUUUGGCAACUGUAAAUUGAUGAAGUGGGUUUCAAUUAGCUUUAUUUUUUCAAGGGAAAUUAUAAGUCAUAUACCCUUAAAUGACACCAGUAUCAAACGUGCUAUAACACUUUUUAAGUAUAUCACUCAUAUACCCUAAGUUGACAACACUUAUGCCGUCCAUCAAUCCGUUAACUGUCGUUUGCAAGCGCUAACAUCAUAAGGGUAAUCUAGUCUUUUUUAAAAAGACAUGUCAUCCCAUUUACCUACUAAAAAAUGACAUGUCAUAUGAUAUAUAUUGAUAAAAGUGACAUGUCAUCUCAUUUAUCGGAUAAUUGUUAAUAAUUGCUAAAAAAAAAGCUACUUUACAACUGAAUCUACUCCUCCAAAAUUUAACCUAAAUUUUUGAAGAUCUACUCCUUCAAGCUCCAACUGAAAUUUUUUAUGGUAUAAUAUGUAUAAUUGUAAAUAAUAUGUUGUUAAUAAUUUUUUAUGGUAUAAUAUGGAUAUCUUUUACGGAUAAUUGUUAAUAAUAUGUACCAUUAAUAAUUCAUAUUUUUUAAUAAAAAAUGUAUUGUUAAUAACAAAAUAAAAAAAAUUGUGUAUUGAAAAUUUACGUUAAUUUUUUGGGUAAAUUUAUAUUUUUACCUCAUUUUUAGUUUCAAGGGCAAAAUAAUCAAUUUGUCAUAAUUCUGUUAAAUUUCUAACAGAAGUUAACGGAUUGGUGGACGGCAGAAGUGUUUUCUCAACUUAGGGUAUACAAGUAAUAUACUUGAAAAGUAUUGUAGCACGUUUGAUAUUAGUGUCAUUUAAGAGUAUAUGGCUGAUAAUUUCUCUUUUUUCAAUUAGCAUCUGAUUGGGCCAUUUUCGGUGUAAUUUCAUGCUGUGUAAGCCACAACAAAAAAUCAAACAGCCCCUUCACAUGUUUCUUCCAUUUUAUCUGCAAUUUUUGUGGAUCUUAUAGGCAUGGGUAGAAUUUAAUGUUUUUAAUAUAGUCUCAAAGAAUAAGAUAUUGGCUCCAAUAGAUUAAAGAAACUUUUAUUUACUCUAUCAAUUAAUUAAUGCCAUUUGGUUUUGAAAACACUAUAAUUGAAUUCUCAUGUUUAAUUUGUUUCAAGUUAAAAUAUUAAUUAAUUAAACUCUCUUUUAGUUCUUGAGGUAUUGGCACAUUGCAUUCAGAAUUGGAUUCCUUUAGCAACUUGUGAUGCCUCAACGUAAUUGUAAUAUUGAAGAAAAACAAAUUUUUUUAUUGAGAGUUUAAAUCUAAACUCAGACAAUGAAUUUGGACGUUCUUCAAUCCUAUCCUAAUUGUUAAACAUAUUACCUUGGUUCUAAUUCUUUUGCAAUGCAAAAUAAAUAGUCAAAUUCAUAAAUUUUUAACUACUUUUAAAUUCGUAAAUUGUUAACUAAUUUCCUGAGAUAUAUAGCUAAGAUUGUUGCUCCUAAUUAAAUAAUUAAAGUUACACAAUUUUAACAACUUGAAAGAAUUGACAAUAAUGGACGGGUCCCCUCUCCAUAUAUAUAGCCUUCUGCCUAAAUAGAUAAUUUUACUAGUUAUUUGCUUUUAAGUUAAUUUUCAUUUUAAACAAAAAUGUUUAAGUUGUAUGUAUUAUAGUGAGAGUUUUUACAGAGCAAUUCUCUUCUUCAAAUAAUAAAGGAAAAGAAGUAAUUUAAAAGUAAAAUAAACAAAUGGUAAUUAUAUGUCCUGAUUUUCAUCGAUAAUGUGAUCAAAGCCAGAAUUUUGAUUUCUUCUUGUUCAAUGUUAAUUUUUAGAUAAUAUUAAUUUUAAGGACUUAAUAUAUUUGGUCUUAUUCUAGACUUGAUGGUACCUUUUUUUUAAUUAGAGGUAAUGGGUACUUUUUCUCCUAUUAUAAGAAUUACAUUAAUUGUUUUAUAUAUUGUUACAGUUAGUGAUCUUUAAAAAAGGAUAGAUUUCUUGUUUUCAUGACCAAAUUAUGCCCGCCUAACGUUGCGACUAUCAAUAAACUUAUUAUUUAAUGUAUAUGUUAAAAGAUUUAAGAUUUUAUCUAUUUAUUAAUUUUUUGUUAUAAGCUAAAGGUUGAACUACUUUUUCAGGUCAAUGUGAGUUGGUGCAUCCGCAAGAGUUCUCUCUUUUUUUCUUUUUCUUUUUUGGGUUAAUCGACCGUCCCACUGGCUAAUUUGAGGAUGGAGAGGAUGGAGGAGACUAAUAGUCAUUUACCAUGUUUCCAGAUGAUGAUGAUGGUAAUUGGAUCGAAUAUUUGUUUGAUAUUGAGGAAUUUGAAAAAACAACUCAGAGAGGAUACCCUUGGUUGCCAAAUGGAGAUGUUAUUUGUGGACGUAUACUAUACCUGCAAGGACUUGUCUACUGUUCUUUAGAUGUUUCUUUGAUCGCAACUUUCAACUUUGCCCUCAAACAAUGGAAAAUUCUUCCAUAUUCUCACAUCGGUUAUGAACAUUUCAUUUAUUCUGACUACCUAAUUGACUCAGGAUCAGGUCGUGACAGCAACAAUAGUUUAUUAAUAGGACAGUCUAGAGUACUAUUCCAGGACCCAUAUUCGUCAUAGGUGUGAUCUAUCAGAGAUGAAGUGGUGUAAAGUUGAUAAUAAUAGUGUUUCAUUAAAGGACAAAUCAUUGAUCUUGGGUCACCGUCAUUGUACAUCAUUACCACUUCAAGUGGAAGAUGAAGAUUAUGCAAGCGAUUCCAGGAAUGCACCCAUUGCUCUGACUGCUGGGAGGAAGAAUGCACCCAGAUAUCAGAAUUUUAUGGUGGCAGACUCGAGCAAUAUACCUGCGUUCAACCUCCUCUGCCAACGGAUUUCCGUUGACUUCCCCCAUGUAUUUUUGUACCUAUGUUUAAAAUGUUUGGUCUCAUGUUACUUCUUCUGCCAAUUCACAAUGCUUGUAAUCACAUACAAAACUUGGAGCAAUUGCCGCAGCAGCUAAGCAUUAACUAAGAUUACAAUUGCUGCAGCUACUGGUAAAGAAGAGUUCAUUAAUUGGAGCAAUCAAACUAACCACUUAUGUAAUUGAUUGUUGUGCUAACAGUUUUAUUAACUAAAUAGCAACAAAACACAAGAAAAAAAGAAGAUACACAUACUUGGCACGAGUUUAUUCAGAAGUGGAAUCACAUUUCGGUGAUGAGUUAGCUUCCGAUAUCUUGCUAGCUGGAGCUCUCUCCUGUCUUUCUCUGUAAGCUGAGGGAAACCAACCAACCUUGUCCUUGCAUUGUGAAUUCGGGGAGGAAUGACAUAUGGUAGUAAAUUCUGGGAGGAAUGACAUAUGGUGGUAAACUAGAUGUACUGAAGUAGGUUCAGGAAGGAAUAUCACUUGGAAAAAAAAAGGACCGGAAACUCGAUUCCAAUUCAUUUUUGUUUCAGAUUUUAAUUCCUCUUUCUCCAGAAAUAUUACUUGGCCAGUGUAACAUUACUUUCAAAAACGAUAUAUAAAAUUUCUGUUAUUACUUUAAAGAAAGAUCUAUAAAAUUUCUGUUAAACAUUACCGUGACUUUUAACUUCCUUUGUAUUAGCAUUUUUAAAUGCAAGAAUAAUGAUAAUACUGGAAAAAUCAAUAAAUAAAUAAAUACGAAUUUUCAUAAUUGGGCUAAACCAAAUAACAAAAAGACAGAUUAGGACAUCUCAUCUCUUCAAAGUUAGCUUAACUAGAACAACUCCAUCUCUUCCUUGAGAUUCUUAACAGCUUCACUAACUCCAUCCUGAAAGAAGCAUUAAGUUUGUGAAAUUUAUUUUCAGUAAUGGAGCUCACAGAACAAAUAGUAUACCCAAAAAUUUACAAGAUACAGGCUACAGUAAUUCCGACAGCAAUGGCUUCAACAAAUUCAUAAAAUAAAUAAAAACAAGAACUUGAACAAAAGAGAUACGGAAACUACUAUAAUUCAACUCAAACUCAGUAACUGACAUAUUUGAUAAGUGAAUAAGAUUCGAAUUCCUAGCAGCUAGUCGACAAUUAAAUCUAAUAAAAAGAUAAUUUAAUGGAAAGAAGAUCCAAUUUAAUGCAGAUAUGAGAUACGAAAAGAAUGAUACUUAAUGCGGCAACCAGCCAUAGCAUUGCUAAAGCUGGGAACAAGAAGUACUUUAAUAUGCAUUUACCUCAACAGAGAUUCUUUCAGCAAUCUCUUUUGCACAUUCUUUGACUCUGGGAGAUAGUGCAUACUGAAUGGCUUGUGAUAGUGCUUCUGCAGCUUCUUUGAUGCUAGUGUCAUCUGCAUUAUCUGGAACCAAGUGAUUUCUUUUUAGUGGUUCUGGAGCAACUCCAAGCCAAAACAUCCUCUCGGCCCAGUAGAACUGGUCCAGCAUGAAUGGACACAGUAUCUGACAUCCAAUAUCCAUAAAGGAGACGAAUAAAUGAGUCAAAAUUAUAGCAUACAAGUACUAUCACAAAAAUAAAACUAAAGAAAUAAAGGUAACACAAAUGAACUAAUAUUCUGGCAAAGACCAUUUAUACCAUGUUUUGACUCAACAAGCUCAAUGAAGUCCAGAAAGUUACAAUAAAUAUUCAUUUACCACCCUGCCUGUUCUAGAUGUAAUCACUGUUGGCGGGAUUGUCAUGGAAAGAAAUUAUAUAUACAUGCCCUUACUUGACAGCAAAAGUGAUGAAAGGAGAAAUUUACCCCUAAAUUCUUACUACAAAUACAUAGUAAAGCAAACAAGGCGUCAACAAUAGGUAACAUUAGGGAAAAGGAAUCUCUGUUGAAGACAAUAUUCAACAAACCACUCUUGAAAUUCAAUCAAAAAACUGACAUCAAACAGAAAGAGUGUCACCAGCAUAAGGGCAACAAAGAUGAUCGCACUUUAGCAUUUCAACCAAUACAGUAAAAUUAUGUAUGGAUACAACACAGUAUGUAUCUUAUUUCCAAAGUAAAUAAAUCAACAAUUAACAAGCUCAUUUCCUUCUCCCACAUAUCCGGAAAAAGUGAUAUUUUCAGAACUUUCUGGAGUAUAUUCAUUUAAAGUUACUCCUUCUGGAAAUUAGAUUUAAAAGGGGAAAAAAAGGAGAAAAAUGGGUUUGCAGUUAAUUAUAUUGGCAGAAGAAUUCCUAUCACCAUCAAAAAUGCAUGAGCUUGUUGAGUUAUAUAGGUGUUUCAAUUACAAAGGUUAGGUAUGAAUGGCUGCCUUUGCACCCAAAGAUUUUUCAACAGUACUAAAAAUAUAUUAGAAGAAAAUUGUACAUAAAGCAACAAAGUGUUUAGAAAUCAACCUGAGGGAUUCCUGCAUGUAGUGCUGCUGCAGUAGAUCCACUGGUUUGAAAUUGAAGAAAGUAAUGCAAACAUGUAAAUUAGCUUUGUCGUAUUUUGCACUUCUAAUUUAUAUCAAAAGGAAUCACAAAAUAGAAAGCUCUCACCUUCCUCCAUGAUGAAUUGCAGCCAGACAUCUUGGAAACAAAUACUUGUACGGUACCAUUCUGGUUUACAUGAUAACAAUUCAAAAGAAAACAUCAAAUUCCAAGGACAAAACGAUCAGAAGGAAACUAAUUGACUAAAAUAAUCAUUUAGUAGUCAACCAAAAAGAAGCAGUUGUCCAACUCUCAGGACAUUAGUUAUUCUAGUUACGCAGUCAGAUUGCCCUUUUUUCAUUUCCAUUUCCAAGAAGCCAACCGUUUUAUAUAUUGUAUUAGUUGAUUUAUUUGAAGACACUAGUUCAUUUAAGAUUGCAUGCCUUACAAAGCUCCAUUUGGAGAAGUCCUAAUGGAAGUUUUAAAAAAAAUACUAAGGGCGCAUUGCUAUCGUAAUUUCACAAAGGGGGCACCAAGGUCCCAAGUUUCCACGAGUCUCAUACAUAGACAUCCACGUUUCCAAAACCAGUUCUAUAACAACAGAGUAGAAAAUGGGUUAAAUCAAAAGUAAUUGUUAAUUCACUUUUUGUGAGCUGAUCGCAAGAAAUGUUGCUUAAAUCAGCAAGGAAUGUCAUUGACACCAGAAAAGAUUUUGCUAUAAGUGAUAGCUUGCAAUCAUGUUUCAGAUAGCUAAAUCUUAUCUAACCAACACUAGGGCCUGCACAUUUAUGUCAUGAAAAGAAAAACUCACAAUGUAUAUCGUACAGCUCUAUUUUUGUUGCUUCACAAGUGAAUAAGUUUUCAUCUUUAUUCUUCAGUUAUCUUAGCUCAAAUUCAAUAAGAAUUUAAGAUAUACUGACCCAGAAAAGCAGAAGAGCUUGCCAUCAAAGAUAGAGAUCCCAUAUUGAGUGAUUACUCUUUGAGUUAAAACUGAAGAUGUUCCAGGAGCCAUCACUCGGAUAGCUGUGUCUAAAGGUUCGUAUCCAGCUGUGAAAAGGACAAAUCUAUAAGUUGUGGUGUGUAGAACAGUUUGUAAAACCCGAAGAAAUGCUUCAGGAUUCUUUAAAAAACCCAUGCUGCAAGAAGAAAAGAGAAAUGUGGCUUAGUACAGGAUAAGUAAUUAAAGUUCCAAGUCCAAGUGCACCAAUUAAGGAGAAAUCAUCCCACCACACAAAAGCAUGACACUUUUUAAUAGGCUAUACUUAGAGGAAUUACACUUUUAAUCCCAUAAUAAUAUCAAAUUGUCAGCUGAUAUAACAUGGUUUUCUAGUAAAAGAAUGAAGUAAAAGUAUCUUAAGGAACCAGAAGAAUAAAAAUUGAAAGGACUACAAAGGUACAGGGAAAGUAUACAAAGAUUUGAAAACAAUUAACUACAUACAAUCAGGAGAUCUAGGUGAGGAACCUGCCUUGCAACAGAGCUCAGUCCAACAAAAAUAGGUGGCGUUGAAUUAGCAGCGUCCAUAAAAGCUUGCAGCCCAAUGUGAGAUGCACACAAUCUAUUAUUUGCAUCCAACAAAAAUGCUGAAAGCUCUCCACACUGCUUACACGAGUACUGCCACGAAUUAGGGAGAAACCAAAAGCCACAAACCCGAACACUCGAUGGCCAGUAAUCUGUUGUUGUGCUAAUAUUAGCAAGGUGAUUAAAACAGGACAAAGGAAUCUUUACUAAAAUAGGAAUUGGUCAAUAUUAAGAAGAAUAUCUUUUGCAACAAAGGGAAAGGCAAUUUUUUGCUUUGAUAAGCAUGAACUAUUCAUUCAACAUUUUUUUAUUUUUUUUGGAGGGGAUCACAGUUGUUUGAAUAUUAAAUCUUUUUGAGUGCUAAGGUUUGUUUACAAAACUUAUUUUGGUCGUGCUCCUACUAGGGUCAUAGCUAGAAAAUCUUUUAGAGAGGACAAAAAUUUUGAAAGAUAUAACGAAAAAAAAAAUUAUUAUCAAUAAUAAAUAAACAUAUCACAAUAUUAAGAAAAUUAACUUUAAUUAGCCCAAUAAUGUAUUUACUUUUUCAUACAUAACUAACUAUCGUAAAAUCAUGUCGAUGUUUUAAAUUUCAACAAAAUAACAAAAUAUAUAACUUCAAAAAUACUAAUAACAUCAAAAAUAUGAUUAUUAUUUUAAGUUAGUACUAAAUAAACAAAAAUAAAGUAAUAAUAAGAAAAUUCGUGAUUAAACAAAAUGUAUUAUGUAUAUUCAGAAUCAAGAGAAAUUAGCUAACUCACAAAAAUUAGUUUAUACAAUUUUAAAUAUAAUGGAGAAGUUCAAAAGAGUGAUCAUAGAUCAUACUGAAAAUAAAGGGAAAAAAAAAGAGAAUAAAAGAACUGUAAUAAAUUUAAAAAUAAAAAACAAUGGAUCCGUGGUUCAUUUGGUUUAAUCACAAAACAGGAUAUGACAAUAAUAAGGGCAAGAGUGCGUAGUAAAAUGAGUUGUGAGAGAGUGGGGAAUGUUACUGAACUCAAUACAGAAUUUAGGGGGGGAAAAAAUCAUGGGAUAUGGAACCUGGCCUAUCUCACUUUACUCUGGAUCCCACACCUGCCAACUCAGGAGUUUUGCCAUUGCAGCAAAAAUUAGCACCUAAGCUUAUAUAUGCAUAUUUGUUUUGAGUGUCUCAGGCAUUUACUGCUAAUUUAGGAAUUUUGAGUAGGAUUCUUGAAAUUUUGCAGCUCACUCCUCCCUCUUGCAUAUUCACAAGAACUUAUAGUAGAAAUAAUCUAUAGAUCCGAACUAGCUUGAAAACCCUUCAAAAUUCUUAACUAUAUUUCCAAUUAACACCUAGUUCAAAGAUCCCAAAUGACAUACCGGGGCAUUCAACAAUUUCUUUGCUAAAUCCAUACCUGUACACAGAUGUAACGAAUGAUAUAAAUAGAUUAGUGCAUAUUUUUCUUAUUUUUACAGGAGGAUAACAUAAUUAAGUGUCAAGGAUGCACUUCAAACUAAAUUAUUAAUGAAGGAUUACAUGCAAUCAUUCUGGCAUACUUAGGCAGACAUGGACACAGCACCUACUUAUGAUAUGGUUCAUAUUUAUGCAAAUAGCUCAUCUUAAAUAAAAAUUUUAAAGAUCUUAGAAUAAUCCAAAAGGCUCCAACUAAAUAGUUGUGUAUGGAUGAACAUGCCUGCUCUUGAUAAAGAUUUAAUUGAUUGGAUGUAUUUUAUAUUUAUAGCAUUUUUGUUUUACAUUUUCAACAGACAAAAGCAACCAAAAAGCAAAAGGUCAUAUGCUUUGAAAAGAACAAAGAAACAACACAGAGGUACAUAUUAAUAUACAAUUAUGCCAGAGUAAACAGCUCAUAUGGCGACACAAAAUUAUAAGGCUCAAGGUACACUUUUCCACUCUGGUUCUAUCUGCCAAUCCUCUCAGCAAUCUUCACCCAUAGCUCUUAUCUCUCUAAAAGCCACAUAAAGCAACUGAAGUAAAACAUGUUUCUCUAUCCAAAACCAAACCUUAACUCUUCUCAAUCUGAAGCUAUAAUAACCUCUUUCUACUCUCCAACAUCUACAAAACUGCCAUGUCCAGAGUGUCCCCUAUGUUUCACAAUUACAUGUCCAGAGUGUCCCCCUAUGUUUCACAAUUAUAGCCAUGUUUUGGCUCUUCAACGAGGUUGCUCCAAGAUAUAAUUAUAAAUCCUUGUAACAGCAGCGUAUAUACCAGAAAUAGACUCUAUUAAGAACCUAGACCAUAGAGCAUAUGUAGAUAUGAUAUCUUACAAUACGAAUAUGCCAAUACACUAACUACAUAAAAUAGGUAUUUACAAAUACAGCACACUUUAGAUUAAGCAAAAUCAUUAUAUAUGUAAUAUUUUUUUAUAUUACAUUUUCAUUAUAUUUUUACGCAUCCUCUAAUUUCAACUUUAUAUGGUUCAACCAGAAAAGCUCUCCUAAUAAUUGUUCACCGGUUACACACUAAAAUCACAAUUUAAUCUACGUUUAACGUUUACACUUGAACAACAUCCACAGUCAAUCAUAUGCCAGCUUUCAAUAAACAUGGUGAUGAUUUAUCAGAAACUUUUAGAACCUAAAACAUAUAUUUAUAAGAUUAAGAAACAUUUAUGAAGUAUCAGAUGCAUAUUGGAAACUAUUCCAAAAAUUAUUUGUAUCUGACAUAAACAUGGCACCCCUGUAGAAGAAUCUGAGUAAAAAAUAGCACAUUCAACCUUCAAUAUGGGACUAGAGGCACCAGCAAUAAAGUAAAAUGGAAUGAUUAAAAAGCUCAACUUAAAAGAAGAUGCAAAGGCAUAAACUCAGUUUACACUAUCUUUUAGUUAGAAAAUGCAUAACUUACAAAAGUUUGGGUGAUGAUGCCCGGUCAUACCAAGUGGGAAGACCAGUUACGGGGUCCUGCAUUUAGUAAAGAGGUUUCAAGUGUCCAUGAAGUCCUUGCAAUAUCAAAACCCUAUUCAAUUCAACUACUUCUAUAUAAAUAAGAUGCAUAUUAAAAAAAAAUGCAUCAAAGUUUACAUCAAAAGAACUAACCGUAAAAGGGCAAGCACAUAGAUUCAGUUCCUCACUUCUCCAUGAUCCCCAAUUUUCAGUAAAAAGUGGCCACAUCCAGUGAAUCACAUCUCCCCAACAAACCUACUUCCAUAAACUGACAAGAAGUUAAUACAGAAGUAGAAUGACUCAAUCCUAUGUACAUAUACACAAGGAAAAAAAAAAUACAUUUAAACUUAUGUUACAGGGCAAGAAUUCUUCAGAAAGUUAUAAUGGCACAUCAUAUUGUUCCUAGAAAACUAAUACAGGACCAUCAUUCAUUAGAUUACACUAAAAAAAUCAUGAAAUACCUUGUUGAUGGGAGCUUCUUUGAGAUAUUUAUACAAAAGCGGGUGUUCUUUAGUGAAGCAGUACUCAAAUGAUGCAGGUGCACUGCCCAUUCAGUUGGAAAGUUAAUUGCAACUCAAUCCCCAAAAUGCAAAUGGCAACUACUGCAUAUCCAAUGCCUUUACAAGGAAAUAUAAGUGAAAUGAUACCAGAAUUCGGUGGAUUAUGAGGAAGAAUUUAGCAACACCACAAGAGUUCAAUAAAUCUUCAGAAGUUAUUACAAGUAAUACAGAAGAAUAAAACUUGUAAGUUUUGAUGUUUCCGCAAGAAAUUUUCAUUCCUUAAGGAAUCACCAAAACACAAAAGGGGAAAAAAUAAAUCUCACAUUACCUAUAGGGAACAACAUAAGGAGCAGCAACUAAGCAACGGACACGAAAGAGUUCUGCAAGGCUCCACCCUUCCUGGAUCAUCAUGCAACUCAGCCAUUUUAGGACAUUGGAUCAUUGCUUUGCAUCUAAAAUAUGAAUUUCAUUGGAUCCUUGAAAUGUAUCUACCUAAUAUGGAUUGUUAUGAAACUCGGAGGCUAUUCUUUCAGCUUUUCGUCAAUAAAACCAAAUUAUCAUAAUCUCCGAGUUAUUUGCACACCUCUAUGUGGAACUUAAUUGUCUACCAAAAUUAAAAUUUAUCCUUAAGAGACACAUAAUUGCAUACUUUUGAAAUAUUUAUAAUACUAAGUGCUAGUGUAUCCUUUAUCACCUCUGACACCUUUGGAAAAUUUUUCAUCUUCGAAGUCAUUACGACCUUUCAUUGAAAUGAAACUUCUAUAAAUCAUCUAUUCUUCUACCAAGACCACAAUGUAAACCUUGACCACGGUAAAAGCAUAAUGAGAAAGUAUACAUUGAGACAUAUCUUCCAUAUGAAAUACCAAUGCGAAGAAAUUUAUCACAAUAAAAUCGCCCUCCAAGCUUGGACCAUCUCCAAAGAUCUUUACGACUGCAGAAUAGCAUUCUUUUCUAUGUUCUCUUGUACUUUCCCUUUUCUUUUGCUCAAAUGUUAACUCCAAUGAGCCUGAUAAUAUGAAAGAAUUUAUAAGGACUUUGAAAAAGUAUAAAGAUCAUAGUUUGCACCAAUGAUACAUGUGUGUGUGUGUGUGUGUGUAAGCGAUUCAAAGUACUAACCAAACCUGACUCUGUUCUAUUGUGAUUAUCAGAAGCACAAAGCACAGGCGAUGAUGAAAUUGGAUAAAAAGUAACAUACUUUGCAGCCAAGCGAAAACUCAAGUUCUGAUACAGGAAAACAAAAUGUAUGAAAAAAUCUUCAAUGCUUACACAACAUAUAAAAAAGCAGUAAUGAUAUGCUUACUUAGUUGAAAUACUGAGUUUGUUCCCAACUGAUGGGCAUCUUAUCAGUCAUCCGUUGAUGGGAUUAGAAAAAUAGUAAAUAAUAAAUCAAUUGAUGUCAUACCGAGGGUAACGAAUGAUUGGUAACACAUCAGUUGGGAUACAAACUAAGUAUACCAACUGAGUAAGCUAGCAUUAAUGAAAAAAAAUAAAAAUAAAAAUAAAAAUAUUGCUAAACAUCCAAUAAUAAUGAGUUUAUUGAAAAGAAUUAAUGUGCUUUCUGGAAAAGCAUUUUAUUAAUUACUUCCAAAAACAAAUCCACUUCUCUAAAGGCUUAAUUCCUCUCCUAAAUCAAUCAAUCAAUUAAUCAACUGCUUAAGUCACUCUGAUUAAAGCUUAAAGGAGCGUAGAGCGAAGUUAACCUCGUGAGCCGAAUGAGUUAUUAGAAACACAUCGUAUUGCCUUUGAUCAGAAGCAAAAGCUGCAGCGAUGGCCUGCACUUGACAAUUAAUUUCAAAUUAAAGCUAACAAAAUUAAAAAAUUAAAACUUAAAAAUUUAAAUCAAAUAAAUCAAAUAAUUUUAUAAAAAUAAGAAAAUCAAGAGAUUCAAUUACAGCGAUAGGGUAAACAUCACCCUUGGUGCCGAAGGCCAUGAAUGCAGCUAUCGGUUUCUUUCUCUCCGUCUGCAUGGGCGAUGAAUUUUUCUCACAACACAAAAGUGCAAUCACUAAUUUGAAUUAUAUAUUUUAUAUUUAUUUUGGCUUGGUUGAAAUGACAACGUUGCCCCUGUUUACAAAUUCUAAAAUCUUGUCGGAUUUUCGGGCGAAAAAUUAUCGAAAAUCUUGUGAAUAGGGCUGAGAUUAAAAAUAUGAAAAAUGUUUUUUUUCUAAAAAUUAAAUAAAGUGCUAAUAUCGUUUGACCACCUCAGUAAUUGUAAAAUAUUAAAUGAUUAUUAUAAAUACACACACACACACACACAUAUAUAUAUAAUUGUCAAACAUUUUACUGUUAUUAUAUUCUUACAAAAAAUUUCAAUAUAUUAUAUUUUUAGUAGCAUUAGUUGAUCUAAAAUACCAAUUUACUUCCUUUAAUAAAAGUUUUUGUCAAUAACAAAAGAGUAAUAUAGAAAACAAUAAAAUACUAAACAUUUUAGAUACAAUCUAGCUAAAAAUAAUAUAUAAAAGCAUCUGGAUUUAGUAUUUGACACUCUAUUUGUGUAAUAAUUAGUCAACUAAUGAUACUAAUGAAAAUGUAGUUAAAUGAAACACCUUGUAAAGAUAUAAUAGGAAAAUUAAAGGCUUCAACACUUCUCAUAGUUAUUUUAUAUUUUGCAAUUUCCUGAAAUGGUCAAAAGAUAAUAAUCUAAAAAUAAAAAGUUUUUAUUUACUUGUAUGUGUUAAAUAAUUUAAAAUUUUUUUGUAAUAUUAGAGGAUUAGAUGGAAGGGUGAUUAAAAGAAUUAUCACCACUUUAACUUAAAAGUCUAUGUUAGUAUUUUUUUUUUUUGUUUAAAAUCUGAAUAGGUAUAAAUUUGAUUGAAAUCUGAAUGAGUUUAAAUGCAAAUUUUUGAAUAAAAUAUUUUUUUUCUAAUAUUUGAAUAUAUAUGUCAUCUUGUUUAUUUUUAUAAGUAAAAAAAAUCUUAAACAUAAUUAUUUGACAUUUAUGUCCUUAUAAGUCAAGACGAAUGAAGGAAUUAUGUUUUAUAAUUUGGAAUAUAAGCGUAUUUAGUUAUAGAUAUUUUUGGGGUGCAGUAUUUAGUUCCAACCCAGAUUUUUUCUUAUUUGGACAAAAGUUAUAAAAAUUUAUUUUUUCUAUUUAGAUGUAAAGGUUUGCAAAUUUAAUCAGACAUAAGUUGCAGAGAAUAAAUAAAAAAAAUUUAAAAGUAUAAAAUUAAUAAAAUUUUAGACUCUAAAAAUUUGACAAACAAAUCCUAACUUAAAAUAUCAUAAUAAAUUUUGUGUUAUUACUUUAAUUGUUAUUGUUGUUGUUGUUAUUAUUAGUGUCCCGUCACUUUAAAGUUAAUGGUACUUGCAUAAAAACAGAACGCUUGCAUAAAAACACAACAAUGAAGUAACAAAUAAUGCAUAAAAAUACUACAAUGAAGUAAUAAAUAAAAGUGUGAUGCAUGUACAAAUUAUAUAGAAAAAAAAAAUAAAAACGACAAAUGCAAAUCAAAACUAGCUUGUGUGUGUGUGUAUAUAUAUAUACACACCUUGAUAGGGGUGUUCAGAAUCCAAUUUGAUCCGCUCAAUCCGUCUGAUCCGUAGAAAUCUGAUCCGUACAAAUCCGAUCUGCGAAUUGGUGGAUUAGAUUGGAUUCAAAAUUUGAUAAUCUGCAAUCGGUGGAUUCGAUAUGGAUCUACUUCUAUAAAUCCGCAAAAUCUGCGAAUCCGCAAAAAAAUAAAAAGUAUUUAUUUAAUUAAAAAAUAAAACUUAUAAAUAUGGCAUUAGUACUUACUAGUAAAUAAAUAAAUUAAAAUAAAGUUACAUUAACACUAUAUUAUAUCUUAUCAGAUAAUAAUAUAAAAUAAAAACAUAAUUAAAUAAACAAAUAUAACUUCUUAAAUAGUUAAUUUCCAUAUACUGAUCUAAACAAAUGAGAUUUUUUUCUUUUUGAUGUGUUAUAUUUUAAAACUUUAAAUAUAUUUUCUAUCUUUAUUUAAACAAUUAAUUUAUUUAAAUCUUAUUUAAUUUUAAAUUUGAUCGGUAGUAAAAUUAUUUUUAUAUUAAUUUUUUUAUUUAGUUAGUUUGUGCAUUAGACAGAAUUAAAAAUUUCCAGUCCGUAAACCAAUUUGCAAAAUGAUGGAUUGGAUAUGAAUUGGUCAAAUCCGCAUCCGAUCUGCAGACGUAUGGAUUAGAUUUGGAAUGAAUUUGGAUUGAAUUUCACCAAUCCGUAUAUUGGAUUGGAUUGAAAAUUUAUAAUCCGCAAAAUUGUGGAUCAGAUAUGGAUUGAUGUUCAAUCAGUUAAAUCUGAUCCGCGAACACCCCUAGAUAUGAUGAUAUCAAAUGCUUUAAGUAAUUAUUCAAAAAAAAAGAAAGAAAAACAUUAAGUGUGUGUUGCACAAAAUUAAGAGAAUUAGGACGUAACAAUUCUCAUUUGCCCAACUUAAAAAACAAAUUAUGAUUAAUUUUUCUUCGUAUGCUUCUGGAUCGUAGAAGAAUUUAAAGAGGGGGGAUAACAUUCAGGACAAUCUUCUUUUGAAAUAUUUCUUAAUAAAUCAUUUUUUUUUACAUUAUGACAUUAUUAUUUUUUAAAUAAGGACUUAAUUAAUAGGCAAUGAUGCUCACAUUACAGCGAGAAACGGUCGUCGUUUGAAAUCUUUAACUAAUUCAUUAUAUUAACUCAAUUUACGAGAUACGUUUUAUAUCCUUAAAUGUGUGCUUCAACUAUUUGCUUGCCUCCUCUGAAUUAUUAUUUCCAACUGUGCCUUUUUUUGAUGUUGUGUUAGUAGUGUUUGUUGUUUUCAAUUGUCCUUUUGAUGUUGUUGUUGCUGUUUUAUUUUUAUUGUCUUUUUGUAGUUGUUGGUGUAGUGUGAUGGCCGUGUCGAUGGCAGAAGUGAUUAACCAUUAGGUUCUCUUCCGAAAUAUUUUUACAAGAGUAUAGCUUCCUAGUGUGUGUUUGAUCCUCUCGUAUUGAGGCACUUGUAGUGAGUUUUUCUGGUGGUAUUUUUCCUCUUUUUUUUUUCUUUUUUUUAUUAACAUGAUAAUUUGUGUUGCAUUAUCGAGUACUAUAGAAGAUACUUUUCUAAUUUAAAUAAGGUCUUCACCUACAGUAGUUAAUGUGGGUCAAAAAAUGUCAAGAUCAUAUGAGACUCAAAAAUUACCUUUUGUAUAUCAUCAGAUAGAUCCCAAUGGUGAAGUCGUUUUCUUUUCAAUUGACAAGGUUACUUAAUAAACAGGGUUUGGGAUGGGCAUGGGUUGGGUUAGAGUGAGUUUGUGAAAAUCCAACCCAACUUACUAUUGAUUGGGUUGAGAAAAAAAUCAAAUCAACCCAACCCAACAAAUAUAUUCAAUCCCAAUUGUUGAUGCCGAAAAAUGACCUCAACAGCUGAAUGUUUUCUUUUGGGAAUAACAGCACAAAUCCAAGCUCAAACGUCAGUCUGAUCAUAACUUUCUAUACUUGCCAACCAGAAAACACAGUUAGGAUACGACGAUGGGGUUCCAGCAUAGACCAUUCAAUGCUUAAGUCAAAAAUUGUAUAUAAGGAAAGAAAAACGGGAAGAAAGAAUUGUGAAUAAGUUAAAAUCAAGGAAUUUUUCCGGUAGAGAUGUUGAAAGUCUUGUAGCAAAUAAAAAAAGCUUUUAGAUAGGUGACUUGUAGAAAUUUUGGUUGAUUUUGCUAACCCCCUCCUCUGUUGCCCUCUUAAGCUUAAAUAGGCCCUUGGUCGUGGGCGAUUACCACCUUAAUUUUAGCCUACUUUCUUCAGCAGUUGCAAGUGUUGAUUAAUUGGAGGUGGUUUAAGAAAUCGUGGCAUACAACUUCCCUAAAAAUUAGGCCACGUUAUCUCGACUAGUAAUUUUCCAUGUUAAGUAGUUCUCAGGUCGGACAAAUGAAUUUCGAGGUCGGACUAUCUUACUUACUUCCAGAUCGGAUUGGAGAAUUUUUGAGUCGCCCACAUAGGCUUAAAGUUAUAUUCUUAAAUUAGGUCGUUUGCAUAAACCUCAAGUUGUACUUGUAAACCAUGUUGCCAACAUAAGAUACAUGUUGUACUUAUGAGGUCUGCUCAACAGUAAUAAAUUCUAAGUAGAUUAAUCUUGACUCUAUUUCUAGAUGCUAUCAGAAAAAUCCAACCCGAACAUCAGUCUCCUAGUUUUCAACAUCGGAAAGCCAUUAUUGGUGUUGGAAACUAAUUAAUGAAAAAUAGAAAAAAAUUUACGAACCGAACACCAGUCCUCUAGUUUUCAAUACUGAGAAGAUAUGAACGGUAUUGAAAAUUAAAACAACGAAUAAGGCGCAAUAUGGUCUCUAGCAUAAUAGAGGCAAUGUGAAGCAAAACAAAGAUAAUGUUGAGUUGAAUAAGCUCAAAAGUAAGAAUUUGGCAAGAAUAAAAAUAAAAAAAAGAAAGAGAAAGUAGGGGUGUUCAGAAUCCAAUCCGAUUCUCUCAAUCCGUCUGAUCCGUAAAAAUUUGAUUCGUAAAAAUCUGAUCUGUGGAUUGGUGGAUUGGAUUAGAUUGAAAAUUUAAAAAUCUGCAGUUGGUGGAUUAGCUAUGGAUUUACUUCUAUAAAUCCGCAAAAAUCUGAGAAUCCAUAAAUAAAUAAAUAUAUAUAUAUAUAUAUAUAUAUAUAUAUAUAUAUAUUUAAUUAAAAAAUAAAACUUGUAAAUGUGGCGUUACUACUUACUAAUAAAUAAAUAAGUUAAAAUAUACUUACAUUAACACUAUACAUAUCUUAUCCGAUAAUAAUAUAUAAUAAACAUGAUUAAAUAAUUGAAAAACUAAAUAAACAAAUAUAGCUUUCUAAAAAUUAAUUUUUAUAAUUUUAGUUAAUUUUCAUGUAUUGAUUUAAAUAAAUGAGAUUUCAUCUUUUCACUGUAUUAUAUUUUGAGACUUUGAAUGUAUUAUUCUAUCUUUAUUUAAACACUUAAUUUAUUUUAAUCUUAUUCAAUUUUGAAUUUGAUCGGGAAUAAAAUUAUUUUUAUGUAAUAUUUUUUAAUUAGUUCGUACAAUGAACAUAAUUAAAAAAUUUUAUUCCGUCAACGAAUUUGUAAAAUGGUGGAUUAGAUAUAGAUUGGAUCAAAUCCUCAUCCGAUCCGUAGAUAUAUGAAUUGCAUUUAAAUUGAAUUUGUCAAUCCGUGGAUUUAAUUAGAUUGAAAAUUUAUAAUAUGUAAAAUCAUAGAUCAGAUAUAAAUUAAUGUACAAUCUGUAAAAUUUGACCCGCGAACACCCCUAAAAAAAAGAACAAAUAAAAAGGUGAGGUCAUAUAGAAAAGCAUAAGCACGUGACUUAAAGGUAAAUUCGAAGCAUACAUUUUGUCUUUUUCCCAAUACCUUUUGGCUCCUAUUUCGUCCCCAUCCUCCACACUUUUUCACAAUAAAAGUGAAAUAUUAAGAUGCCGCCAUUCUGCAAUUUUUGUGCAAAUCGAACAAUUAUUCUGUUGAGCCAUAACCAAGCCUGUUGGUGAGUACCUCACGCGCCAUCUUCUGUCUCGUGUUUUUUUUUUUAAUUCCAAAUCUAUAUAUAUGUGUAUUGAAACCAAACACCUCUUUUUUUUAUAAAAAAAAAAAAAAAGAACUCUCCUCUCUUUUUGUUUUUGUCAAAACCCGAACUUCUUCUUCUUUUUGUUGCGUUUCUCCUUUCUUUUUCAUUUCUCUUUUUUUUUGUGAAUGUCGGGCUCAUGGCAGUUUGUAUUGUUGAUGUAGUGAAUACCGCGCCGCCUGCUUUUGCCGUUCCUGCAUAUUAUAGAAUCCAUUCGGGUUUGCAAACAACUUUGGUGAGUCACCUCAUCUCAAGCAUUAUCUACUUAUUGCAUUCUUGUAUUUAUGAAUGUGAAUUUUGUUGGGCGUUGGAAUUGUUGUGCUAUGUACUACGUUGCGUGUAAACUUUGAUGAAUAAAUCAAAGUAGUGUUGGUAGUGGAGAGUUGUUAUCAUUUUGUUGGGCUGAUAAUGGAGAUAUUGAUGUAUUGUGUAUUGGCAUUGAAUAAGGAGUUAGGUUUUUAAGUGUAUACAUUAGGUAAUAAUGGAAUUUAGAGGCGAUAAUGAUUCCCUUUGUAGUAUUCAAUCGAGUAUGGGUGGUAAUGGGGAAAAUGGAGGAGAUAGUAAGUAGAGUUAAAUGAUAGUGCGAUAGAGAAUGAUUUUAAGAGAGCAAUAAGUGAAAUGCAUGGGCAAGCGAGUGGCGAAUCUAAUAUACAACUUAGUGAUGAUGGAGAUGAACAUGAAGAAUAUGGUGUAAAUAGAUUGAAUUAUGAUACAACAGAAAAAGAUAUUGAAGAGUUAAGAAAGGGAUAUCACAUUCUCGGCGAUAUUACGCUUAGGUUACUGGGGGAAGAUGAGGUGGCCAGUAAACUGAGUGAUGGAGAAACCAUGAUUUAUAUGGAGAUGUUUAGACUUGGUUUCAGGUUGCCAAUUCAACCUUAUUUUGCCCGGAUGUUGGUGAGGUUGGGUCUGAGUCAUGUUCAGUUUGAUCCAAAUGGUUGGAGGAUUUUAGGUUGUAUAUAUAUUGUGUGGGCCGAACAGAACAAGGUUGAACUAUAUUUUAAGGAAUUCACGCACUUGCAUUUGUGUAAUGAACAUGGGGUAGGUCACAAAGGAUGAUACUAUUUUAUGUCGAAAUCAAAAAAUAAAAGAAUAAUACUUGACUUUCCCAGCUCAUGUAAGUGUUGGAAAAAUAAGUACUUCGCGGUUGGUGGAAAUUAGGGUAGGGACGUAGAGCUGACAAAGGUUGGUUUAAAGUGCCCGCUCAAUUUAGUAGACUAGGUAAUGAAAGUUUUGUUCAGGUUGAGGUUGGAAUUUUGAUUACGAAUUAAUACUUGUCGUGUUGCAGUGACUUGAAAGAGGAAUGUUGGCAUAAGCGAGAGACUAAGGAUUAGAGUUGAGAGAGGUUUGCUACACACAGAGGAUUGGAAGUUGUUGUUGACACCUAAGAGAUUAUUUAGCACCGACAUCAUUUCCAACUUUCCACAAAACAAAGAGAAAACGAGAACAAAAGGUAAAAUUUUUCUAUGUGAAUAUCCUUGUGUAAUGCAUAAGAUUUACUAACUUUAGCUUUUCAUUUACCGUUGUUAUAGGGAACAUGACAUCUGCUAGGCGCACCCCAGCAAAGAUUGUGAAGGCCUUGGUCGAAGAGACAUUAGACGAGGAGCGCGAACCGUAUAGUAAGAAACUGCGACGAACGAUGCACAAGAACAAGGCUGAUGAGAAAAAACGAUAAACAACCCGCAACUUCAACUCGUAAUGUGCCACCUCAAAACAAAUAUGAUCGAGCCGCUGACUCGCGUCCUUUGCGCAUUUUACCUUCCACUACUUCCUUGAUAUGUCCGACAGGAAACUUACUUGAAAGGGGGAAUAUCGUGGGAUCGAAGCGAGGAAGAAUGGAGAGCUUACUACCCGUGCUCAAUUUGGCUGCUCGGUCCAUGAACCAAAAUGCCCUCAAUGACUUUUCUCACUUGACUGCCACUUACGCUCUUGAAUUGCUCACUCGAAAUCAAGCCGAGGUAGGCAUUAGAUUCUAGUUUUUAGUUGUUCUUUGAUGUUAUUUAUGCAGCUAACAUGCUUCACUUUCCAACAAUCUUUACUAUUGGCAAUGCAUAUCGAGACCUUUAUGAAGUCACUAAAAGGCCAAGGAAAAAUAGAAGAGCUCGAGCUUGCCUUGUCCAAAGCCAAACGCAACAAUGAGAAGAUGGCAAGCAAGCGAAAUCAGCUUAAACAUGACCUUAAUGCUCGGAAUGAGAAAAACGCCCAACUAGCGGAAGACUUGAUAGCCGAGAAACGAUCCAAUGCCAUCAAAAUUUCACAGACUGCAAUUGUGACACCCAAAAUAUGUUAGUAUCGAUAAUGGUUGUGCUGACUGUAGGAGACGUGCUUCAGGGGCGUGCAUAUGGGGAAUACAAUGAUCUUAAACUUUUUAGGAUUCAGGCAAGCCGACCCAAUUGAGUUUGGAGAGUUUGUCGCCAGUCAAGGACUUAACGUUGAAAUGAGGUCUAGACGAAGCCUUACACACUAGUUGGGAACUAGAGCUAUUCUUCUGAUGAGCCCAAGGCAAGGCGAAAUUAGUCGAUAUUGUGCCACUUCCACUAGGUUUGCUCUCGUAGUAUGAGAUACGGGAGUGUCGCAUGGGUUCGAAACCUCUCGUCCCGUAACAAAAGACUUCAAGAUGACCGAACUUAGCCAUGAGUUGGAGAAAGUCAAGUCUGAUGUAAAUCAAUGCAUCCGGUUGGAGAAGUAGUUAAAAGCCAACGUUAUUCAAACGUGCAUUGAGUUAUUUCAAGAAAAGCGUCCAGACAUGGACUUUCAGGGGAUGUGGACGGCUUAUGUAAGCAAAAAGAGAGCUAGGUAGAAAUCUUUAGGCGCGAGCCAAGUAGAGAACCAUAAUCAAGUGCUUUAAGACGGUGAGGUCGAGAUCGAGGGUGAAGCUUCCCUAACCAACAGGGUUGUUGAAGGCCAAGAGGAAAUUUCCUAUGUGAAUUCACUUUCCUUACCAUAAUGUUUGCUAUGUAUGGGCCAUGAACUUGGGUGGGCUUUUAUUGGAACUUUUAAUUGGUUUUUGUAUUCGGAUAAUCAUCGUUUAACCCAGACUUCUUACUCUUUUUGUUUGCUCGGGCCUAUCAAUGUUUGGAUUCUAUGAAUUGCAAACCAAUUUGAACUUUGGCAAUUGAACAAAUUUAUCUCAACCCACAAGAUAAGUGUUAAGGCUACGACCGACCUCAACAAGAUAAUGUUAAGGCUAUCGUCGACCUCACUAAGGCAAUAACCGACCACAACAAAAUUGAAAAUUAUAGAAAAUUGUUAUGGCUAUGAUCAACCUCAACAAGAUAAUGGCCAACCUCAACAAAUUGAAAAUUGUAGAACUUGAAUGUUAAGGCUAUGGUUGACCUCAAAAAGAUUGAAAAUUGUAGAACUUAAAUGUUAAGGCUAUGGCCGACCUUAACAAAUUGAAAAUUGUAAAACUUAAAUGUUAAGGCUAUGGUCGACUUUAAUAAGGUAAUGGCAAACCUCACCAAGAUUGAAAAUUGUAGAACUUAAAUGUUAAGGUUAUGGUCGACCUCAACAAGGUAAUGACCGACCUCAACAAGAUUAAAAAUUGUAGAACUUAAAUGCUAUAAUUAUGGCUGACCUCAACAAGUCAAUGGUCGACCUCAUAAGAUAAUGGUCGACUUCAACUAAAUUGAAAAUUGAAAAAUGUUAAAGCAAUGGCCGACCUCAACAAUGUUUCACGUUGGACUUCAAUAAGGCCGAAAUGCUAAUCUCAAUCUCAAUAAAAUUAGACAAAUUUUUCACAUUGGACCUCAACAAGGCCAAGAGCCGAUCUCAAUCUCAAUAAGAUUGGAUAAAGUUUUUACAUUGGACCUCAAUAAGGCCAAAAUGACAACAUCGAUCUCAACAAGACCGGAUUGCAAUUCAUGUAGGACCUCAAUAAGGUCCAAAUAUAAAUCUUACUUCAAAUAAGAUCAGAUAAAGCUAUUCACGUAAGACCUCAAUAAGGCCCAAAAGUCUAUCUUGAUCUCAAAUAAGACCAAUCACAAGUAUAUAAGUUGAGAAAUAGAGUUGCACUUCUAAAUAAUGUCAUUGAUAUUAAUACAACAGAAAUUACAUAAUUGAACACAAACAUAUUGAAUUAACAAAGAAACAAACUUUCCUAGCAUAUUUAAAGAAAAUAAACAAACAAGAACAUCAUUAAUAAGAUUAGCCUACUGAUAGUAUUUUCGCAGGUGCUCUGCAUUCUAUGCCUUGCUGACGACCCUGCCAUCCAGAUAACCUAAUUUAUAUGUGCCAUUACCAAAUGAGUGUAGUAUUUUGUAUGGUCCUUCCCAGCUCGGCCCCAGAACUCCAUCAGCUAGCUUUUUCAUUGACUAGUUGCCUUUGCAAAGCACCAGGUCCCCCUCCUGAAAUUGUCGUAGCCGAACAUUCUUGUUGUAGAACUUAGCCACUUUCUGCUGGUAAAUUGCUGCUCGACCUCUUGCCGCCUCUUUUUUCUCAUCAAGAAAAUCUAAAUCCAACAGCAUAUGUUCCAUGUUCACUGUCUCAUCAUAAUAUUUUGUGCAAUGUGUCUCCAUGCCAACUUCAGCUGAGAUUACUGCCUCAUGCCAACUUCAUGGCUAUUCUAUAGGCCCACAACACUCUUGGAAGCACAUCCACCCAAGCGCCCUUCUUCUCACCUAACUUUGUCUUCAACAACUGCUUUAUAGUUUUGUUCGCCGCUUCCACUUGUCCAUUUUCCUUUGGAUGAGCAGGUGAUCGAGUUGAUCACAACACUCUUGGAAGCACAUCGAGUUGAUCACAAAACUUCUUGAAGUUCUCAUUAUUGAAUUGGGUCUCAUUAUCGGUGAUAAUAGCUUGUGGUAGGUCAUAUCUGCAAAUCAAAUUUCUCUAUAUGAAAUAUGUUGUUCGCUUCUUAAUUAUCUUUUGAAGUAGUUAAACUUCAAUCCACUUGCUAAAAUAGUCAAUGACUACCACCGCCUAUUUCAUUUGGCCUCUCUCAGUCGGUAUUGGUCUGAUAAGAUUCACCCACAUUGUGUAAAUGGCCUAGUGCUCACCAUUGUUGUCAUGUUUUAUGGUGGUUCUGUUGUAAUUACAACGAACUUCUGGUAUUCAUCGCAUCUUCAGACUAAUUCUCACGCAUCCUCAUGCAUGGUCGGCCAAAAAUAACCUUACCUUAUUAUUUUGUGGGCUAAUUGUCAUGAGACGAGAGGUUUCGAGCCCGUACAACACUUCCACAUCCUAUACUACAAGAGUAAGCCUAGUGGAAGUAGCAUAAUAUUGACUGAUUUCGCCCUGCCUUGGGCUCAUUAAGAGAACGGCUCCCGUUCCCAACCAAUGUGUGUAGGGCUUCGCCUAGACCCCUCUUCAACGUUAAGUCCUCGACUAGUGACAAACUCCUCAAACUCAACCAGGUCGGCCUACUUGAACUUCAAAGAAUCUAGGACGAUUGUAUUCCCCACACGAAUGCCCCUAAAGCACAUCUCUUACAAUCAGCACAACCAGUGUCGAUACUAGCGUACAAGCGUAUAUCUUGUGUGUUACGAUUGCGGUCCGUGACAUUUUCCCACCGCCAUGACCAUGCACGUUCUCGUGCAUGAAGAGUACCUACUCGUGAAGGUCGCCUUGUCAAUCUUUCCUAUGAACUUCCUACCUACUCGUCCUCAAUCCAGGGAGAGGACCCGUGUACAAACACUGUCGGCCUCAAUACGAACGCUUGGGCGUGUAAAAACCAACAUAUUCAUCCUGCUUGUCGACCCUUGCGCUAAAAAAGGUGAGGACCUGCGUGGUGCGACAUUGGAGCGCUUGGCAAGCUCGCAACAAAAGCUUCGAGAGAUGAAAAAUGUGGCUCUAAUACUAUUUUUCAUGCGACGAGAGGUUUCGAGCCCGUGCGGCACUCCCGCAUCUCAUACUAUGAGAGUAAGUCUAGUGGAAGCAGCACAAUAUUAACUAAUUUCGCUCUGCCUUAGGCUCAUAUGGAGAACGACUCCAAUUCCCAACCAGUGUGUAUAGGGCUUUGCCUAGACCGCUCUUAAACGUUACGUCCUUGACUAGCGACAAGCUCCCCAAACUCAACCGGGUCAGCCUGCCUGAACUCCAAAGAAUCUAGGACCAUUGUAUUCCCCACACGCACGCCCCUAAAGCACAUCUCCUACAAUCAGCACAACCAAUGUCGAUUCUAGCGUACAAGCGCAUAUCUUGGGUGUCACGAUUGCGGUCCGUGACAUAAUGCCCUACCUCCGCCGUGAUCUCCACAAAUUCUCCCGUGCACCUCUCUCAUUACAUAGUUGGCAUCAGCCAAGCCCAAACAUCGUAGAUAAGGUAAAGUAUAACCUCUUCUAUAAAGUAUACAUUCAAUAAUGGAGUAGCGUGUUGCCUGACAUUAUAGCCUUCUUGCCUCUGCUUUAUCUUGAGGUUGUUCCCCAAAUUCAAUAUACCUCAUGGUAAUCCAUCUCUUCUCAUUUUCUACCAUACAAACUUCCAUCUCGGGAUCUACUAUACGUGGCUUUGAAACUGAUUCCAAUGGGAUUCCUCAUGGGAUCUUUGGGCAUUCUGUAGCUAUCAGUCUUGCUAUAUAAUUUGCUCGGUAAUUCUCUCCCUUCGGAAAUUGCUCUAUUGUAGCUGGAUCAAAACUACCCCAUAGCUGCAGUGCUUUGCUCAAAUACUUCGACAUGUUCUCACUUUUGGCUUGAAAUAUCUCAUUCAGGUGGUUCACUACCAGUUACGAGUCACUCUUCACCUUUAAAUGCCGAACCCCCAAUGCCCUUGCUAAUUUUAUACUAGCAAUGAGAGCUUCAUAUUAUGUUUCAUUGUUUGUAGGUUGAAAUUGAUACUUGAGAGCGUAGCAUACUUCUUCUUGGUCGCGCGAAACCAGAACAAUUCCCCCACCUGACCCUUCUGGGUUUGCAACUCCAUCUACAUUAAGCUCUCAUAUAUCAUUCUUCUUUUCUGCCUUUUUAAUGUCCUGCUCGGCAUCCAUCUCUUCACUCCCUUCAUUACAAUCAUUAAUGAAGCCGACUAGAGCCUGUGCUUUAAUUGCAUACCUCAGUCGGUAACUGAUGUUGAAUUCACUUAGUUAUACUGACCACCUAAUUAGCCUUCCUGAAAUGUCUUAUUUGUGCAAAAUUUGUCUCAAAAGUUGAUUGGUGACAACCACUAUCUCAUGAGCUUGAAAAUAUGGCCUCAGCUUUCUUGCGGCUACAACUAAUGCCAUCGCCCACUUUUCUGCAAUAAAAUAUCUUACUUCCGCCCCUAUAAGAGAUCUGCUCGUGUAGUAUACCAAAUGUCAGACUCCACCUUCUUCUUUUACCAAGACCGAGCUAGAUGAAUAAUUUAAGACCGCCAAGUAGAGCAAGAGAACAUCGCCCACUGAGGGCUUAGCCAAAGUUGGUACGUUGGCCAAAUACACCUUUAGUUGUUGAAAUGUUGUGUCACAUUUUUCUAACUACUUCAAUCAUUUUCCUUUCUUCAUCAAUUCAAAAAACGGAUGGCAUUUAUCUGAUGCUUUCAAUAUGAACCUGCUCAGCGCGGCAACUUUCCCAACUAGGCUCUGAAUAUCUUUACGGUCCUUCAGUGACCUCGUCUUGAGGAUGACCUUUACUUUUUUCAAAUUAGCUUCUAUCCCCCUUUGACUAACCAAGAAGCCCAAAAACUUCCCCGAUUCCACUCUAAAGAGACACGAAUUCAACUUCAUCUAAUUCUUUCGUAGCACUUCAAACGUCUCACGCAAGUGCGCUAUAUGGUCAGCCAACUUAUCAAACUUAGUUAUCAUGUCAUCCACAUUUACCAACCUCUGAUAAGUUGCUCUUGCAUUUUUUAAUCCAAAUGGCAUCACAUGGUAGCAAUACAAUCUUUGGUCGGUCACAAAAGCUGUCUUUUCCUCAUCUUCUGUGGACAUACGAAUUUGGUUGUAUCACGAGAAUGCAUCCAUAAAACUCAUCAAGCCAUGCCCCACAGUUGAAUCCACUAACUGAUCAAUCUUUAGGAGAAGGAAACUAUCUUUAGGACAAGCAUUGUUGAGGUCGGUAAAGUCUACACACAUCCUCCAUUUUCCAUUCGCCUUCUUAACCAUUACCACAUUCGAAACCCAUUCCGAAUAAUUCACUUCAUUUAUAAACCCCGCUUUCAACAGUUUAUCUACCUCAUCAUAGAUGGUCUCGUACAUUUCCUGGUUGAACACUCUUCUUUUCUGCUUCACGGGCUUAUGUCUUUUAUCUAUAGCCAACCGGUGACACAUAAUCUGUGGGUCUAUUCCCGACAUAUUUUCAUGGCUCCAAGCAAAUAUGUCUCUAAACAAAUAUGUCAUUGUACUCCACCAAUAAAUUCUGAAGCUCAUUGGAAAUAUCAUUUGUCAUUUUUGUUCCCACUCUUACCACUUUACUCGGAUCAUCCUCACUCACUGGCACUUGUUUCAUUUCUUCAUUAGGCCACUGUUGGUAUAAUCUAUUCUUAGCUAGUGGAUCGAUACUCGUGAUCUGCAUGGAUUCCCUCACAGAUGUAGCAUAACAGCUUCGAGCUACUUGUUGCUGGUAGGGGUGGGCAAAAUCAGGUUCGGGUCGGGUUCGGAUCAACCCGAUCGGAUUUCGGGUUAGUCGGGUUGGAUAAAAAUCGAUCCGAACUCCACCCGAACUUAAAACCCGAUCCGAUCCGAUCCGAAUUUAAAUCGGAUCGGAUCGGAUCGGGUUAAAAAGUCGGGUGGAGUUCGGAUCGGAUCGGAUGCGGGUUAAUUCGGGUUCGGAUUAAAUUCGGGUUAUUCGGAUGAAUUCGGGUUAAUGCGGGUCGGGUGUAAUCGGAUCGGAUUCGGGUUAAUUCGGGUUCGGAUUAAAUUCGGGUUAUUCGGAUCAAUUCGGGUUAUUUGGCAAUUUGGGAUCAAACGUAACUUUAAUUGAGUUACUCCAUUAAUUAUCUUUUAAUUAGAGGGAAGAUAGUGAAAGGGAGGAAAAAGAAAUUGUAUGACUUUUAAUAAAAUAACUUAUAAAUUUAAAAAUUAUAUACAUAUGUUAAAAUAUUAUUUGUUAGUGGUUUCAUAUUAGAUUAUGAAGACCCAAAACAUCACGCUAGAAUUUCUCCUGUCCAAAAGUUUUUCACAAUCAAAAAAUAAAUUAUUUUUUACAAAUUUAAAUCUUAUCCUAUGGUCAUGUGUGUUCAAAAUUCAAAGAAAACCUUAACAACUUGCUAUGUGGCACAAUAAUAAGUGUUAAUGUCUUAUAGUAAAAGAUAAAACCCAUUAAAUUUAAUAUUAAAAUAUAAUAAAUCACAAAAAAAAACCCUCUACCAAAUGGCAAAACUCAAUCAGUGGACUGGAAUGUGGAAUCCACAUUAAUUUUGUCAUGGGGCCACACGUUGAUACUUGAUACUUGAUAAGGAAACAUUUUUUUUUUCUAUUUUUUUAAUUCUUUUUGGCUUUUUGCCAUGGGGAGUUGGGGACCUCUGGAGAAGUGGAGAUACAGCCGUUUAAAAGAAAAUUUACAUACACUUUGCAUACACUUUAUCUAAUCCAAAAGACAAACACAGCAAACGUAAGGGAUUGAUUCAUUUUCGUUCUGGAAAUAACAACAUGAACGUGCAUGUCCUUUAUAAAACAAGGACAUUUCUCUUCCACUCUUGUCACCUUGCUAACUAAGACAUUUCUUUCCCACCUUCCUUGUCCUCCCUCAUUCAUUCAUCCAUUCAUUUCAACCAACAAAAAAAGAAAACUACUAUAGAAUUAAAUUCAAAUGAUUCAAAAUUAAAAAUUAACACAAAGCAUAAAAUUAAAAUUAACACAAAGUUUAAAUUUAAUAGUCUCCAUCCAAAGCGCAAUGUCCAAUUCUAAAAUCUAAACAUUAAUCUUUAGAACACAAAACUAAACAUAAUUAAAUAGUUUCCAUUUUCCAAAACACAAAUGACAAAGUUCCAAAAUCCAAAACACAACAAAGUUUAAAUGUAAAUCUAGCUCAACUUCCUCCACGGCUCCACCGUUCCUCGCAAGCACUUUGACAAAUUUUAACUUCAAUUUCUUCUACUCCAAGUUGAAGAAUUGAAGCAUAUAUCCCCUAAGAAAAAAUUGAAAAAAUAAUAGAUAACCGUUUAACUACUUUCUUUAAGCCACAUUACAAAUAAAGGGACAUUAAACACAAACACAUAUGCCCAAUUCAUGUGUGUACUUGAUUAAAUAUAAGAAAAAAAAUUAAGUCAAUUGUGGCUUAUUUCAUGGCAUUCAUCAUCAAGUAAAUUUAAUAAUAAUCCUAAUUCCUAAGUAAUACAAUUCCAACAAUUUCAAUGUGUCUAAAAUAAAUGAAACAAUUAUAAAUUAAAACUAUAACAACUAUUGUCUAUUAUUAUAGUGUAAAUUACAACCUAAACAUAUAAUAUGAAAUUAUAAAUAAUAAUAUAUAUUAAGAAUUACCUUUCAAAUAUCCAUAACACCCAUAUCAGCGCUCACUGUUUCCACCGUUGAAGCUUGUGAUCUUACAAACUCUUUAAAAUGUCAAAAAAAAAAUGAAAUUAGUAAGUAACUUAAGUACAUAUAGAUGCUAUUUAUAAAGUUAUAAUACAUCUUAACUUUAUAAAGUAUGAGAAAAAUAUUACCUUCAUGUAGCUCCAUAUGGAAUAUCUGCUCUUUAAUAUCUUCCUGAAGGUUGUAGACAGGAUUAGCAAAAAGUUUAGCUUGUAACCAAUUUUCUGUACAUAUCAAUGCCUCAACCAUACAAGGGGUCAAAGAACUCCGAUAUUCGUCAAUGACGCGACGCCCUGUGCUAAAGGCAGAUUCAGAUGCCACUGUGGAAACAGGAACAGCGAGGACAUCCCUUGCAAUUUUCUCUAAUAUCGGAUACUUCGAUCCAUUAACCUUCCACCAAAGCAAAACAUUGAGCUUAAGAUUGCUUGGAUCUUCAACUGGGUCACUCAAAUAUCGUUCCACCUCAGAUACUACUCUCUUGCCCUCAUUCUGAACAAACACUUUCUGAGCAUACCCAAAGAAAGGGCGAGAAACUCGGAAAAUGUCAUCACCAUCACCACUAGGACCCUCCGACAAACCAACCUCAGUUGUAAAAUAAGGAGAAUAACUUGUACCACCAUAGUUGUCGCUAGGAACACUCUCACUACACAUCGAUGGUGUGGAACUAGAGCACAUUGCACUAUAUGCAUCAUAAAGCUCAUUCAACAAAUCUUUCACUGCUUUGGUCAUUUCUUCAACUUUCCAACCAUCAUUGGCAAAAAUGAUCUCAAAAAUAUGUUUGGCAAAAUCCAUUUUAGCUCGUGGAUCAAGAAUAGAGGCAACAAUUAACAUUUUAUUUAUCUUCCCUGAAGACUCCCAAUAUUUAUCAAAUUUUUCCCUCAUUUGAUAAGCCAUAGCCACCACCCAAGGAUCUCUACUUCCCUCUAAUGCAGUCAAUGAGCUCUCAAUUAAGCCAAUGGUAUCAUAACAAAGAUUAGAAGUCACACUCAAAGAAGCAGAAAAUAACAAUGUGGCAUCAUAAAAUACCUUCAAAAACUUUACAAUUCGCCCUGCACUCUCCCAAUCCUCAGGUCCAGGCGGGCCCACCCUCUUAACGUUAUAUUCUUUCUCGAGAAAAUAUGCCUCAUACGGUUUAUCCACCUCUGCCAUUCUAUCAAAUGCUGCUUGAAACUUCAACGCAGUCAUCAACAUUAAAUAGGUGGAAUUCCACCUAGUAGGACAAUCCAAAACAACCGUUCCAUUUGGACAUUUCACUUGUUGAGCACACUGUUUAAAUGCCUGUAGCCUCGUUGUGGAGGAUCUCACAUACUUCACAGCAUUCCGAAUGGCGGCAACACUAGCAUGCAAUUCAUUCAACCCCGAAACAACAAUCAAGUUCAAAAUAUGUGCACAACAACGCACAUGCAUAUACUGACCCGCCAAUACAAUUGCAUCAUCAUUCCUCCAAGCAAGUAAUUGCAUAGUCACAUAAUUAACCGCAACAUCAUUUGUACUGGCAUUAUCAACAGUUAUUGCAAACAACCUCUCUAUCCCCCAAUCUUGUAAACAAGCUACAAUCGUUUUACCGAUCGUUUUCCCUCUAUGAUCUUCAAUCACACUGAAACUAAUAAUUCUUCUAUUCAAACACCAGUCACUAUCAAUAAAAUGAGCUGUGAUCACCAUGUAGCUCAUGUUUUGAACAGAAGUCCAUAAAUCAGUGGUAAGAGACACUCGCUGUUUGUUGUUGCAAAUCAAACUCUUCAACAUUAUCUUUUCUUCCAAAAAUAAAUCCAUAACAUCUCUACCAACAGUUCUCCGAGAUGGCAUAACAAACUGUGGAAUGGCUACACUACAGAAAUGCCUGAACCCUUUGUUAUCCACAAAACUAAGUGGCAACUCACCCAUAAUGAUCAUUUUGGUGACUGCCCUUCUACAAGCGUCUUGACUCCACCCUUUAGCCAAAACCAUAUUACUUGCAUUUCCUUCCCCGCCCUCAGUUGUCAAGUUUUGUUGACUUCCCUCUUGUUGUUCCCGGAAUGUCUUGUAUGCAAGGCAAGCCAGUAUAUGAUUUCUCAUAUUUGUAAUCCCAUCACGCCUUGAAUGACAUUGAUAUUGUCUACCACAAUAGUUGCACUUGCAUUUGUUUGGAUUGUUCUCGAGCAAAGUAAAAUGAUUCCACGUCGCAGAUCUUUUCUUCAUCGCUGGUCUUUUCCGCUUUGCCUUUUGAGUUCCUUCCAUUUGAACACUUUGAUUGUCAUCAUCACUUAUGGAAUUCGAUCUUGAGUGUCCAGACAUCUAAACAUACAAAUAAAUAAUUAUUAAUCAUUAAUUCAUAAAUUAAAACACAAAAAGACUAUUAAAAAAAUCUACUUAAUAGUUAGUAUUACAAAUUGAUUCAAAUAAUUGUUAAUUUAAUUUUAUGAAACUUUUUGAAAUCGAUAUUUCCAAUUUUCCACCAUAAUGUUUAUAUAUGAUCAAGAAUUCAAGAUGCAUAUUCCAUAAAAGAAAACCAAGAAAUUAAACUAAUUAUUUAAUUUAUAAUAUCUAAUUAUCCAUUGGCCAAAAUAAUAUAAUAUUAAUUACAUAUCCGUAUCUUAAAUUCUUAAUUCUUAUUAUGCCCACAUUAUAUGUAGUUAACCACUUAAUAUUUACUUAUUGGUUAAUGGUUAUCAUGCAAUUAAUAAAAUUGAUUAAUUAUUUAUUGAAGUUGAAACUUGAAACUACUGCAAUUAAAUUGGUUAAUAGUUAAUUUUUUGUUGAAGUUGAAACUAUUCUACAAAUACACAUAUCAUAUGACAUAUACAAUUAUAAUUUAUAUUGUAACAUAAUAUUUAAUUUUAAUUUUUAAUCUAACAUUACUAUUCAUACAAAAAAUCAAUUAUUAAUUAAUAACAGAAAAUUAAUGCCAGAUUAUUUUCAUUUUAUUGAUAAAAUUUAACAAUAUAUAAUUAACAAUUUAACAUACAAAAUUACAAUUAACAUUUCUCAUAUAACAUAUAACAAAUAAAAAUUAUAAUUAAUCAUUAAUGCAUAUAUAAUUAUAUAAUAUAUACCAUCUCUUAAAUAACUUUAAAAGCCGGAUUUGCUGUCUUGCACUCUUGCUUUGCUUAUUCGGGCUUCAGCCUUCAAGCCUUCAAGUUCCAAUUCCAAAGUCCAAACUUCCAAUUUCCAAAUCCCAAACAGAGAGUGAAGAGAGUCAGAGAGACAGAGACCUUUUGAGUUUUGAGACUGGAGGCUGGAUCCGUGACCCGUGAGGCGUGACCGUGAAUGGGUGUGGUGGCCGGAUGUCAACACUCAACAGCCGUGACCCGUGGAUGCCAAUGGUGGAGACUCGAGUGGAUCGGAGGCAGCUUGCUGGGUGGAUCUUCAAUCGGACUGAGUUAUGGUGGAGUGGAGGAUUCAAGGCGUGGAUCUGGCGCUUGGUUGCAGCAGAUCUGUGGAUCUGGCGCUUGGUUGCAGCAGAUCUGUGGAUCGGGUCACGAUCUUCACGAAUCAGCUUCGGCUUCGGCUUCGGUUGGGGUCGUUCUCGGAAGUGGUUGCUGGCUGCGUGUGGUGGCCGGUUGAAGCUAGCUCCGUGAACUGUGCGUGUGUGUUUGCUGCGCGUGGUGAGAGACGAAGGCCGUGACUCCGUGAGGCGUGAAUGAGCGUGGGACAGUGGGUUGGUUGCUGCCUGCUUGUGCUUGACGGCUACUGGUUUCAGUGAUUUUUGUGUGACACUGUGACAGUGAGGGUUUGUGAAUUGUGAUAGUGAUACCGUGAGUGAGGGUUUGUGACUGUGAGUUGUUACUUGUUACUUUGCUUAAUUGCUUUGCUUGUGUUGUUUUCUUGGUGAAUUAUUGAAUUGUUUUGUAACUUUUGUUGCGGUGAAUACUGAAUAGUUUGGAGUGAAUUGACUGAAUUCUUGAAUUGUUUUGUUGCGGUGAAUACUUUGUGAAAUGUGAAUUACUGAAUUUAAUUGUGAAUUACUGUAAAUCCGUGUAAAUCCGUGACUCUGUACUCUGUAGUCUGUACUGUGAUCUGUAUUCUGUUUCUGUGAGAGUGUGAGUUACUGAUUCCAUGCAUGUACUCGUGUGAGAUGUGAGUGUGUCAUGUGUGUGUCUGUGUGAUAUUGUAAGUGUAAAUCUGUAAUUUUUGCCCAAUUUUUUUUUUUUGUCUCAACCCGAUCGGGUUUUCGGAUCGGAUCGGGUUUCACCCGAUCCGAUCAUGAUCCGAUCGGGUUGAGACAAGUUCACCCGAUCGGGUUUUGUUGACCACCCGAUCCGAUCCGAACCCGAAAUAUUUCGGGUCGGGUCGGGUCGGAUCGGGUCGGGUCGGAUUAUUUGCCCACCCCUAGUUGCUGGCCCCUCAUCACUCCAACCCCACAUUGAACUCUAAACUUCACACAUUGCAUAUGUGUUGAGCUUACCGCUCCUGUUAUCCAUUUGAACAGUCUGCUCAAAAUAACUUGAUAAAAGCUAGGCUCCUCAACUACCACCCAUGUCACCAUCAUUAUCUUUUGUAGUGGGCUCGACCCUAUUUUCAGUGGCAAGUUUAUCACCCCAAUGGGAAUCAACUCAGCUUUGCCAAACCCUUGUAACGAUGUUCUGACAGGAUCGAGCUUGAGGUCCCCUAUUUGCAGAUCUUCCAGAGUUUGCUUAAACAAGAUGCCGACCAAGCUACCCCUAUUUACAAGAGCCCAAUUUAACUCUUGCCUUGCCAAGGUAACCUUCACUACAAGCGCAUCUUCUUGUGGAUGUGUGACCACUUCCUCGUCUUCGUAUGUGACCAUGAUUGGCACUCUUUAAAUCUGCUGUUUCUUUAGUGCCGGAACAUUAAAAUUCACCUUAUAACUUUUUAGUGAAUAUCUACUAUAAUUUCUCCUCGAACGGUUUGAGUCUCCUGCUAGGGUCAGCCUUCCCAUAAUCAUCAUCGCCAUAUUAUCUCUGAUGUCCCCUCUUCUCCCACCUCUUCCUUGAUCAUUUACAUACUCCUUUAUGUAUUGAUUUUGCACUAACCACUCAAUCUACUCUUUCAAGUUUAUGCAAUCUGCGGUUCCAUGCCCGGACACUUUGUGAAACUCGCAAUACUUGUGGUGAGCACAAGUAAUCCCUUAUCUUUUAUUGCAGUAUAUAUUUCUGAUAUGCUCGUAUUCAUAAGAGUGUAUCUCCCGCCCUGCUCUACUAAGUUCACCCCAUGGUCAGAUCUCGAUCCUCUCCAGUCUACAGGCAGCGGCAACCUGUUAAACUCUCUUACUCGGUUUUCCCACUGGUUCCUCUCAUAGUUAUUUCCUUUCUCUCAACCCCUACCUACUAAUGAGAUUUCUCUUCUUUCAAGAUUUCUUUCCCAAUCUCGAGUCAGCCUCUUUGGUCAUCUGUAAUUGAACAACCCUCCAUCAUAAUGAUGCCUAUCAUUUGUAUUCCUCCUCAACCUAUACCCAAGGUUAUCUCAUCUCCUUCUUGGAUCUCUCAUUCUCAUUGGACCCCAUCUCUGCUCUUUCAUUCUUCUCUUUUCUUCCUCUACAUAUUCAGUUUUCAUAUCCAAUUUUGCUUGGUCGUAUGCCUCAGCGUACGUUGUUAUCCCUUUACUAUAUAAGCUAUUCCACAAUCGAUUGAUUCUCAACCCUUUCUUUAAUCCUUUUAGGGUAUCCGGAUAAUCAAAGGCCCCUAAAUCGGUGACUUCUUUAUGAUACUUGGUCACGAAGCUCCUCAAACUUUCAAAUUCUCCUUGGACCAAUUUUUUCAACCUGCUUGUAUCCUGCUCUGGUAUGCGAAAAGCUCACAUAACUCUUUGAAAUUUUCUAUGCUUCCCUUCUUUAAUCUCCGGUACCACUCCCGUGCCUGUCCUUCUAGAGUUAAGGGAAAAACACGGCACCUUUGAAAAUCAUUCAAACCUUGAAUCCCGGUCAUCUCAUUAAGCCUCUCCACAUGAUGAUUCGAGUUAGUUUUUCCUUCUUACACCACGGCUGGAACCACAUACUUGGGUGGCAAAGUUACCGCCAUCACCUCAGGUACCAAGGGGUAUUCGUCAUCAAGUAACAAUCUUCCUACCACUUUCUUGCCCUUCAUUUUCGCCUCUAAUGCCUCUAGUUCCAACAUUCUCUGCUCAAGCUCAUUUUCUCGUUAGGGGUUUCUCAGGUCUUCUCUCUCUCUUUCAUGAUUCAGGUCAUUGAUUCUCUCCCUCAACUCGUUCUCUUGUUCUCCUGCACUUUUGUUAUCCUGUCGUACCCCAACUUGUGGUAGUCUCAUUCCGCUCUGCUGUUGACCACUAAGCUCUUCCCUCUCCCGCGCUCCACUACUCUCUGGAUCACUAAUUCAAACUUGAGACCCUCUGACUUGGGCAUCAACCAGCCCCUUGAUCAUCUCUUCAAAUCUUGUCAUUUGCCUCUCGAUCCAUUUUCUCCAUCUCUUAUCUGCCGUGGCAUUCAUUUCCUCCUCCAAUUGGCGCAAGGUCUACCUAUCUCCGUCAUUAUCAUCCAUCGUCGUUUCUAAUCUGAUAGCCUUCUCCCUCUAAAUCUUCAAAUGUAUGACUUUUCGGACCGUUCCUCACAGAUGACACUAAGAUGUUGAUGCCGAAAAAUGACCUCAACAGUUGAAUGUUUUCUUUGGGGAAUAACAGCAUGAAUCCAAGCUCAAAUGUCAAUCUGAUCGCAACUUUCUACACCUGCCAACCAGAAAACACAGUUAGGAUACGCCGGUGGGGUUCUGGCGUAGACUCUCCGAUGCUUAAGUAAAAAAUUGUAUAUAAGGAAAGAAAAACGAGAAUGAAGAAUCGUGAAUAAGUUAAAAUCAAGGAAUUUUUUCGAUAGAGGUGUUGAAAGUCUUGUAGGAAAUAAAAAGGCUUUUAGAUAGGUGACUUGUAAAAUUUUUGGUUGAUUUUGCUAACCCCCUCCUAUGUUGCCCUCUUCAGCUUAAUAGGCCCUUGGUUAGGGAUGGCAAAAAUCCCCACGGGUACGGGUACCCUCGGGGAUUUUCCCCAUUCGGGGAGGGUAUGGGGAUAAUUUCAUACCCAAUUUCUUAUUCGGGGAAGGGGCGGGGAAAUUUUUUUACCUAAUUUCUUAUUCGGGGAGGGGAUGGGGAUGAGGUGGAAUCCCCAUCCCCUACCCAUUUCCCCAUUUUAAUUUUUAAUUUUAAUUUUAUUUUUUAAAAUUACUAGUAAAUAAAUAAUAAAAUUUGAAUUAUAAAAUUAUAAAUAUUGGUAAAAAUAAAAAAUAUCAAAAUAUUUAUAUUAUUAAACCUUUAGGCUUAAUUAACUAAUUAAAGUCCUAAAUUUUUAUUUAAGACAUUAAAAAUUCUAUUAGCCCAAAAAUUUUGUUUUAAUUUUAAUAUUCAUUAAAUGUUUUAAACUUAAAUCUAUUUUUUAUUUAUUUUUAGAUGUUAUAAUUGCCCACAGCGAAUCACAAUUUUAAUACCUAAUUUAAUCUAAUCUAAUCUAAUUUAAUAUAAUAUUUGCUCUUGAUUUACUCCGACUUAACUAUUGUGCUGUGAAGGGAAUAGUCCACAUUUAUAAAGUGUCACGCCACCAUUGAAAAAGUUAAUUUUGAAUCUAAAUUCGAUUUUAUUUGUAACAAUUUUGUAUUAGACUAUUAAUUUAUUCACGAUAGUUUGUAAAAGAAGUUUGUAUCUCUUACAUGAUGCGUUACUUACUAAUUUAAUGUAUGUGACUUUUGUAAUGAAUAUUAAUGUAAGAUAUAUUUCAAACUUUACUUUUAUUUGAAUUUUUUAUUUUAAUAUGAUUAACUCAAAAUCGAAAACAAAAAAUGUAUUAGUUAUUCGGGGAUCGGAGACCCUUGGGGAUCCCCUGUUAUUAUUCGGGAAGGGGAUGUGGAUUCUCUCAAGUAAUUCUGACGGGGACAUACGCAAAAUAUCGGGGAUGGGUACGGGGAGAUUGGUCCCCUCCCCUCCCCUCCCCAUUGCCAUCCCUACCCUUGGUCGUGGGCGGUUAACAUCUUAACUUUAGCCCACUUUCUUCAACAGUUGCAAGUGCUUAUUAAUUGGAGGUGGUUUAAGAAAUCGUGGCAUACAACUUCCCUAAAAAUUAGGCCACGUUAUCUCGACUAGUAAUUUUCCAUGUCAAGUAGUUCUCAAGUCGGACAAAUGAAUUUCGAGGUCUGGCUAUCUUACUUACUUCCUAGAUUGGUGAAUUUUUGGGUCACUCACAUAGGCUUAAAGUUGUAUUCUUAAAUUAGGUCAUUUGCAUAAAUCUCAUGUUAUACUUAUAAACCAGGUCGCCAACAUAGGCUCUAGGUUGUAUUUAGGAGGUUUGCUCAAUAGUAAUAAAUUUUGAGUAGAUUAAUGCUGACUCUAUUUCUAGAUGCUAUCAGAAAAAUCCAACCCGAACACCAAUUAUUCCAACCCUUAAAUCAUUGGAUUGAUUAAAAUUAAAAAAAAAUUAUUUGUUACUUAAAAUCAAAUUCAUAUAUGAAAAAUAUAUAUUAAUUUUCUAUCAUAACUUUAAAUGUUAUCCAUUGUAUCCAACAUUUAUUGAUAAAUAACAUGACACAAUAUUUGAAUAUUUAUCAACUUACUUUCAGUGAAAAUAGUAAGUUUAGUUAUUUAUAGUUUAAUAGCAAAUAGUUGACAUUAAUCUUUUUAUGAUUUUUAGAAAUUUUGGGUUGGGCUAAACUAUAUAAGAAUAUGAACUCAACCCAACUCAAUCAUCAAUUGAGCUGAAAAUUUUUUUAAAAAAAAUUGAUUCAAUUAACUCAUUAUAACCUAAUCAAUCUAUGUCAAUUUAAUUAAAUUGAGUUGAAUUGGAUUAGAUCCAUCGAGUUAAAUUGGGUUUACUCACCUAAAGGGAGUUUGUUCUGAAAGUCAAGUGUUAGUCUAGCUUUAUAAAUUUAUUAGAUUACUUAUUUUGACUCCCUUAUUCGGAGCUAUCUUAUUGUAAGCAUGAUGUGGCAUUGUAAUGUUGGUCAUUUUAGUAUUGUUUAAUUAGCAUAACUACUCUUUAAAAAAAAUCAAAAAUCAAAAUUUUAAAUUUCAGUAAACAAGAAGAAAGUUACGUUAUUGAAUGUAUAUACUUGUAGAGAUUAUCCAGAACAAUUUAUGAAUUUUGACAAAUCUACUCUCUAGAUUUUUUACUAAAUAAAUAUUCUUAAUUUGGAUCCACCUUUUAUAAGAAGAAAUUACUAGUUUGAAUGUAUUUAUUGCAGUUCAUUACAUAAAUUGCUAAUCUUUUAACCAUUUUGGGAAAGUGAAUUAAUUUUGGACGCAUAAAAAAAACAAGGGCUUCACCCAUUUCCACAUCAUCAUCCAUCUCUACCAGUCUUCUCCAAUAGAUUCAAUUUUCUUAUGUUCUUAUUCUGAAUUGAAAUUUCAACAAUUAUUCAGAGAGAGUAAAAGUACUAAAAUUUGGUAAGGGUCAUAUUAUCUUUGAUUCAUUAUCUUGUACUAAUAAAUUAAAAGAUUUAAAUAAAAUUACAAUGGUUUGCACUACAUAAUAUAUAUAUGUAUUUUUUACUUGGUUAUUUUCUUUUUCUUUUGUUGGAUUAUUAUUGGCUGUAAAUGAAGAUUUGGAACAAGAUUUAGAGACUGCAUGCCUUCAUGGGAAAACAAGGACCUUGUUUACAUUGUGGAAUUGAAAGUGAGUCUUCUGUUUUAUUACAUUAAUUAAUUUAUCAUUUCAUAAAUUACAUAUAAAUCCAUCAAUCAUUUUUAAGUACGGAUACCCGUAAUUUUGUAUCACAGUUCUAACUCGGCAGUUUAUGAAUGGGCAAAAUCAGAACCACGUCGUUUAGGAUUUUGCAUGUUUGGGCACCAACUUUGGACAAACCAGCUUUUUUUUUUAAAUUUUUUAUUUAAGAUAUGUGUGUUAGUGAGUGAUACAAGGAGUGAACAGGGACUCCGCUAUGGCGAAAUGGACCCCCUGAGAAACCAGUGCUUUGCAAUGCAUGUGGAUCAAGGUACAGGCUAAGAGGAACUCUUAACAACUAUGCACCAAAGCAUCUUCAAAGUGCUUUUCCAUUAAAGAAGAAGAAGAAGAAGAAGCAAGAAAGCAAAAUGAUUCUGAUCAAUAGUUCCAGAACUGAAGAGAAAAUUUAUGAUGUUUCAAGCAGCAGCUGCGAUGAUGUCUAUAGAACUGCAGCUUCAGAAGGUUGUGAGAGUAAUAUUAAUGAUGGGUGAAGUUCUUCAGAAUCCACAACCAUUUCUUGCACUGAGGCUGGAAGCUGCUUUGAAAGUAAUAAACAUGAGGAUAGAAGCCAGCCGCCAGGUAAUUUAUUUACAUAAAUAUUUUCCGAAUUCUGCAACUAAAGGGAUUUUGUCACAAUCUCAACCCAAGCUCCUCCUUAUUUGUCGAAAUUAAUCAUUUUUUUGCUCAUGUUUUAAAAACCCACCAACAGUAAUACAAUAUAAUUUCUGGACCACUUAACACUGGAUUUAAAUUGGAAAAAAAUGGCCGUAAACAGAAUAUUAUCAGCAUCAGAGGGAUUCUAGUGGUUUAAUAUAUGACGGAGAAAAUAAUGAAUGAAUCUCACCAAAAUAGAGAUGGAUUUUGGUUUCUUUCCUCAGUUAGCAAUGUUAAUAUAGACAGAAGCAUUGAGUUUAAUGGUCAUUAAAGCCCCUUCUCACUUACGUGAGCAGGAUUCGAUUAAUUAUUUUAACUCUAGGGAUUUUAACAAUUGGACUAGUUGACAUGCACAAAUAGCAGUAUGCUCUAAGUGGACAAGUUUAUUGUUUGUAUUUUCACAUUUAUGCAUUGCCAGCAUAUUUUUUGUCAACAACUUUAACAUAUUUCUUAUUUAUAAAAGUGCAAUGAGUGAAGAAGAAUAUCAAAACAAUUUUUCAAAUGUAUGAUCAUAGGACAUACCAAAUGAUCAUGAUUUUAUUUCAAAUGAUGAUGAUUCUCUAAUGGUCUAAUUGCAUGCAUGCAGGUGAAAUCCAACAGAGCUUGUGGGAUGUUCGUAUUCCUUCAAGAAAAAGAUCCUUAGUAGUCUACAAAAGCCUUUCCCCAAUUGAAAGGCUUCAAAGAGACCUUAAAAAAAUUCUAAGGCAUCGUCAAGAUCCCAAUUCUAGUAUUAUUUCUGAAUCUCAAGAUGGUGUCCUCCUUUAUAAUCUCAACAACCAAAUUAUUUAUCCUUCCGAAAUUGGUCUCGGAACCAUUCUUCUCAAAUAAUUAAUCCUACUAUUUUAGAUACAUGCAGGGUUGUUUGGUAUGAAAGAAAAUAAUAGAAAAUCAAAGAGCCAUGAUUGUAAAAAAAAAUAAAAAAUUGUAAUUUGAUGUCGUUUUAUUUUUGUAAACAAGAAUUGUUAGAAAUGUUUUACAUAUGCAGUGUUCCUCUUAAGUUACUUUCAGAUUUGGUUUCCUUUUGUUCCUCAACUAUUUGUGGCUCUAAUGAAUAUAUUCAACUCCUUUAAAUGGUAUCGUGUGGCCAACCAGCAGCUUAUUAGCUUUCAGAAGUGAAAAUUAUCUGGCAUGUAUAUCCUAUUAAAUUUUACACACACGUGUGCACUUUUCAUGUUGCAAAUGUAAAAAAGAAGUUUCCCGAAAUAAACUUAAUAACUUAUUACUUUAAAUUAAAAUACAUUAACAAUUAGGAAAAAAAAAGUUUUAAGUAUUAUUAUACAUCAAUGAAUUCAUAAUAUACGAGUCAUAAAAUUCAACUUAAAAUUUUGAACUAUUGAAAUCAAGCAAUUUAAUGAUGAAUGAAUAACCAUCAUUAAAUGCUACUUUAAAUUUUAAUAUUUUUCAUUGGAUUGCUUGAAAUUAAUGGUUAAAAAUUUACGUCAAAAUUUCAAUAUCUUUCUUCUUAUAUCUUAUAUGAUUGGCACCCGCAAGCACCCAAUAACAAUACAGAUUUUCCAGAUAAAAUACCUGCGAAACCCUAAUUUUUCAGAUCAAGUUAAAGGAGCAACCACUAUCGGUGGAGAAGAAGCAAUAAAUUGGGGCUUAGCAGGACCAAUGCUACGAGCGGCUGGAAUAAAAUGGGAUCUUCGUAAAGUUGAUCAAUGCCAACGGAUUUUUGUAGCGCCUUAGACUGCACAAAAAUAACCAUAGAAGUACUCUUCUCUGCCAAUUAGUGUCUCAACGGGGAAGAUAAUUAAACAAGAUCUCAAGAAGCAUUUUUGGCAUUAAAACAAAAUUGGGGAUAGAAAAGAAAAUAAAUACAACAUUUCAAAAAAUGUCAACAAAACAAGAACCAACCAAAAUCAUGCCGUUGGUUUCUUGCGUGCAAAUCUCUGCAAAGAUGCCGGUAGUUCAAGUUCCUCGGAUAAUUUUUGCUUCUUUUUAGACAAUGAUUGCUCUCCCUUUAAUUGUUGAUCCAGAAACGGUCUCUUGGCUUUUGCAACCAGUUCUUGCUUCUUCUUGGCUUUCUUACUCGGUUUAUUCCUACCCUUUGUUUUAUUCUUCCAAACGAAGCCCUUAACGGCCUCAACAGCAGCUUCCAUUUCGGCUUCUCUCUCCUGCUUAGUUGGUUUCUCUUUCUUCUUCGCUUCCCUCACCGUACCAAUCUUAGAUGGAUUCAGCAUGAUUGUUUCAGGUGGGAGCUUGUCAAGAAGAGAGCGCACUUCCUUCUCUCUCCUCUGUUUAGAUGUUUCGAAUGGGUUUGCCACCCAGGAAUCGAAGUUGGGCUCACCUGAUCCGGGAACAAGAAUACU